Molecule: long non-coding RNA, 92071 nt
Filed under: Eucalyptus grandis
Lineage: Eukaryota; Viridiplantae; Streptophyta; Magnoliopsida; Myrtales; Myrtaceae
Description: long non-coding RNA (EGRA_LNC000025)
Source: RNAcentral
GCCCUCGAUGAUUGAGUAGCAGUAGGUGAAGUUCUCCUUGUCCAGGGCCUCAACCUUGUGCUUCGCUGUCUUGUACUGACUGCCUAUCAAUGUAACAGAAAGUCACAUUCACAUUUAGAACUCGCAGGUUUCAAUAUCACGAGCACCAAUCUUCAUGGUGUCCAUCAGGCCAUUUAGGAAUUAACCCAAUUGUUCUGACCACAAUCCAAUACAAUUGACUUAGACAUAGCCUAACUUUGCCUGAUCAAAAUCCGAGUCACAUAAUCACUCGUGUAAAGUUAAAUGGUUAGAAACAUCUUAAGUAACAGAGUCAUAUUUCUAUCUUUUCCAUAUUCAUUAUAUUUUUCCAUAAGGUUGAACCCGCCUUGAUUCAGAGCGAUCCUAAGUUCCUAAUACGGAUGGACUAACCUUUGCCAAAAGUCAUCAACUUGAUGGUCCCGGGACCCCCAUCGCCCUCGAGGACUUCAACGCUCUUGACGGCUUGCGGGAGGACCUUGGGGAGGAGGUUAUCGGCAUCGAGGAUAGCGGCCUUGAAUAUCCUGGCCCGAGGAAUGGGGGACAGGAUAUCGAAGCGAAAAGUGACGACACCCAUGACCGGAUCCUAACAGAGUUGCUGAAACUGAGAAGGAGGUGAUGAUCUGGAAGUAGUGAUGAAGUUGGUCUAUGGGACUUGGGAGUGAAGAGAAGAGGCUGAAUUGAAGUUGACAUAUAUAGAGAGAGAGGGGGACUGAGUGUGAAGGGUUCUGAUCACUGCAUAUUUUCUUCUUACUAAGAUGCAUUAUCUUUUGCAGAAAAUAAAUAAUUUAGAAAAUAUUUUUCUAAAAAUAAUCACUAAAUUUAGAUAGUGUUUCGAGCAUAAGUUAUUUGGUGAGUUUGCUGCAUGUUCUAAAUUGAUCUAAAUUGCUAAAUUUAAUGGGCUCACUAGAAUUAAAAGUCUAGAUUCCCCUUAAUAUAAAUAAGACACUACCUCAUUUUCAAGUCUUCGUCAAAAUUGUGUUGUAUGUACUAAGUUAAUCUAAAUCACUAAAUUUGAUGGGUUCAUAUGGGAUCCAUACAAAAUUCACAGGAAUUAAAAGUUCAGAUUUCACUUGCUAUAAAUACAGUGCUCUUUCCUCAAAUUGUGUAGUACGUACUAAAUUGAUCUGAAUUGCUAAAUUCAAUGGGUUCAAGUGAGACCCAUAUAAAACUCAUUAGAAUUAAAAGUACAGAUUUUGCUUAAUAUAAAUACGACCCUAGCUCAUUUCCAAGUCUUCAUCAAAAGUGUGUUGUGUGUCCUAAAUUGAUCUAAAUCGCUAAAUCUAACAAGUUCAUGUGGGAUCCAUGUGGAACUCACUCAAAUUAAAAGUCCAGAUUCUCCUUGAUGUAAAUACGAUGCUAUGUCAUUUUCUAAGGUUUCAUUAAAAUUGUGUUGUAUAUACUAAGUUAAUCUAAAUCGCUAAAUUUGAUGGGUUCAUGUGGGAUCCAUAGGAAACUCACUAAAAUUAAAAGUUCAUAUCAGCUUAAUAUAAAUACAGUUUUCUUUCAUCAAAAUUACGCCGUAUGUACUAAAUUAACCCCAAUUGCUAAAUCUGAUGGGUUCAUGUGGGACUAUAUAAAACUCACUCAAAUUAAAAGUCUAGAUUCUCCUUGAUAUAAAAACAAUGCUAUGUCAUUUCUAAGUUUUCGUCAAAAUUGUGUUGUAUAAAUAUAGUGCUCUUUCAUCAAAAUUACGCCGUAUGUACUAAAUUAACCCAAAUCACUAAAUCUGAUGGGUUCAUGUGGGACCUAUAUAAAACUCGCUGGAAUUAAAAGUCUAGAUUCUACUAAAUAAAAAUAAGGCCCUAACUCAUUUCCGAGUCUUUGUCAAAAGUAUGUUGUAUGUCCUAAAUUGAUCUAAAUUGCCAAAUCUGAUGAGUUCACAUAGGAUCCAUAUUGAAUUCACUAGAAUUAAAAGUCCAAAUUCCACUUAAUAUAAAUAUGAUGCUAGCUCAUUUCUGUUUAUUCAUCAAAAUUGUGCUAUAUGUACUAAGUUAAUCUAAAUUGCUAUAUUUGAUAGGUUUAUGUGGAACCCAUAUGAACCUCACUAAAAUAAAACGUCCAAAAUCGAUUAAAUAUAUAUACCGCUUUAACUCAUUUCUAAGUCUCCAUCAAGUGCCUUUUUCUCAUCUCUUUGAAGCUUCCGAUCGCGUGCCAUUCCGUCACAUGUGAAUCGCGAAUGAUUUUCCACGCCGGAGUCUUUGUUAAAUCUAAAGACUUAAAAAUACGAAUGUGAAGUAACAAUUGCGUGUCAAAUGCAGAAAAUUCUUAAGUGAAAGAGUUGACCGUCCCCUCUUGAGUCAAAUGUUCUCUUCCUUGAUAUGCUUUUCUGAUCUGGCCUCAGACACAGAUGGUCAAAGGGGCGCAUUCAUAUCCAUAAUCUCGCGGCAGUUUCAACUCUGUAAAAAGAAUGCCGAGAUCUUUACAAGAUGUUUGACAAGCGUCUUUGAUGACAGCAUGCACAGCAUAUCUACUGCUUCAAAACAUAGUUACGGUUCAGUCUCGAUUGUUAUUUUUCUUGAAAGAGACACGAGAAUGAAGACAUAAACCAUGGUGGGAGAUAGAAAGAUGGAGCCAACGUGCAACAACUCAAUUGUAAGCAUCAGGGUUUUUGCAAGAGAUGGGCUUCAAUGGCUUUCAACAUUCCCACGGCCUUGUCUUUGCUGGCCUUGUUCUCUUCCCGUCCAUGACGAAGUACUUGCUCGUGCUCUUGCCCAUGCACCCUCCCUGUCUGGCCCCGCCUCGGCCUUGAUCUCAUUUGAGAUCUUCUCUAGCGCAUCGCCCUCAACGAUGGCAUAUGUGUGCGUGACGCAAAAAACUGCAGUCAGCUCCCACGUUAGCCUUAUCAAAGAAUGUCGGCAAACAUCUUCUUGACAUCACAUGUUAAUGCGACGCGAUCAAAAUGAGUGAAAUUAGAAGACAGCGCAAGCACUCGCCUUUGCUGAAAACGACGUGAUGGUGCCGGGACCGCCAUCACCUUCAAGGGUGACAAAAUCCUCAAUGGCUUGCGGAAGGAGCUUGGGGAUGAGAUUGUCAUCAAGAACAAAGGCCUUGAACAUUCUCGCAGGUGGAAUUGAAUGCAUCUUCGCCUAACAGUUCCAAGUCCCUCGGCAAGAGAUGUGUGAGAUUAUGUUAAAAUGCCCUCUAAAUGAUUCUUAAUUGCCUCGUUUAGUAAUCUAGAUCAACAUCACAAUGGUCUAAAUCAUAUAAUAAAGAAAGAGGACAAAAGGCAUGGAUCUCAAGCCCAAAUUAUACUUAUUAGCAUGCAAGAGAUCUUUGAAUGCAGAUACCCUUAAGGGUGGGAAGUCAUUAAAGUAUCAUUUAAAUAUUCUAACGGUGCCAACUGCUCGGACAAGCAAGCUUGAGUGCAUGCAGAUAAUUCUUGCGCAACGAAAUGCAUGGUAGGUCGCAAACCGAGACUCAUCCGCGCACACGCUAUUGCCACCAUGACCAUGAAUACCACUUCCUUGACCAGUUGGCCAGUCGGAGGAGGAAGACAUGGGUCGAGCACAUUCUAUAGUGGCACAUUUGAGUUUUUUAAUAAUGUCGACAUUUGUGUCAUUUGUAGGGAAGAGAGAAGAUUGCCUGGAUGCUUCCCCAUCAUUCUCUAGCAUUGGUACUUUUACUGUUGACUCUGUUUCACGAAAGAAGGAUGAAUCAAUGUUUUGAUCACAGCGUCAAGUUCCAAUUUUUUGUGAUACUAUUAAUACAAACCACUUUUCAAAAUCUAUACUUGCUCUUCCUAAAGGUCUUGUUAGAAUUAUUGGACGAAUCCAAAUUCGAUAUGUCAAUUAAAGCUAUUUGAUCUACCUGAGACCAUAAGUACAGGGGAUGUAUUGAUUAGAUUUGAUCUUGUAGCUUACCAGGAACCAUGUAGCUAUAAGAUCUAGCCACUGGGGUCCAAUUUGAUGAAUCCAAAUUCAAGAGUCUCACCAUCCCAAAAACCGAAAGCCGAGGCUCGGAGUCCAGCUCCAGCAGAUGUUGUUCAACGUAAUGUCCCAAUGGACAAUAGGCGGUGAGCAAUCAUGAUGCAGGCAAGCGAUCGUGUGAGCCACACAUUGAACAAUCUUCACUCUCUUGACACGAGUCCAAUUCAACUGCUCCUCUUCCUCCAUGCAUGACCUUUGCCAAAGUUCAGAAAACAUUGGAUGAUGUCCUCGCGGUCAACCACCACUUUGUUUUGACAGUGACGAUGUGGCCGAUGGCUUGUUCGGCCUUGUAAACGCUCCUGAAUCGGCCUUUUCCCAUGCAGCACGCUUCGCUGAAGUCGUUGGUGGCCUUGGCAAUAUCGUUGAAUGCAAACUCCGUUCCCCUUUCCCAUAUGAUUUCACGUACUUCAUAAGAUUUCUUAUCUCUUCAUCGAGAUGCUUGUUUCACCGCCGAAGCACCAAAAUCAGAGCAAUAAGAGUCACGAGAAGUAGUAAGCAGCAAACGCAACAAUCACAUUAAUCAGAACCUUUCUCCGAUGGCCAGUCGAUUUACUGCUCGACCCACAUGGAGACAUUCCGUCGCGUUUCCUCACAAGCCCGGAUUUGCGAUAAAAGCACUUUCCACUGAUUGUUGGAAGAGGUGACCACUAGGAACUGCGCCUGUCAGCUUGUUGUACAAGAAGCCAAUGAAGAUUAAACUGCUCAUGCUGGUGAGAGCAGCUGGGAUCGUACCCGACAAAUUGUUAUGCGAAACAUUGAGAUUUCCAAUUUAGUGAGCUUUGCUAAGUUGGAAGGAAUUGAUCCUGCUAGUGAAUUGUGGCUCGGGUCUAGGUGGUUCUGUAGCGUGAACGAGUUCCCCAGCUCUGGCAGUGACCCAACAGAUUGUUGUUGCUCAAGUUCAAGCUCAGUAAAUUCUCGCAAUUUGCUAGCUCUUUCGGUAUGCUACCGCUCAAUGCCUUCUCCCCAAAAAACAAGAUAAUCUAGCUUUGAUUAGUUUUCUAACGAGUUGGUAAUAUCUCCGGCCAAAUGGUUGUUGCUCAAGUUCAGCCUUACCAACUCCCCUAGAUUUCCCAUCUCGUCGAGAAUUUUCCCGGUCAGUUCAUUGCCUUAGGAAGUCAGAACAUCCAAUUGAGACAAUUUCCUGAGCUCCGACGAGAUGCGGCUGGCGAUUUGUUACCAUCUAUCAGCAAAUUCGUGAGAUUCAUACACUCUCCCCAUUCUGCAGAGAGAUUCCCGACAAAUCGGCUGUUGCUGAGGCUUAUAAAGUCCAGAUUCGGUCUGAACGAACUCAUGAUAUCUGUAGUGAACUGAUUGCUGUUCAGACGGACUCUCGUUAGCCCCGGAAAAUUCCUCAAGAAGUCAGGCGGCAGCUCAGUGAAGUUAUUCCCAUCGACCGUGAGAUAUCCAAGAGCAAAGUCGCUGCAUAUAUCUUACAGCAUUUCUCCGAUGAAGCUGUUGUUCGAAAAGGUAACGAUCCCCAGAGAAGGGCUGUACUUGCGGAAAUCACGUGUUAUGCCUCCCGAGAAAUUGUUCUUGAACAAAGAGAUGGACCGUAAGUUGGCAAGGCGAGAGAUGGUCUCACAAGAAAAUAUUGUGUACACAAGUGAUGCUACGUCAUGGCUUUUCCUUCCCAGCCUAGAUCUCCUCUUCUUCAACUUGAAGUGCCUUCUUGCUGUUGUCCUUGCUCGUCAUCCUGCAGACCGACCCUCCAUCGCUGGUGGCCUCAAACUUGACCUCGUAAUCGAUCGACUGGAGCUUGUCACCCAGCGCAUCGCCCUCGAUAUCGUGGUCCUACACAUGAAGUUCUCCUUGUCGAGCUUGUCGAUCUGGUGCUUCACAUUCUAGAAAGGACUAGCUGCAAUUACGUUAUGAAACUCCCUGCUCGAUGAGUGUUGAGUGUACAUACCUUCGGUGAAAUUUAACUUGCUCAAUGCUCCCGGCUCCACUGUCACCUUGCACCGGCUCCACCGUCGCCUUGCGCCAGCUCCGCACGCUCUUUAUGAACUGAGGCAGGAGCUUCGGGAUCAGGGUAUUUGACUCGACAAUCAAGGCCUUAAGAAUGCGAGCCGGAGCAAUCGGGCAUAUGAGCUCUUGUGUGAAGCUGGUUGCCAUGGCUAUUGGCAAUGAGAAAGAAAUAACCCCAGAGAAGAGUGCUUCCGAGUCCUGUCACUGCCUCCUAAUGUAUGGUUGGAAUUAUGUCAAUAGGUAGGGUCGGGUUGGCAAGAGUCACGCUCGAGGAAAAUAGGAGAGUCAAGGAUUUGCAGCCCAAAGGAAUGGAAAAGAGGAAUUAAGGUGGUCUCUUUUGUUCUUUUGGUCAUGAAAAUGAUUUCGGUCCCUUUCAGAUUCAUGUUGAAAUGUCAAAGUUUAUGUUCCAAAAGAUGAACAUUCUCGUGCUCACAUGGGCGGCCAUCCCUUUGAAAUGAUUGUUGUGGAGUUCGAUCUAACAAUUUGCCGAUUAGAUAUUAUAAUGAACUGUCCUUGUUUGAAGAAAAGUGUAUAAAUCGAAUUUUGUCUUGUUUAUGCAGCAAACAAAAAUACUUAAUUAGUUGGUGAUAUCACGUUAAUUUGUUGCGCAAUAUAAACAUCACAUAAUAUAUUUCUUCAUUUGUAAUGCCCUAAUGUCACGGUGGAUCUGAUUCAAAUGUAUGAAGUAAGGCCUUUUGAAAUCAUUUUCAUGGGUUGAUUCAAACUUCACUAGCACCGACAGUUUGACUCGGUCAAAAUUGGGUCGGCAAUCGGGGUGUCCCAAGAUCAGCUCGUCGUCUGAGUUUUGGGGGAGGUGGAGGCUGCUGCUCUUACGUUAUAUUUUGCUUCUCUUUUUCUUUUUUUCUUUUUAUCAGUGUUGAAGCAUUUGAUCUCUAUCCAAUGUCCCCAUCAAAGAUGUCCCCAUCAAAGAGAUAAGGUAGGAUUAGCUUAAAUAGAAUUUCAAAUAGCCCAAGCGUUACAAUAAGAUAAGUCCAAAACCCGAACACUUUAACUUUAUUUUUCUAUAGCUUUCUUGACAUAUAAUAAGAAUGUACUUUUCAUCAAUGAUCAUACGCAUAACAAUCUUUGAAAGAUUCUACCACAUUGAUAGUUUUAAAUGUUAAUCCAAAUUUGAAAUAUAAGUUUGGAUUUAUUCAUUUGUUACUCAUGAAUUCUAUUCUUUUGUGGAAUUUAUUGAAAAUUAGAGAAUCUCAUGAAUCCAACAAAAUAUCAAGCUUAUUCAACUUUUAUUCCCUUGAUACGCUAUUUAUGUAGCACAAUUUACAAAAUUCCACAAAAACCACUUCACCAGAUUCCUGCCACACCUUUCAUUCUCUUAUUCUCAGCAAAUACAAGAACAGCUACGCUCACCAGCCCCACAAGCUUUACUGCAAACACAGAGUGACCCAAACUCUUCUUCUCUCCUUGUGAAUUUAGCACAACCAGACGUAUUUCACACAGUACAGUGAACAAUCCAAGAUAGCGAUGAGAUCUACUCAAUAGGCAUCAGGGUUUGCCAAGAGAUGAGCCUCGAUGGCCUUGAACAUCUCGGACGCCUUCUCUUUCCCGGCCUUGAUCUUCUCCUCAGUGAUCUCCACCUCCCCGAUGGUGAAGUACUUGCUCGUGUUCUUGCACACCGAGCCUCCCUCGGGCGAUGUGGUGAUCUUCACCUCGUUGCUGAUCUUCUCGAAGGUGGUGCCCAGCAUGUCGCCCUCGAUGAUCGAGUAGCAGUAGGUGAAGUUCUCCUUGUCCAGGGCCUCAACCUUUUGCUUCAUUGUCUUGUACUGACUGCCUAUCAAAGUAAGAAAAAAUAAUAUUCACGUUUAGAACUCGCCCGUUUCAACAUCACGAACAACGAUCUCGAUGGUGUUGAUCGGGCCAUUUAGGUUGUUCCAACUGCAAUCUGAUACGAUUGACUUAGUAGACAUGGCCUGAUUUCCCUCGAUUGGAGUCAAGUCACGUGAUCACUUGUGUAAAUCAAUGAUUAGAAACAUCUUUAAUUAACCAAGUUACAUAUCUAUCUUUUUUAAUGUUCAUUAUGAUGUUCCAUAAGGUUGAAAUAGCCUUGAUCCAGAGCGAUCCUAACACGGACGGACUAACCUUCGCCGAAAGUGAUCAACUUGACGGUCCCGGGACCUCCGUCACCCUCGAGGACUUCAACGCUCUUGAUGGCUUGCGGGAGCACCUUGGGGAUGAGGUUAUCGGCGUCGAGGACAGCGGCCUUGAACAUCUUGGCCGGAGGGAUUGGGGUCGUGAUCUCAGAGUCGUAACUGACGACACCCAUGAUUUGGAUCCGAAUGGAAUUGCCGAAAGAAAGAAGAGGGUGAUCGGGAAAGGCUGACUAGCAGUGAUGAAGUUGGUCUCUAGGACUUGGGAGUGAAGAGAAGAGGAUGAACUGAAGCUGACAUAUAUAGAGAGACCGAGUGUGAAGGGUUCUCGUCAUUGGAUAUUUUCUUAAGUGUGUUCGUUUGGUACAAAAUAAAUAAUUAAAUAAUUAUUUGUAUCAUUUGGUAUAAUUAUUUGAUGAGAAAGUUUUGCAUUAUUGACAAUAAUUUAUAUAUAAAUAUUUUUUAUUCGUUUAUUUUUGUAAUUUAUAUAAAAAAAAUAUUUUUUUUACGAAACAAAUGAAGCUUAAUAAAAAAAUCUUAAUCGGUCUGUGGGUUGUUCAAUCAUGACAUGGAGGGGAGCGUGUGACGACAAAGUCAGUUCUUCUUACCGUUCGUGGCCCGGCUUUCGGUCGUCGGCUCGGCUCGCCUUGCGUUUUGGAAACGGCAUCUUCUCUCUCUCUCUCUUUCCUUCUCUCGCCCGCUCUUCCCUGCCCCGCCCCCCGGGCUUUGCUGUGGUCGCGACCAGAUGGAACUUUGACCGUGGAUUAGAUCGUUCGUUCGGUGGUGUUGGUGUCGAGGGUCGUUUGUCUUGUCCGUGCACAAAUUCCUUUCUUUCUUUUUUUUUUUUUUUGCUUUUUUUUUCUUUAUUCGAUGAGGUCGUCGUUCGAUGAGGUCGACCUUGACCUCGCCGGUUGCCAUGGUCCGUCGACUAGAGGAAGAAGAUGAGAAGAAAAAAAUAAAAAUAAAAAUAAAAAUUCAAAAAAAUUACAAUAUUAUUAGAAGUUGUCCACGUCAUCGUGUUUAGUCAGCAAAAUCCGGUCAAAAUUGACCGGAAAUGACUGAAUUGGUAUAAAGUAAAAAUAUUUAGGACUAAAUCAGCACAAAAACAAAAUGUUUAGAACUUUUUAGGCAUUUUUCCCCUAAAAUGGGUAUUACAAGUUUACGAAAGGUACGAACUCAAAAGUCUCCCAAUAAUACUUAAAUUCUCUUGUAGUAGUUAUAUCUAUCUAAUCUUCAAUUAAAAAAGAAAAAUUUCAGUAAAAUUCCUUAAAAACACAUGUAUAAAAUCUUGUUAUCUUCUAUUAAUGCAGGUUUUAAUCAUAUUGUUUCACCAACCUUCUCAGCGAAUUAGUCCCUUUUUUUAGCAUAACUAAUCUUGGGAUGUCACAUUUUAUUGCUAUAACUUGGGGCUUUGAUUUAGGAACUCCAAUAAUCAUUAAAUCUAUCCAUGGAGAGCGCCCGCUAAAAAAAUCUGACUGCUUUGCAUAACCUAGUUUGGUUCAACACCUUUCCUCCAGUAACUUUCCUGACAUAGUAAAAUCUUACUUAUGUACUUGUAAAAUCCGAACCAAGUUUCUGUAUAGAUUAAACAUGAACAUUUGCACACUUAAAUGAAUUCUUUAAAUCCCUGGGUUAAAUUUUGAUAUUAUCAUAAUCCUUUAUUUUCCAAGUAGUUUCUCCAUUUUCGACAAUGACAAACCUAUAACAUUCCUUCAAUGAGAGUGAGCUAUGCACAUAAGCAUGCAUAUUCUGCAGAACUAUUUGAAUGUAAAACCAGAGAUGAUUCAUGCAUGCUUCUACAUGUGACAUUUUAAUAGACCAUACAAAUAUGUCUGCAAAACAUAAUAAACUCUCCUUAAUAUGUACACAUAGUGUGAUACUCCCCCUGAGUAUGUGCUUCUCCCCCUUCUUGUUUCUUAAAAAAGCAAGAACAUCAUAUGCCCAGGGAUGAAAACCAUAUAAGCAAAAGCAUCCAUUUAUUUAUAUACAAGAGUGUUCCACAAAGCAUAUUCUGGAAAAAUUAAUAUAAAGGAAAGUGAACAUUAACCAAAAGGAUCACAAACACCGAUUUCAUCCAUCAAGCUAGAAACGUAUUGUUAUCAAGAGGUUUAUUCAAAAUAUGAGCGAAUUGCAGAUCGAUGUUAACAAAUCCUUUUCAUUAAUUCAUGUUGUGCUGUGGCUGCCAUAAUUAAAUAAAUAAAUAAAAGAAUCAUAUGAAGGAGUCUCUCUUCUUGAAGUUUGACCUAGUUCAGAGCUCCUCGAAAUGGAAGCCACCCCCGUUAAUUAGCACAACUCAUUGUUUAGAGUUAAAUCUUUUAUUAGAAAUCCAAAAUUUAGGCAAUUAAAUACUUGGCCAAUUUUUAAGACAGUGUGACUCUAAAAAUUGUGCUCAUAUUCAACUGAAACACAAUUAGUAAAGAAAGACUUACCGAGUGCUUAACAAUGUCGCAAUUACACUUAUCUUCAAAUCCUUACAUUAAGGAUGACACAUCCUUAUAUUUCAAUAAGGGCCAUUGACUUAACUAAGAAAUUUUAUCUGUUGAAUACUUGAAACACAGAAAUCUGACUAAUUGGAGUAUGAAUUACUGAAACUACAACAACAAUUGAGUAGAAAUGUAAAAGAGACUUAGGGUUGAUGCCUGAUUAUAUAUCGAAAUACCAUGGGUUUGACAUAUAGACCUCCUUGUCAAAGCCCUGUAUGCUAUUGGAAAUAUGUAUACGUAUUAGGCGCAUUCUGUGGGCUACUACAUGGUGCACUUGUUUUAUAUUUAAAGUUUCAAUGGGUUAGUUUUGUCUACUGGUAAUAUUUUCCUCCAAUCAUACUUUCAAUUAAUAGGUCAAAGAUUAUGGACAUUAUCAAUACGAAAUUUAAUCAAAAUCAAAUACGAGUGAUGUUAAUAUUUGUGUAAUCCAUCAAUGAAAGUUAUGGCUAAAAAGAGUUCAUCCAGCUAGAGCGUUACAUGUGUAAAUAGAGAUAAAAUAAAUUUAGAAUUCUAUCCGUGAACUUUUAUAUCAUUGACUACGGUUGCUAACAAGCAUUUUCAUUGCAAAAUUUGACAACAUUUUUCGAUGGCUUUUGGAUUAUCACAUAAUUAUGUCGUGAUUCAGUUUUAUCAUGUUCAGAUUUAGUUUUUUUACAUUUAUUUGAAUCUAAGUUACAAUUAUUGCACGUGAUGGUUGACACUUAAGGGCCUGCAUGGUUGGCACUUAUUUCUGUUCCCAGGAACAGAAAUUUCUGUUUUUUUGUUCCUGGGAACAAAAAAGGAACAGAAACGCGUUUGUGUGCGUUUCNNNNNNNNNNNNNNNNNNNNNNNNNNNNNNNNNNNNNNNNNNNNNNNNNNNNNNNNNNNNNNNNNNNNNNNNNNNNNNNNNNNNNNNNNNNNNNNNNNNNNNNNNNNNNNNNNNNNNNNNNNNNNNNNNNNNNNNNNNNNNNNNNNNNNNNNNNNNNNNNNNNNNNNNNNNNNNNNNNNNNNNNNNNNNNNNNNNNNNNNNNNNNNNNNNNNNNNNNNNNNNNNNNNNNNNNNNNNNNNNNNNNNNNNNNNNNNNNNNNNNNNNNNNNNNNNNNNNNNNNNNNNNNNNNNNNNNNNNNNNNNNNNNNNNNNNNNNNNNNNNNNNNNNNNNNNNNNNNNNNNNNNNNNNNNNNNNNNNNNNNNNNNNNNNNNNNNNNNNNNNNNNNNNNNNNNNNNNNNNNNNNNNNNNNNNNNNNNNNNNNNNNNNNNNNNNNNNNNNNNNNNNNNNNNNNNNNNNNNNNNNNNNNNNNNNNNNNNNNNNNNNNNAAUAAAAAAAUUAUACAAAUUUACCAAACAUGUUUCUGUUUAUUUUUUAUUCUCGGAACAAGUUUACCAAACGCGUAUUUUUGUUCAAAAAUUGUUCCCCGGAACAGAAAUACUUUUUUCUAUUUCUGUUCCUGGAACAAUUUUUAAACAGAAACACAACCAAACGCGCCCUAAAUUUCGCUGUUUUUCUUCCUCUUCUUUUGUCCCCGCGCGGCCCAAUCUCGUUUUUCCUUUCGGCCCGCCCGCGCCCCAGCUGUCUUCCUUGUCCUGUCUUCGCGCGCAAACCUGCAGAGGAGAGACAGCAGCAGCAGCAGCACAGCAGCAGCACGCCAGCAGGGGGAGCAGGAGCAGAGUAGAAAGCACGCGAGCAACAGGCGGACCGGCGGAAAGAAAAGACAGGGGGAAGCAAGGGGCAGAAAGAAAGUGGAGCAACCAGAGAAAGAAAAACAGAGGGAGAGAGCUCGAGAGGGAGGGAGAGAACCGGAGAGGAGGGGAGUCUCCGGCACUGUCGCCGCCGCCGCCGACGCUCGCUGCCGCCUCCCACACCUCUCCAGCAACCGCCAUCCCCGACGACCACCGCCGUGUUGCCUCCCCCGCCGUCGCCUGCUGCUGCGUUUUCGUCACCAGCUGCCGCGUUCGCCGUCGCCCGCCGCUGCCUUUCCGCCACCGUGCCGUCACCCGCUGCGUCCCAACCGUCGCCGUCAAGCCCGUCGCCGCCGCCGCCGUCCGUACGCCUAGCGACGCCUCAGCCGCAAGCAAGGAGAGGGACGUCCAUCGGGUCGCAGCCGGGUAGGAUUUUGAUCUUCGGGCAGGCCGCGUCUGGGCCGAAGCAAGGCCUUUGGGCCGGUUUAAUAUUAGUUUUUCCUUUUGUGUCGGGCUGGUUUAAUAUUAGUCUUUCCUUUUGUGUUGGGCCGGGCUUAGUUUACUUAGGUUUCUUUUUUAGGUGGACUCAGUUUUGAGCUGGACUGGGCCCGUCGUUCAGGCCCAGUCCUGUUGGGGCCCUGCCGAAUUUGGCCCUCCCCCGACCAGGCCGAACCCGGGUCGGUCAGACCGGACCCGACCCGGUUCGCCCAUUUUUUUAAAAUUUAUUUUAUUUUUUAAAAAUAAUUAAAAAUGUAAAAAUUUCGAAAAUUUAAAAAAUGUUGGGUUUAGUUAGGAAUUAUCAUGUCAACAUAAUUAAGCUUUUAUUUUCUUGUACCUUGAUUAUAUUGCAUGUUUAAUUAGCAUAUUUGAUUAUGUUUGUGGAUGUUUAAUUGCACAUGUUUAAUUUUACUGCAAUUAAGAUUUUGGUAGCUAUUAUUGUUAUUCUAAUGAUUGUACAUUUAUACAAUUACAUUAUAUGUUAGUGGAUAUGUGUAAAAUCAAUCCACAUUGCCUGACAAAAAUCAUUUCUUUUUAAAAUGAACAAUAUUAAGUAUUGAAAAGACACUAAUUGGUUAAUUAGUAUAAUCAUAUUCCCGACCCUAGAUUCUUUAGUUGGUAAGAAGUGUGGUAUACUCUCAUGUCUCACUUGGUUUUUAACCGACCCCAAUAUAGCUUACUCUAAUAGGUUAGUGGCGACUCUCUUUUGCAAAAUUCUUAAAAAUACCCAAAUGUCACGUGAGAUAAAGCUUAUGAGAGCCUAUGCCUAAUCAUAGGCUUUAGAUUCGUUGUUUAGGCAAUACCCUUAAACCUAUUCUUUCCCCCUGAUGGUAGGUCACGACAAUGAUCUAAGCUCCACCAAUAUUCUUACAUGACAUUUUCUGCUUGUCAAGCAUGUGACUUUAACGAUGUUGUAAAUUAAAUCAAUUACACGUUAAAAGUUUCAGUCAAUAAUUGACACAAAUAGUAGUAGUGGACCGACCGAAUAACAUUAGAUUGGCAAUGCAAAAUCUUAUUUCAAUAGAUCAAUAGCAUAACUACAGCAAAUAUCAAACUUUAGGACCGUGAAUGAAAUUUCUCGGUGUUAAAAAAUAAUUUUCCUUCUCUUGUCACGUCCACAGAAAAUCUUUUAGCACCACCACUACAAAAAAGGAUCGUGGUUUUCUUCCAUCACAAAUUUGAUUGGCAAGUUAUCAAAAUUUGAAGAAUCAUCCUAGAGACCGAUUCAAGGACAGCAGUUGAUCUACUAGUUGGCAAGAUUACAGAGGCGUUGAGGUCAGAUUGGGUGGUGAAAACCAACACAGCCCGUGAAGGCAAAACGUGCGACGAUUAAUAAGCCAAUGCAGCGUUCUUUCAGAGACUAGAUUUAGUUAUUCACUUAAGUUUAUCUACGGGGCUUCAAUUUGUACUUUUUAGGAGAUAAAAGUGGGUGUUAGGAGGCCUGGAGUUGCAUAUGAGACGUGUUAGAAAUUAAACCAAAUUAAUAGAUGUCCUCAAUCGACUACGAGUUGCUGAUGUCAAUGGAGAAGUUACUGAUAUUAAUGGUUGUCAAUGUUGAUAUUCCAUAAUUUGAUACUGAUGAUUUUGUUUGGUGAAUUGAUACGGAUGACUGUCCGAUGCUUGAGUUAAUUAGAUUCUUUAUUGUAGCGUUGUUUUUGAGAAGUCUAUUCGUAUUUUUAUUUCAUGUCUGUUCAUGUUUCUAAGUGUAAUCAAUGUUUUGUAAGUUCUUAGGAUUUUAUCACCUCAGAUUAGCUAUAUUUAUGAGUAAUUUAGUUUAAGAGUUAUGUGUGAAGCGUAUAAAAGUGGAGUCUUGUAAUUGUUUUUGAUAAGGUGAAAAAAAGGUGAAAUAAACAAAAAGGAUAUCUGUCUCCUUCUCUUUUUUGUGUUGUGUUAGUGAGUGUUUCAGCUUUAAAUUAUCCCAUCAAGAUGUAGCCUGUAUUUGUCUGUUACAAAAACUUGAAAUUUUCUAGUUUUGAUGCCAUAUGAAAUUAUGAAGGAGCGCUAUUAGCUAUUAUAGAAGUUUAGAUAAUUAGAUGGAUGCAUUAUUCGAUACUUAAUUGAUAUAACGUCUCUUUCACGACCCAUGUUCCUUUUCAACAACUAGAUUACUUCAACAGCUUGGCCUCAAUGAAAGGAGAGCUGUCUACAGAAGUGGAGGAUGAUGGAAUGAACAACUCGAUCGCGGAGGAGGUAAAGAAGGAUGAAAGAGGACCUUUAAUGGAAGUGUCAAAGGAUGAAAGGGAUUCUGAAGAAGAAAUCUGGAGAGGUCGACGGGAGAUAAUGAAUAAUGCAUUGGCGGCUUCCGCGGGGGACAAGAUCCGGCAAAAGCUUACGAAUAUGCUCGAAUACUGGCGCAUGUCAUCAAAGGCGGCAAGGUUGACGAGUUCCUUUCCAUGAUCAAUGUAAAUGAUCCAUUGUUGUGGGACAUCAAUUGGUCUGCCGUUUUGAAUUCCCGAUUGGAAUGGAACGAAUCACUGCUCCACAGGGCAGCAGCAAACGAGAACGACGACAUCCUAAGGCUUCUGGUUGAUUAUGUUGGUGACCACCUCAUAACCGCCCAAGAUGAUUGCAGAUAUACCCCACUCCACUGGGUCGCUCGGUUGGGGGGAUCUACUGGAGCUGUAGAGAUGUUGAUUCACCGGGCAAGAGACCUCCCCAACGUCGAGGACAAGAACCUCCUCUUGAGGAUGAAGAGCAACCGUGGAAAAACCGCUUUGCACUUGGCCGUGUGCUCUCAACAUGCCAACUUGGUGCGCUAUUUGUUGAGCGAAGAUUUGGAGCCCGUGUACUGGAAGAAUGCAAGUGAGAAAUCUCCCCUGUACCUAGCCCUCGAGAUUAAUGACUCCACAAUACAUGAGACUUUAUUUUCACUCUCGUUGGAACCGUCAAGGAUAGAAGGCUUGCCGCCCAUUCUUGGUGCCAUUGUACUUGGACGACACGGUACGUACCUAAAUCUGCUUAUGUGGAAAUAUAUUUAUCUAUUUCUGGACCGACUCGUCCCAAAUUUGUGCAAUAACCUUUUGCUCUUACCAGAACCUUUUACCGGUUUUUACUUAAAAUUCCCUACCCUGCUUGUUAAAGCAGUUGGAUACCCAUCGGUUUAGCCGCGCAUAAUAAACAAAUUAUUCACAUUAGAGCAUAAUAGAUUGGCUUAAAUAUUACAAAUACAACCAUUUCACUAGAAACUCGUGUUAUCGAUAUUUGAUUAGAAAAGCUAUAAAGUGCAAAUAUUUAAGAUUGAUGACCAUGAAAAUCUGGUAUCUAACAAUGAUGCCAUUUCUUAAGCGACUUAGAGCCAUGAACCAAAAUGAACAAAUGAAAGUUUAGGGCAGGAAUUAUAAACUGGUAGCAAACCUGUAGGCUGCGCAGGCGUGAUUUUUUCAUUGGAAAAAGAGGAGGUGAAGGUUCCGUCACUCUCAACAAAUUGAUGGAACAUCAUAAACCGUGAAUUUGUUUGUGACCAACAGUCAAUAGGUUUUUAAGAAAUUAACAAAAGUGGAUCUAAAUAAAGAAACAAAUUUUUGACUUUUUUUUAAAAAUGAAUACAGUUAUCAUAAACUUUGCACAAAAAGCCGAUAUCGUAGUCUAGCCUAAAUUACCUUGACCAUUAAAAAUAUUGAGUUAAAAUUCAUCAGACACGCGAUAAUCAAUUAUGCGGAAUUUUUUGGCUGCUAAUGCCAUGUAUCCCAAGUUUACUACUUGAUAAGCAUAGCUAACGUUCAUUGAUCAUCAGAUUGGUAGAUGGCAUUCAAGUGUUACAGUCAUAUCAAAUAGAGAGAAUUGUCCAAAAAGUGCUAGACUUAUUAUAUGAUUGUCGAUUCAGUUAUAAACAUGUUAAUUGUGUCAAUUUAACCUCUAUUUUAGUCCUAAACUUUUAAAAGAUUUGCCAACUUAGUCCUUCUAAUCAAUUUCUACUGGAAAUCAAUUUAUGCUGGAAAUUGCCGACAUGGCGGUCUAGUCAAAGUUAGCCAUCCUACAUGAUGUUGAUCGCCUAUGUGGCUUUUUUACAAUAUAUAUAUUAUUUUUUUAAUUUUUUGCAUUUUUUUCCUUUUCUUUUUUUUUAAUCCUUUUUCUCCCUCUGCCAGCCUCAGGCGAGGGCUGCCCUCUGACCCUUGCGUAGAGCAACCCUUGCCCUUGCUCGACCUCCACUAGGUGUCAACUGUUGAUGGUUAGAGAAGGGAAAAAGGAAAAAAUGAAAUUAGAAAACAAAAUGAAAAGAAAAAGACAAAGGAAAGGAAAGGAAAAAGGAAAAAAAAAUUAGAAAACUAAAAAAAUUGCAAAAAUUAUCCAUGUUAGCGUUGACUAUGCCAUGUAGGACAAUCAAUACUACUAGACCGCCAUGCCAAUGAUUUCCAACAAAAUUGGCUAGAAUGACUAAAAUAACAAAUUGUUAAAAGAUUUAUAACUAAAUUGGCAAGUUAUUAAACAUGGAAGGCUUCGCAGCUAUCCAGAAGAGAGCCUUACUCUAUAGGGGUGCUAACGCUUUACUAAGGUAUAGGAGAAGGGGCGGUUGGCUUAGUAAAGAGAGUAUAAAGUUCCACUUUGUGAAUAGUGCCUCGGCUCGGUUGAGUAAUGUAGUUCGCAAUUGUUAUGACUAAAUUGGCAUAAUUGAAAUAUUUAAGACUAAAUUAAUCAUCAUACAAUAAAUUCAAGACUUUUUGGACAAUUUUCCCUAUCAAGUAUAAUUCCAACCCUAGAUGCAGUAACUUUAUUUGUAUCCUGUCCCAAUUUAUUAAUCCGAGCACAUGUUAUUAUUUACAUUGCACGACGUAACAUGUUUGAGGCUGUCUAUUUAAACUGAACAUGCAAAACAAUUUCAAAUAGACAUUAAGUGAAAAUGCGUAACAAUGUAUUGUGUGAUGCAAAUAAUAAAUUAGCAUACCCAAUAAAUGUAGGUGUCUAAACUUACGUCGCACUCGUUGAAUAGAUUAUAGAAGUCGACUUGCACACAUAACGUUCAUAAUCCAUUUAUAAAUGGCUUAACUUAUUUGCGAUAAUACAAUUAAACCUAAUCCUACCAUAUGUAACCACGUUUCAUGUAGUGAACAUGUCUGUAGAAGGGCUGUUUCAUAGUUUGUCAGCUCAUAAUUCUAAUAAGUACUUUAGAAACUAUACAAAAGAUCCCAUUGAAAUUGGAUUUACUAUAUAUUUCUUAUUCUUACUGUCCAAUAUAUAAAAAUCCUUUUAUGAAGUACUACUAAUUGAAAUCUCAUAAUAAUAGUUCAUUUUAUUCCUCAUUGAAUGUAAAAGUAGAUGACAUUGUGGAAUGAAUCGAGCAUUGCCAUGGGCUUUUGUAGAGAGGCACUUUAAUUAGGCUCUCAUGAUAGGUAAGGUUCAUAUCAAUUAAAUAAGGUAAGGUUAUUUCUUUAAAUCUAGUAGUAUUCUUUCACUUGGGAAAAUUAUCCAAAAAGUCCUAAGCCUAUUGCACUUUUGCCAAUUCAAUCCUAAAUCAUUCAAUUUUGUCAAUUCAGUGCUAACCAUUUUCACUUCUUGCCAAAUGAGUGUAUUCCGCUAAUUUUGACCAGAAUUCAUUGAUGUGGAUAAUUUUUAUUAAUAUUUUAAUCAUUUUUUAAAAAAAUUAUACUUUUUUCUUUUUUUCUUUCUUUAUUCCCCCCUCUCUUCUUCCUUUUAUCAAUGGCUAGCUACUAACCACCAGUGAUGGCCAACUACCGGCCAUGGCUAGGUGAGUUGACCUUGCCCGCCGUAAGUGAUGCCUGGCCGGGCAAGGCCAAGCCCCAACAAGGGUCGGCCUCACCUAGGUUAGGCGAGACCAACCCUCGCCCAAACUAGGUGAGAUCGCCUAGGCGAGGGUGAGCCCCUUGUUCGACCAUGUCUUACUGAGGCAUGCGAGGCUAGCUAGCUCGGCCAUAGUUGGUGGCUGGCACAAAAGGAAGAAGAAAGGGAAAAAAAAUUUAAAAAAAAUAAAAAAAUAUUUUUAAGAGUUUACAUUAGUGUCAACCGUCUUACAAGACACCGCUAGUGUCCACAUCAGCGAAUUCCUAUCAAAAUUAGCCGGAUGGACUCAAUUACCAAGAAGUAAAAAGGUUUAUGACUGAAUUGACAAAAUUAAAGAGUUUAUGACUGAAUUGAUAUAAGUGCAAUAGAUUUAGAACUUUUGGGAAAUUUUCACUCUUUCACUAAUGUAUCUAGAAUGUAACUAGUUACCCAUAUUGAAAUUUGUGGCCUGAAUUGCUCCGUCAAUUUCAAGAAUGGUGGCAUCCAUCAUGCGAGCACCUUUUUUUGUAUGUGUAAAAUUGAAGUAUGUUUUUUAUUAUAAAUUAUUGGUGAAAUAUUAUUCUAUUUCAUAAAAAAAUUCUUCUUUUGAAUAGAAUAAAUGCAAAAUUCUUAAUUCAUGUUAUAUAUUAAUGUAAAAUAUAGGGGGCUCGAUGAUAGUUAAAAAAUUCCUAAUUAUUGUUGUUAUAACUCAUGAAAUUUGUAUAUGUACUUAACAAUAUUAUUAGAGUAUAUUUUAUAGGAAGUAUUAUAGAAAUGUAAGAAUUUUCAAUAAUUGCUCAUUUGCAGUUUUUGAAACUCAUUAGAACUAAUUUCAAUAAAACUAAUGCCUCUUUUGUUGAACAAAAGUCAUGGUAUAAGAGGCAAACAUAAAUCCUAAUUUGAAGCAAAAUAAAUGGAAAGUGGAAGAAACACUCUUUGUGAGGAAAAUAAUCAAUCCCUUACAAAUUAGAGCCCUAUAAAUCACUUUUAGAGACAAUUCUUAAAGAAAAAAUCAUUAUAUAUUUAUGUAGAUGUUACAAUAGUCUAGAUUAAUUUGCAAAGUUCACUGAACUUUUAGUAUUAUGGAUGUAAUUUUAUGGCGGUGAAAUGAGACUCAUUUUGUUUUGUGUUGUGUCAUCACAGCUUAAAUAUGUGGUCGUUAUAGCUCCGAUAUAUAUGACUCCAUGCAAUGCACAGACAAGAUAGAACAUAUAAUGUGAUUUAUUGAGUAAAAAUAUCUUUCCCAGAAUCACUAAAAUUUCACAAAAUAUAUUUGGUCCAUUCACAAGAUAUAAUGGGAUUGAGUAGCACAAUCCCCAAGGAUGAGGUUAUCUCUAAAUCACUCUCGCCUGUCUUUGAAGUCCAAUGGCCACCCACAAUCCUCAAACACCGUUGGAAUAUUCUCAAACAAUUGAAGCACCUCUCUCACAUUAUUGAACCUCUUUACUAGCACCUCCAAAUUUUCAUAGUUGGGGCCAAAAAAAAAUUCCUUUUGGUGGAGCCUUUUCCUUUCUGUAUUUUGUGAUUUAUAAGCUCUACUAUCUUAGAAAUAGAUUAUGGUCACAAAUUUUACUUAGAUUUUACUCACAAGUUUGGUAAAUACAUAAUCUCUUAAUUGAGCUCAAUAAGUGCCGUAUACCUUUACGAAGAAGAUGACAUUCAAUCUAGAGAGGGUGGAACAAUUUUAAGGGGGAUUUCGGUAGGGCGUUGUGGAGGCUAUUGCAAUGUUCUUAACAAUUAAAUAAGUCUGCUUGAUACUUGCUAGAAUUCGACGGACAUAAUAUGAAAAGAUCAUUUUCCUUUUCUUGAUCUUGCCCUAGCUUGCAUUACGUCUGCCGACUCUAUAGAUACUUCAUGUCGUGGAAAUGCCAUAUAAAUUGCUAUGUCAUUUAGCAAGAUUUUUAUAGUCAAAUCUUAAGUUCCUGUCGAUGUCAUUUAACUAGUUUUGGUAUUGCAAUCUAAUCUGUUAUUGUCGACUAUCAAUACUAGUAGUGAUUAAGGCACGUCAAAGAUGUCCUUACUCCAAAAUGGGUUUAAAUAUAUCGAGACCAACCAAGCUCCAACCAUCCUAAUUUGGAGCUUCUGAUCCCAGAUUUAUUCAACCUGAUACUCAAGAAAAACAUGAAGCUAUUCGCAUUGACCGACUCCACCGGGGGCAAUGUAUUCCAUUUAGCAGCUUACCUGAAUCAGGCCUGGGUAUUCGAAUUCUUACAACCAGAAACUAUAUAUUUGAUCCGAGCAAGGGACAUGAAUGGAGAUCUCCCCAUUCAUAUUGCGAGCAAGAUGGGUUAUGUUGAACAUAUCAAGAAGCUGAGGAAAGUAUCAAAUUUGCGAAAUGGGCAAGGGCAAACUGUUCUUCAUGUUGCCGCAAAAUAUGGGAGAGUCUCCGUAGUGAGAUAUAUACUCAGUGAUCCAGAUCUAGGGGAGCUGUUAAAUAAACAAGAUUUUGAUGGAAAUACAGCUUUGCACUUGGCUGCGAUGCAUUCACAGCCCGCUGCUUUGAUUCAUCUUGUGCGGACUAACGGAAUUCAACUCAGCAUUCUCAACAACAAAUGCUUGUUGGCUGUUGACAUUGCUGGACGACGCGUAGCAAUGGGGUAUGAUAUUCGGCAGGUAGGUAACAUGAACAGUCACUAUUUUAUUUAUUAACUUACUGGAGAUUUCGUAGACUAAUGCAUUAGUUAAGGCAGAUCUUGUAUUCAAAUCAUUAUGUCUCCCAGCCAACUAGAUAGGAGAAGUAUUGAUCAAAUCUCUAGAAUAACCAAGACUCCUCUCGGAUAAAUGUUUUGCAAGUCCCUAAUUUAGUCUUGAUAGGAGGUAAUUAAAAUUUGUGAUCAUGAAUUUCUCUGCAGUUAGAAACAAGUAACGUGUCUUUCAUAACACGGAGAUAACAAUUUAUAUAUUUCGUUUAAUUGAGCCUCUGAAUACAGUCAUGAAUAAAAAGGCAGGGUUUGUCAAGGUUGCAUUCUGUUUUUCAUAAAAAGCCAGGGGUCAAUGUGGCAAAUUUGAACGCUCCAAAUGUAACACAAUCUCAUAACAUUAUCAUUUUGUCGACCUAUGAAAUGAUUGCCCGCAUAGAUUCCAUUCAUGCCUCUUUUUUCGUCUAAAACGAACUUGGCAAUUUUGUGCUAAUUCUUCAAAAAGAGCAGAAACUGCAUCUUUAGAAGCAAACGUUUCCAGAGUUCAUUCCCGUUAUAAAUAUGGUAUAAGUUUGUUCUUAUUUUCCUUUUUACAUGCUUCCGAUCUCAGCACUUGGCAUACCUGGCGUUGCUUUGCUCGCUCGCGGAAGAAGGUCCACUUGAAAACCAAGAGUUACUCCUAGUUAGAGCGGAAGCUCGAGAUGAAGAGUUAUCAGUAGUCCGCUCGCGCAAAAGCAUGCCGAGAAGGGACAUCAUCAAGGAUCACAUCAAUUCCCGUAUGGUGGUGGCAACGCUUGUGGCCACAGUGACUUUCGCAGUUGGUUUUGCAGUUCCUGGAGGAUUUAACAGCUCAGACACAGCCUCCAAAGAUGACCGGGGCAUGGCUAUGAUGCUGGACACAGAAUGUUCCAGGCUUUCGCGAUUUGCAACACCAUCGCGAUGUUCUGCUCAAUGACUGUGGUCGUCAACCUCAUCUGGGCGCAGGUAGUUGAUGUCAACGUUGCAGUCGCUGCAUUUCAGCGCACAACGCUACCGCUACAAAUUGCACUCCCGGCGAUGUCCACCGCUUUCUUAACUGGUGUCACCUUGACCAUUGGCAAACUCCCGUGGCUUGCUAACACCAUAUUUUAUUUGGGACUCGUUUUCCUCCUCAUUAUCUCAUUUGCUAACUUGUUCGGGGAGCCUUUCUUCUUUAAAAUCCUCGGUCAUCCUCUCCGUCGACUAACAUUCUGGCUUAUUCUCGCUUGCAUUUAUUUGUGGAGAGUUGAGACGUACAUUUAUGAUGACAAUGACGCGGAAGAUAACAGAAGGAGAAGAAGACCUUCGCUAGUCCGCCUGUGGAUGUUGCCGGUGAAACGAGGACCGAUGACUCGGCGAAAGCAAAAUGUGAGGAUGCGUUACAUCCUCCAAGUCACUGAUUUGAAUUGAUCAUUCCAUAUUAUCUGUAAUAUGUAGUAGUAAUAUAUGUUUUCCUUGGUGAGUGUGACUCACUCUACGGUUGCUUUCCUUUAUGUCAGAUCAAAGGUGAUUGUUAAUGUAUGUAAGCUAAACCACGUGUUCCUCUAAUAACUUAACUUAUUAGAAUUGUUGGAUAUAAUUCCAUCAAAUUUCAUAUGUUAUUAAAGCAGAGGUUCUAAGUUCAAACAUUUUCAGGUCCUAUUUGCUUCAUCUAUUAUAUGUUCUCAUGUUUCAAUAUUAGAUCAAUUCAAGUUUAUGAGUGAAGAUGAGUAUAAAAGUAUUUGUAUUAAAGUAUUUGAAUUAAACAUCGCAUCCGUCUAAUAAUUUACAUUUUUAGAAUAAUUAAUUGUAGUUCCCGAAAUUUCAAAGUGAUACACACUUCAUGUAAAUUAAAUGGAUGAAUGGCUCAUUUCACCCGUUUCAUUGCCUUGGAAUCAAAUUGUUAACUUUGAACAUGUGGAAGCUCGUGGGUCAAUGAAAUCACUCGUCUAGAGUGGCAAUGUCCGAUUUACUUUGAACCAGUCCAAUUUGCGGCACUCUCGAGUCACGAAAUCUUACCUGUCUGGUGUGCAAAGAAAAUAAUUCUCAAAUUCUCAUCGCCUACUCUCUGAGUCGAGAGUUGGGUGAAGAAAACCGGAACAAAAUAAUUCUCUUCACUACUCACAAAAAAAAAAAAAUAGAAUCGAACCCCGAACUCAUUUCCAUUUACACCCCUUUCAUUUCCCCACUUCUCCCUCCUAGGCGACCAAUUUCUGUGCAUGCAAAUGAGUUUUGGUCUUUGAUUCGUGCCGAGGUAUAAUCUAGUGAGCAGCGGGCACAGAAGUCUAGUCAAGGGACGAGAUAAAAAGGAAUUGCAGUACGCAACUCAAGGAGAAUUGUGGAAAAGUUUGGAUAUGUGAUUUUCCUCCUCCGAUCUCUGAUUUUUAUUUCAAAGCCGGUUGGUAUUGACACGUAGAAUAUAACUCUAAAGUGAUUCUGGACCUAUUUAUUUUGAAAGUAGAUAAUUACAAAAAAUGAAAAGGAUCCCAUUGUACAAAUAAUCGAUUUAAUUUUAAACAUCUUGACGAUUUGCCAGUAUAGUCAUUCUGACCAAUUAUGACCGAAAAUCAUUGACGUAGAUGCUAGCCAUCCUAUCGCACAUGACCAGUAUUGAGGUGGACAAUUUUUGUAAUUUAAAACAAAAUUCUCAUUUUUUUUUCUUUUUUUCAUGUUUUCAUUUUCUUCAUUUUCCUUUCUUAUAUUUUCCUUUUUAUUUUUUUCUUAUUCCCCUUCGCCAGCCAUUGGCCGGUCCAUGGCUUCGGUGAUUGAUAGUAAGGGCCCAAUGCCCUCGCCAGCGAUUGCAAGGGCUGAUGGAUUUGCUGGGGCCACAGACUAAUGGAGGGACAAAGGAAGAAAAAAAAAGAAUGACAGAAAAGAAACUAAAAAAAGGAAAAAAAAAAGUUUUGAAAUAAUUGCAAAAAUUAUCCACAUUAACAUCCGCGCCCAGAUCGGCGAGGCCAAUCUUGUCAUGGGCUGGCCUAGAUCUGGGUGAAGCCGCCUCGCGUGCGGCUCCGAGGCCUCACUUGUGGCCAAAAGAAUGAAGAAGAGAAAAAAAAUAAAAGGAAAAAUAAAGAAAAUUAUUAAAAAAUUAUUAAAAAAUUAUUAAAAAUUGCCACGUUAGCAUUGACCGAAUGACUAUCGUCCACAUCAACGCUAGCCGACCAAAAUUGGCCGAAUAGAUUGAAUUAACACAAUCACGAAAAGUUUAUAACUGAAUUAGCACAAUUGUUAUGAAUUUACGACUUUUUUGGUAAUUCUCCCAAUUUAUUUGUUAUCUCCAUUUUUAGAUUGUGACAUGUGUCCAUUCAAUUUUAGUCCUCACUGCACUUCAUCUAAAUACCAUCAAACCUUAGCAGCGAGGAUGGUAAUUGGAGAUCUAUGCAAAUAUUUAUAUAUAAAAAUUACAUUGAGAUAGUAAAGUGUGCUCACCAUCAUCAUAUCAUCAUCCAUCAAGUCGAUUCCACAUAAUGAUCUAUUUGUCACUUUCAACAUCCUGGGGGCUUAAAUGUUUCAAUUAAAUAAGGUAGGAUGAGAAGUAUUUUUCAUAAAGAACGGACAUUCAAGAAGUCUUGCUAGAUUGAUAGAUUGAUGUUGCAAAUGGUUCUCUUCUCAAGUAGCAUGAAAAAUUAUGCUACUUAAAUGUAGAGCCUCCUUUUUUCUAUUUUUUUUGGCAGAUCUUCCAAAUCAAAUUACAAGGUUACGACUAUGAAAACUCAUAGUACAAGUACAAAAAAUACCAAAUCAAUCAUCUAUUGACUUCUCGAUUCUCAUUAAAUCUGAUUCACAAAAUAGGUUGGGACCCAUUUUGCUAGCCCUACUAAAAUCUAAACAUUUUAAUAAAUUAAGGAUUUAUACGGCAUCCUAGUUCACAAAGAUGUGCCGUUGCUGUUGACAAAUCGACAGUGAUUGAUUUUCAUGAACUCGUCGUCAUAUUGUCGACAUUCCCAUUAUAUAUGAACAUAAGAGAGAACUUUGAUUUUUGAGCAUCAAGAGAUAAGAUUGACUUAAAUAGAAUGCCAAAUAGCCCAAGUGUCACAAUUAGAUAAUUCCAAACCCCAAACACUUUUUUUUUAACCCCAAACACAUUCAACUAUGGUUUUUUUUUCCUUAUAACUUUCUUCACAUAAUAUAAGAAUGUACUUUAUGGUUAAUGAUCAUAUAUAUCGCGGUUUAUGAAAGACUAUGCCACAUCAAUAGUUUUAGAUGUUAGUCCAAAUUCGAAAUACCGGGCCAACGUUUGAGAUUUGAUUGGCCAUUCGGCAUUUCAUUUAUUACUCAUGAAGUCUAUCAUUGCAUGAAAUUUACUGAAAAUUAGAGAAUCUCACAAUACCAACAAAACAUCAAGUUUAUUCAGCUUUUUUACCCUUGAUACACUCCACAUGUAGCCCAAUUUACAAAAUUCCACGAAAACUACUGCUCAGCAAAGACGAACAACAGCACCCAUCGGCCCAACAUGCUUAACUCCAAGCAUAGAGUGACUCGAACUCUUCUUGUCUCCUUUCAGUUUACCACAACCAGACAUAUUUAAUAAAGUACCGUGAACAAGACAAGAUAGCGAUGAGAUCUACUCAAUAGGCAUAGGGUUUGCCAAGAGAUAAGCCUCGAUGGCCUUGAACAUCGCGGACGCCUUCUCUUUCCCGGCCUUGAUCUUCUCCUCAGUGAUGUCCACCUCACCGAUGGUGAAGUACUUGCUCGUGUUCUUGCACACCGAGCCUCCCUCGGGCGAUGCGGUGAUCUUCACCUCGUAGCUGAUCUUCUCGAAGGUGGUGCCCAGCACAUCGCCCUCGAUGAUCGAGUAGCUGUAGGUGAAGUUCUCCUUGUCCAGGGCCUCGACCUUGUGCUUCAUUGUCUGGUACUGACUGCCUAUCAAAGUAAGAAAAAAGUAAUAUUCACGUUUAGAACUCGCCGGUUUCAACAUCACAAGCAACGAUCUUGAUGGUGUCCAUUGGGCCAUUUUGGUUGUUCCAAUUGCAAUCUGAUACGAUUGACUUAGACAUGGCCUGAUUUCGCUCGAUUGGAAUCGAGUCAUGUGAUCACUUGUGUAAAUCAAUGGUUAGAAAUUUUUUUAAUUAACCAAGUUACAUAUCUAUCUUUUUCAAUGUUCAUUAUGAUGUUCCAUAAGGUUGAAACAGCCUUGAUCCAGAGCGAUCCUAACACGGACGGACUAACCUUCGCCGAAAGUGAUCAACUUGAUGGUCCCGGGACCUCCGUUGCCCUCGAGGACUUCGACGCUCUUGAUGGCUUGCGGGAGCACCUUGGGGAUGAGGUUAUCAGCAUCGAGGACAGCGGCCUUGAACAUCUUGGCCGGAGGGAUUGGGGUCGUGACCUCGGAGUCGUAACUGACGACACCCAUGAUUUGGAUCCGAAUGGAGUUGCCGAAAUAGAGAAGAGGGUGAUCAGGAAAGGCUGAUUAGCAGUGAUGAAGUUGGUCUCUAGGACUCGGUAGUGAAGAGAAGAGGAUGAACCAAAGCUGACAUAUAUAGAGAGACCGAGUUUGAAGGGUUCUCGUUAUUGGAUAUUUUCUUCAAGUGUGUUCGUUUGGUACAAAAUAGAGAAGAGGAUGAACCGAAGCUGACAUAUAUAGAGAGACCGAGUCUGAAGGGUUCUCAUCAUUGGAUAUUUUCUUCAAGUGUGUUUGUUUGGUACAAAAUAAAUAAUUAAAUAACUAUUUGUAUCAUUUGGUAUAAUUAUUUGAUGAGAAAUUUUUGCAUUAUUGACAGUAAUUUAUAUCUAAAUAUUCCCGUGAAUGAUGAAAAUAUUUUUUAUUCAUUCCUUUUAUAAGUUAUAUGAAAAAAAAUAUUUUUUUACAAAACAAACGAAGCUUAAUAAAAAAAAUCUUAAUCAGUCUGUGGGUUGUUCAAUCAUGCCAUGGACUUUGUUCAUAAAAUAAAAUUUGUCUAUAUGAUAAUGGAAUAUUAGUCAGAGAAGGCACCAUCCUAGAAUGAUACCAAACGUUCUUCCAUUUCCCUUUCAUGUAUAGACUUGACUUUUGAUCCAGGAGCAUUUGCUCAGCAAACUCUCUUGGCUGAGCUUCACUGAUUUCUUACAUAGUGUUACUAUCAUAGAAAAUAUCAAGCCCUUAGCUGCAUAGGUCGCGAUCCACCCAGAUCUCAUCCUACUUCUUUUCAAUCCGUUCGGUAGAGGCCUCGGGAAGAAUUAUCAUCAAUUUCAUACUCAUAAAUAAUAUUCGCUUAACUCUGUGCAGUAGAAAAACUCGAAAAAUCGAGGCACAAUUUUUCCUGCUGGGUGAUCUCGGUGCUUCAUGUUUCUGUUGAGCUUCCAUCGAUAAGAAAAAGUACAGAUUGAUCUCAAUGUUGCACUAAUCCAAUUUAGCAGAAAAAAAUGGGAAAGGUAGUUUGGUAAUUACAAGGCUUUGUUACUUUUAGUCAACAAAGGCUGCUCUGAAAAUCAAGAUGGACGUCUAUAGAUUUUGAAUUUUUCUACUUGCUUUCAUGUGUCUAGUCCUUUUAAAUAAUAUUAUUGCGAACCAUUUUCUGCUAAUUGUCUGGUGGAAGUGUGGUGGAUCAAGCGAGAUUGGCUCACGGGUCACUUGCUCAUUAAACAUUUUUUUAAUUUUCCUUUUUAUCUAACGGUAUAGCGACGUAGAUUUUUAGAAACGCUUUCUUCGUAUUUAAUUUUCUUCUUUUGUCUAGUUCAUCUUGUCGUAGUCACGGACCAUGUGAACGUAUAGGAGAAUGUCCAUGGGUGUUAGAUCAGAUUAAUUAAUGAAUUUCGUCGUAUUGAGACAAAAUUGAUUAAACUUGUCAAUCAUCUCACUGCGACGGAAGAUUCGGAAAAUAUUAAUGCAUAACAACAGCAUAUGUUUUGGGAGAAAAGUAUUGGAGAGGGGCAUGGAUGCAUUGCUGAAGUUAUUUGAUGAGCAUGUCAUAUGUACUAAAUUAAUCUAAAUAGCUAAAUUUGAUGGAAUUCAUAUGAAACCUAAAUGGAACAUAUAGAAAUUAAAAGCCGAAUUUUGCUUUAUAUAAAUACGACGCUAGCUCAUUCUCGAGUCUUUGUCAAAAUUGUGUUGUAGGCAAUUGAAUGUGAACCUCCCUUCCCUUUCACAUAUGAUCGACUCAAAUUUCUCGUACUUCAUUGACUUCCUUGUUUCGCUGUUGAAGCAACAAAAUCACAGCAAUUGAAGUCACCAGAAGUAGCUCGCAUCAAUAAGGACCUUUUCCCUAUGGUCGGUCGAUUUACUGUUCAUCCCACCCCACAAGGAGAUAACCUCGUCACAUUUUCACACAAGCCUGGAUUUGCGAUAAAAGCGCUUUUUGGUGCUUAUUGGAAGAGGCGACCACUAGGAACCGCACCUGUCAGCUCGUUGUACAAUAAGUCUACGGAGCUUAAACAAGUUAUAUGUCCAUUUUUUUCAAUGUUCAUUAUAAUGUUCCGUAAGGUUAAAACCACCUUGAUCGAGAGCGAUCCUAAGUUCCUAAUAUGGAUGGACUAACCUUUGCCGAAAGUGAUCAAAUUGGUGGUCCCGGGACCUUCAUCGCCCUCGAGGACUUCGACGCUCUUGAUGGCUUGCAGGAGGACCCUAGGGAUGAGGUUAUCGGCGUCGAGGACAGUGGCCUUGAACAUCUUGGCCGGAGGGAUCUGGACGUUAUCGCAGAGUCGUAAGUGAUGACACCCAUGAUUGGAUCCGAACUGAGAAACUGAGAAGGGGGUGAUGAUCAGGAAAGACUGAGUAGCAAUGAUGAAGUCGGUCUCUAGGACUUGGGAAUGAAGAGAACAGGCUGAACCGAAACUGAUAUAUAGAGAGAGACUAAGUGUGAAGGGCUUUGAUCAGUGAAUAUCUUGCGAAACAAACAAAGCUUAAGAAAAAAAAAUUAUUCCGUGGAUUAUUCAGAGUAUGACAUGCCCCUUGUUCCUAAUAUAAAAAUGUCUAUAUGAUGAUAGAACAAAGCGUUGGACGAUCAUAUUGGGGAGAAUCGGGCAACAAUUUACUAAUAACGAAACACAAUUUAGCAUCAAUUUCUCCUCUAAAACUAAACCAACCGAAACCAACUCAACCCCAGCAACCACCAGCAAUAUGUAAUACCAAAAUGACAAUAAGACAGAGCCAACAAUGACACUAAGGUUUUAACAUGGAAACCAAUACAUAAAAAAUCACAUACCCUACUCACUAACAGUAAUAGGAUACAAAAAGUGUUAUUUUAUAAUCACACAUUAGAGACUCAACAUCAAUGAUAUAACCAUAUUUCCUCACUCCAAAGAUAGAUUAACAUAAACGGAGCAAGAAAACCCUAAUCGGUUGGAGAAUCUGGAGGGGGUUCUUAUCUAACGAAAUCAAUCAAUUUGUAGUCCUUGAUUUUACAAAAUAACAUUCAAAUUUGAGCAAAUUCCAUCGGCAUCUUGCAUUCCAAUCGGGACCAAAAAGAUUAUGCCCUUUCUUUCGGAACGCUAAGAAAGAAGAGCCCAGACACAGACAACAAUUACCUACUCACUAAGUGUAACAUUAGGCUAGUGGGCCCCAAAAGAAGAAAUAGAAAACGAAGUUUUAAAGGCCCCAAAGAAGAAACUGAAAAAGAAACCGAAAAGUCAUUAAAGCAAAAAGGAGAUGGGAGAGGGCUCGGCUAAAUAGAAGCUGAGAGUUUCCUCGACCAAAAAGAAAAGAAAGAAAAGAAGAAGAAGAAGAAGAGAAAAGGGAAGAAAGGAAAGAAGUUUUGGCACGUGCACGCCUCGGAUGCCUUGCCAAGCCAAUUUGACUCCAUAACCCGGUAAGAGAUCAAGCCCCUCGUUUGUCCGAUUGAAGUAAUUUUUGGAUUUAGGACUCAAAUUCGGAAUUUUUGGAAAAUCGAGCGGCGAAGUCUAAUUUUGGAGUCGUUGAGCCACACAUUUUUGUAAGAAUGGUAAUUUAGGGUGUUGUGGAACCGUGGGAUUUUUCGGAUCGUGAUUUGAGCUUAUGGUUUGUCCAAAACAAAAUUCCAAAGUUUCCCGCGCGCAGUGAACAGUACGCGUCCAGCAGCUUUGGGCCCGUAUUUUGUCAUUUUUUCGGCUUGAUUUUGGGAUGACCAAUUUGGGAUUCUUGUAAUAUGUGUCAAGGGCUCUCUAUUGACUAUAAGUACGUUCGGAUCGGGGUUCGGAAGAGAAAGUUAAGGCUCGAUCAAGUUUUGCGCUUAAACUUCAUGUUGCGAAUGGCUUAAACAAUCAAUUUGGAUAUGCGACUUGUUAGUGCACAGAAGUCCUUUUGUUAGAGUUAAGGCGUAACUUAGUCAUUUUGUAGUCGAGAUAGAAUUUUAUUAGAUUUUAACAUUAUUCUUCGAUUAUUUGAUAGGGCUUUGAGUUCGAAGAUACAAGUAUCAUUUGUCGUUUGGUCGUAGACGAUAAGGUGAGUGGUACUAUAUCUUCUUUGGUUUUAUAAAAUCAUGUCUUGAAGUAUGUAUGUAUAUAUAUUGAAUCAAGAAGAGCAUUUUUAUUGCAUAAAAGUCAGAUCGAGCAAUUGCUACCCUUUGGUUGAUUGUGAAUCUUUGAAAAGCACAUUAUACAAGGUUUGUGGAGAAACAUAUAUGAAAUUGCUUUGCGACUGAUUUAUGAAAAGGUUUAUGAUGAUUUGAGAAACGAGUAUGAAAUGGAUGAUGGGCUAUGUUGCAAAAUAUUAUUUGUUUGGUUUAAGAUAUUGAUUUUUGGAUUGAAUUUCUGGUAUUGGAGAAUGGUUAUUUAUGCUCAAUAUGACUGUGAACCCAGUGAGGGGUUUUUGGGGUAUGCAUACCAGGUUUAGGAUAUCCUUCUGGGCCGAGCCACCGGCUUUGUAGGUGGAGACCUUGCCAAGGGGAGAAUCUUGGUCGCCUUGUCACAGGACGUUGUGUCGUGACCAUGGUUAGUUAUUGAGCAAAAGAUUGAUCAAUGGAUAGACCAUUGAUACUUGAAUUUUGAUGGCGAUUCAAAUGAGUUUUCCAUAUUACUAUAAAUCUUGAUGAUAAGAAAUAACUCAUAAGAUUCAAUACUUAUUUUAUAUAUUGAGUUGGCUUAUGAAAUUUGGUAUUGUUUUGUAUACAUGCAUAGUGGUUGUUCGAUCUGCUUAAAAGAUAUGUACUACUCACUGAGCUGUGGUUGCUCAUCCCAUUCCUCAUUUGAUCUUUUCAGGUUCCUCAGCUAGUGGCAAAUAGAGCGAGUGCGCCGUCGUGGGAAACUUUUGGGGAGUUCUAUUUUGUUUUUGGUAUGGUUUAGGGAAGUGGUGCAAAUGAUCUUUACUAGUGGUUGAAUCGUCUAAGUUUUGAAGUAUAUAUUUUCUCUUUUUGGUGGAUUAUAGAAAUUCUAAUGUUGCAACCAAUUUGAAGGUUUAUCUGAUAUUUAUACUUGUAACAUCCUGGACCCCACUGUGUAAUAUUGUCCGCUUUGGGUCACCCGCCCUGGCACGGACGAACCGCCAUCCCAGCCGCGAUCUUUUCCCUCACGGCUUUAAAACGCGUUACACAGGUUAGAGGGAUCCAAGCCUUAUAAGCUGACCAAUAUCUCCCUCCCUAGGCGAUGUAGGACAAGAGAGGAGGCUGUCACACUCUCCACCUCUUAACAGAAUAGCGUCCUCGCUAUGGCCCCACGGGUAUCAGAACAACAUUCAAGCUGUGGUCCCACACGCGGUCGGGAGUCGGCUCUGAUACCACUUGUAACAUCCCGGGCCCCAUUGUGUAAUAUUGUCCGCUUUGGGUCACCCACCCUGGCGUGGACAAACCGUCAUCCUAGCCACGGUCUUUUCCCUCACGGUUUUAAAACGCGUUACAUAGGUUAGAGGGACCCAAGCCUUAUAAGCUGACCAAUAUCUUCCUCCCUAGGCGAUGUAGGACAAGAGAGGAAGCUGUCACAUAUAUAAGUUAAUAUCAGUUUGUAGGUUAUGUUUGAGGCUGCGUCCUUUGUAAAGAAGGAUGGCCGUGUCAUCCCCAUUCUUUGUAGUUUUUGGGGUGUGACACUAAGUUCCGAAAAGCAUAGACGAGCGAAAUGCCUCACGAAUUAACCUAAGAGCAACAUAAACACGCCGAGAUAGAAAACGGUAGAAGCCGACGCCUCAAAUUGCAAACUUCUUCGACCCAAAAAAAAAAAAUAUUGCAAACUUCGAGCUACAAAAUGGCGAUUAAGCACGGAGGGCCGGAGAUGGGGUGGAGGGAGCACCUUGAUGUCGAAAUCGACGCCGGCGGUGGCGAGGAGGGGAGAGGGGGUGGAAAUCUAGGGUUAGGACAGGUUUGGUCUCGUGCCAAUUCAUCUGGACCGUGCCUCCCUUCAUAUCUCCUCUGCCCGCUCCGCCGCUUCCUUCCUUCCCCCUCUCUCUCUGAAAUCGAAGCCUUCUUCCUUGAUUUCUUAGCGAACGAAAUCGAUCAAUUCGUGGAAUUCGUGAGAUUCGUGCGCUCUCCCCAUUCCGCGGAGAGAUUCCCGACAAAUAGAGAUUAGAUUGUAGGCUUGUCCAUCGUCGUUUCAGUAAAGCGAGUGUAAUGCCAAAAAAGGGAAAUAAGGACGACACAAUUGGCUCUGACAUUGAAUUGACAGUUUAUUCCUGGCCUCCUACGUGAGCAUAUCACGUGGCCCACCCAUCAUGGCUCAAAUUCAUGAAAACAAACUAAUAAAAAAAAGAUCCAAAAUAGACUCCACCACCAUCCUCUCGGAAAUCCAAUCAAAAAAAGGAAAAGAUAAAAAAGGCAAAUCAUCCCAGACAAAACAAGCAUGGCAUUCGCCACACGCUACUAAAAAUUAACCACACACAGAUUCACAAGUCUCAGGGUUCGCGAGGCAAGCCUCGAUGGCCCCAAACAUAGUGAAAGCCUUCUCUCUCACGGCCUUGAUCUUCUCCUCGGUGUUGUCCACGUUGCCCCUGGCGAAGUAUUUGCUAUCGUUCAUGCACACCGUGUUAGACAAUUCAUAUAAAACUUGAUGCGGAAAUUCAUAACAAAUCAUUGAUCUUUGAUCUUCAUGAUUUUCACAAAUAGAUUCAGACAAACCUUUAUCCAUAGCGCUACGCUUGAUGAUGAUCGUUGUAGAAAACCCAAUGAUCUCGAACCAAAAGGAGAAAUCCGAUUUCUCUCCCUUAACCCACUAAACCUUAAUGUAUUCAAUUGAUGGAGGAGAGAAUAUGUUCUUUUCAGUUAUUGUUGUUCGUAUGUGGGUGGAGAGAGGACCGGACUCUUUUAUACGUUCGUUGAAAAUGUGCCUUCCAUCAAAGCGAUAUACCCUUUCGUUUUAUUAGAGUCGUACCUUCUCAUAACCAAUAUUAUUUAUAGCAUUUCAAUCAUUAUUAAACCAUAUAAUAAAUCACAUAAUAUGGGCCACAAUAAUUCUUACAUUCUCCCACUUGGCCCAUAUGAUUCUCCUUUCAUGGUUUAAUGAAGACUAUAAUGUGCACAAUAAGAUUAUGCUAUAAAAUUUCAUUAAAUUGGCAAUCACAUAAUAAUCACAAUUAAGUAAAGAAAACUAAUGCGAGUCAUAGCGGUUAUAUGUCAUUAAUCGACAUAGUCCCUUCUAUGUACUACAACUAUAGCACUUUACUUAACAUGAUCCAUAAAUGAGAAGUACAGUAAUAGUCCAACCAUAAUGUUUCUUUAGAAACUAUCCUGUUUAAAAUUAAUCUAUUUCCAUAAUGUAUACUAAAUAGAAAACAGGAAAUAUCAUAAACAUGUAAGUGAGCUCAAAGUGUCAAAUACAUAAACUUAAUACAAUCAUAAUACAAACAUUAAUGACGUCCAAUAAUGCCCAUCCUUUCAACAUGCUCAUUAAAUGUUUUGGGCGGCAAUCCUUUUGUUAAGGGAUCUGCUAUCAUAAGAUUGGUGCUAAUGUGCUCAAUUGACACUCUUUGUUUCUGAACUUCUUUUUUGACAGACAAGUAUUUGAUCUCCAUAUGCUUAACACCCUUAGAAUACUUGUCGUUCUUAGAGAAGAAAACUGCUGCAGAGUUAUCACAAUAGAUUUUCAGCGGCUUGGCAAUACUGUCGACGAUCACAAGCCCUGAAAUAAAAUUCCGCAGCCAUAAUCCAUGAAUUGUGGCCUCAAAGCAUGCCACAAAUUCAGCUUCCAUAGUGGAUGCAGCAAUAACUGACUGCUUCGCACUCUUCCAUGAAAUUGCCCCUCCAGCCAGAAGAAACAAGUAACCAAAUGUUGAUUUUCUUGUAUCGACACAUCCGGCUAAGUCUGAAUCUGAAUAUCCAAUCACCUCGAGAUGAUCAGAUCUUUUAUAAGUGAGCAUAUGAUUCUUUGUUCCUUGCAAGUAUCUAAGAACUUUCUUUGCGGCUUUCCAAUGAUCCAUUCCAGGAUUACUUUGAUACCUACCUAGCAUUCCGACAGCAAAAUUGAUGUCUGGUCUGGUGCAAGUUUGUGCAUACAUUAAGCUUCCCACAAUAGAUGCAUAAGGAAUAUUAUUCAUUUGUCCUCGUUCCAAUUCACUUUUCAGACAUUGCAUAAGGCUAAAUUUAUCACCUUUCUGAAUUGGAACUAUUCCUGCUGAACAUUUACUCAUAUUAAAUCUCUCUAAAAUUUUCUCAAUGUAGGCUUUCUGAGACAAUCCUAAUAAUCCUUGUGAUCUAUCACGGAAUAUUUCUAUUCCUAUCACAUAUGUUGCCUCUCCCAUAUCCUUCAUUUCAAAAUUCUUAGAGAGAAAUUUCUUGGUUUCAUGUAACAAACCAAGAUCAUUAGCAGCAAGCAAAAUAUCAUCAACAUACAGAACUAGAAAAAAAAAACUUGCUCCCACUAAUCUUCAUAUAUAUACACCGAUCAACGGUGUUUUCCUUAAAUCCAAAUGAAGUUAUGGUAUCGUUAAACUUAAGAUACCAUUGUCGAGAAGCUUGUUUAAGUCCAUAUAUUGACUUCUUUAAUUUACAUACCAUGUGUUCCUUUCCUAUAACUGAAAAGCCUUCGGGUUGGUCCAUAUAAACCUCUUCCUCUAAAUUCCCAUUAAGAAAUGCGGUUUUUACAUCCAUUUGGUGUAACUCCAAGUCAUAAUGAGCCACCAAAGCCAUAAUGAUUCUAAGUGAGUCUUUCUUAGAGACCGGUGAAAAUGUCUCUUUAUAGUCAAUGCCUUCUUUCUGAGUAAAACCAUUUGCAACAAGUCUGGCUUUAUGUCGUUCAAUAUUGCCUUUUGAGUCGCGCUUGGUCUUAAAGACCCAUUUACACCCGACCUUCUUACAUCCUUUAGGCAAUUCAACAAUAUCCCAAACUUGAUUUUCAUGCAUGGAUUUUAACUCUUCUUCCAUGGCAUUAAACCAUUCAUUAGAAUCUUCACAUUCCAUGGCUUGGGAAAAUGAAUCUGGAUCAUUUCCAAUUCCUAAGUCAAUUUCUGACUCUUGUAGAUAAACCAUAUAGUCAUCAGAAAUAGCCGACCUCUUUUCUCUUUGAGAUCUCCUUAAUGCUAUUUCUUGUGACUCGGUUAUUGGAGGUUCAUUAUUGACAUCUCCAUUAUUUGGUGUUUGUUGUUCUCGAUUAUUGUUAGAUUGUACUACAAUAUCAGAAACAACAACUUUAGAAGCUUUAGGCAUAGGAACUUCUACCCUUACUUCUUGAAUGCAAGCAUCACGCAUUCUUUCACUCCCACUGAUGUCACCAUUCUCAAUGAACCUAGUAUUUCCAGAUUCAACAAUUCUUGUACUAUGAUUAGGACAAUGAAAUUUAUACCCUUUGGAUUUCUCUGCAUAACCAAUGAAAUAACCACUGGUCGUUCUUGAAUCCAAUUUCCUUUCAUGUAUUGUAAAUUCUUACUUCUGCUUGACAACCCCAAACAUGCAGGUGUCGUAAACUAGGUUUCCUUCCCGUCCACAAUUCAAAUAGAGUCUUUGGAACUGCCUUACUAGGAACCCUAUUUAAUAAGUACAUAGAAGUCUUUAAAGCAUACAUCCACAAAGAUAAGGGUAAAGAUGAAUGACUUAUCAUACUCCUAACCAUUUCCAUUAAAGUACGAUUACGCCUUUCUGCUACACCAUUUUGUUGUGGUGUACCUGGCAUUGUGUAUUGAGCACAUAUGCCAUGUCUUUCAAGGAAUUUAGCAAAUGGACCUGGACAUUGUUCCGAUUCAUCAUACUUUCCAUAAUAUUCACCACCUCUAUCCGAUCUUAUUAUUUUCACAUUUCUAUCUAAUUGCCUCUCAACCUCUUUAAUAUACACUUCAAGUACAUUUAAUGAUUGAGACUUAUCAUGCAAUAGAUAAAUGUAACCAUAACGUGAAAAAUCAUCAAUAAAGGUUAUGAAAUAGCUUUCCUUACUAAAAGAUGGAACAUCGAAAGGACCACAUAUGUCAGUAUGUAUAAUCUCAAGAAGCUAUGUGCUUCUUGUGGCACAUUUCUUAGUGUGCUUUGUUUGUUUACCUUUAAUACAAUCAAUACACACUCUAAAGUCAGUAAAAUCCAAAUUUGGAAUAAUUUCAUUCUUCACUAAUCUUUGCAUUCUUUCUUUGGAUAUAUGACCCAACCGUUUAUGCCACAAGUAAGCAGAAUUUUCAUUCACCAAACUUCGUUUAGUGCCAACAUUAUGAUGCAAGGUCAUUAAUGUCUCAACAAAAGUAUUAUCAAGUCUAAAUUUGUAGAGACCAUCACAUAAAGUUCCAGUUCCAAUAAGAGCAUCACUCUUAAAUAGACUGAAAGAUUCAGAUCCAAACUUACAAUAAAAUCCCGCCACAUCAAGUCUUGGCAAAGAAACUAAAUUGCGAGAAAAUGUAGGUACAUAAAGGGUUCGAAAAAAAUCCAAAUAAUGCCCAGUAUCUAAUAUCAAACGAUAAGUGCCAAUGCCUUCAACUGGAGCUUUGUCUCUGUUCCCCGUAAUCACAUAACUUUCAUUUGGAAAAUGUAGGUACAUAAAGGGUUCGAAAAAAAUCCAAAUAAUGCCCAGUAUCUAAUAUCAAACGAUAAGUGCCAAUGCCUUCAACUGGAGCUUUGUCUCUGUUCCCCGUAAUCACAUAACUUUCAUUUGGCUUUAUAGUUUGGAUCUUAAGAAAUCCCUGCAUCGUAUUUGACACAUGAGUGGUGGCACCAGAAUCAAUCCACCAAGUAUUAUAAGGAACUUCAGUAAAAUUUGAUUCAAAACAUACUAAAGCACAAGGCUUACCUUUCUUUUCGAACCAAGCCUUACAUUUCAGACAAUCUUUCUUCAAGUGUCCAAUUUUGUUGCAAAAAUGACAUUUAAUAAGAUUGUGUUCCUUCUUGUGGAUUUGAGAAGCCUUUGAAGAGUCAUUCAGGACGUGUAGUCCUUUCUUCUUGCUCCUUCCACCUUUCCUCUUAAAAUUCUUUCGAACUUCUUGAUGACUUGAGAGAUGAAUAGAAUGAGCAUUUUGAUUCUUUAUCCUUAUUUCCUCUUGAACUAGCAUACUGGCCAAUUCGUUUACAUUCCACUUAUCCUUUAUAGUGUUGUAAUUCAUUUGAAAUGGCACAUAUUGCUCAUGAGGUAAGGAAUUAAGUAUAAAUUGUACUAAAAAGUACUCAUCCAUAUUCAUUCCCAAAGUCCUUAACUUUGCUGCUAAAUUGGUCAUCUCAAGUAUAUGCUCAUGCAUGGUACGCGAACCAUCAUAUUUCAUGGUGGUCAGUGUGCUCAUCAGUGUACCAGCAAGUGACUUAUCAGCAGUUUGAGAACGCUCUUCCACAAAUUUCAUAAAUUCCUUAGCAUUGUUAGUCUUGGGAAGAGAAGUUUUUAAGUUGUUUGCAACUGUCAUUCGCAUGAACAUUAAGCUCAGUCUGUUCGAUCUUUCCCAAGCUUUAUGGAAAGACUUUUCAUCAUUGCUACUUUCAUCAGUAAUAGCAGCUGGUUUCUCAGCUUGAAGUGCUAAAUCAAGAUCCAGGACACCUAAGUGAAACUGGACUUGUUCACUCCAAUCAGGAAAAUUUAUCCCAUUGAAUAAGGGAACAGAUGAGGCGUGCGAAUGGAGUGAAACAGGUACAGAUACUACAAAUGUGCAAGAAAAUACUCAUACAUUAAUGCUUUGAGAAUAUCAUAUAAUCAGAUUAAACUAAACUACACAUGCACAUCAUAGUUCUCCUUUGAGCGAUCCUAUGAUAUACAAAUAUAUAUAAACCAUAAUGAUGCUAAUAACUUUUAUUUGAUAAUUGUAAAUAUAUCUUAUUAAAAUUUAUUUGUUAUCUUUGGAUAUACAAACAAAUUUAACAAAUCAUAUUAAUUAUCAACCAUCAUGUUCAUGGAUUAUAAGAAAAUAAUUAACCUUUGGGUUAAUCCCUAAGUUCUUAUAAUAAAUGAACUUCAAUAUACCCAUAACUCCAAUAAUGAUAUAAAACAUAUCAAUUUCAUAUAUAUAGCAUCAAUUAAUCAUGGGUAAUUGAAUAAAAUAAUUUACGAUAUUAAAAAAAUUCAAAAGACUUCAAGGUUCGGCCACUUUGGUGACUAACAAACCUUUCAUAAUAUGAAUUUUUAAUAUUGCAAAAUACAAAUAUUUACCAAAUUGCACACAAGGACAUAAAAUGCAAUCAAAGCAUAAGGGCAAAAUCGUAAAAUCAUAAUUCCAUAAGGGUAGAACCAUAAAAUUAUAAUCCAGGGGCAAAAUGGUAAAUAAUCAGCAAUGGCAGAAUCGUAAUUAUAAAUUAAACAGGGGUAGAACAGUAAAUAACCAUCAAAAGGACGGCAAAACGGUAAUUAGGAGCCUCGGGAGGGGCAAAAGCGUAAAAGUCCGCGCGGGGACGUCAGGCGCGUGCCUCGCACGCGCCUGCAACCGCGCGGGAAGCCCCGCGCGCGUGGAUCCCACGCGCGCAGCGCUUGCGCGCGCGUGAAGGCGCGUGGCGCGUGGGUUCCACGCGCCUGCAACCGCAGCGCGCGCGUGGAGCCCACGCGCCUUCUUCCUCGCGCGCAGACGCGAUUCUUCGCCGGUUUUUCGCCGUUCCACCGCCGUUUCGCCGCCCGUUUCUUCUCCGACAGCCCAUUACAGACACAAAUAAUUAAUGGGUUUUGAAGAGCAUGCCGGCACGACCACAUGGGUCCAAAUUUCGGAGAAAAUGACCAAAAAUUGGCCCCAAAUCAAACCAAAGUUUCAGAACACAAAAACUCCACCACCGCCGCUUCCGCCGCUCGAUUAGCCGCCGGCGAACACCAAUAUACGGGAAAAAUCAUGGCUAAUGUUCCUCAUGACAGUGCGACGGUGUGGGUCCGAAAUCAAGCGGUGGGUUGCCGGAUUUUACCCGGAACCGGCGAGUUUCUUCCUUGCCCUCAAAAUUCCGAAUUCCACCAUUUUUGUCAUUUUCCACUCGUGCACACACAGUAACUUUUCUUCACAAUUUUAGUCCAUGAAAAACGUUCUAUCAUUCGGAUUUUCUUUAACAGAACCUUCCAAAACAUUUCAACAACAACAAAUGCUAUAAACAUGAUCGUUUAACAAAUCAUCAAACAUCAACUAUAAUAUUUCUUUAAACGGAAAAAUCAUGAGAUCAUAAACCAAACGCUCUGAUACCAACUGUUAGACAAUUCAUAUAAAACUUGAUGCGGAAAUUCAUAACAAAUCAUUGAUCUUUGAUCUUCAUGAUUUUCACAAAUAGAUUCAGACAAACCUUUAUCCAUAGCGCUACGCUUGAUGAUGAUCGUUGUAGAAAACCCAAUGAUCUCGAACCAAAAGGAGAAAUCCGAUUUCUCUCCCUUAACCCACUAAACCUUAAUGUAUUCAAUUGAUGGAGGAGAGAAUACGUUCUUUCAGUUAUUGUUGUUCGUAUGUGGGUGGAGAGAGGACCGGACUCUUUUAUACGUUCGUUGAAAAUGUGCAUUCCAUCAAAGCGAUAUACCCUUUCGUUUUAUUAGAGUCGUACCUUCUCAUAACCAAUAUUAUUUAUAGCAUUUCAAUCAUUAUUAAACCAUAUAAUAAAUCACAUAAUAUGGGCCACAAUAAUUCUUACACACCGAACCUCCCUCCGGUGAUGCACUGAUCUUCAGCUCGUAGCUAGUGUUCUCCAAGGUGUUGGCCAGCAUGUUGCUCUCGAUGAUUGAAUUGGAGUAGGAGUAGCUCCCAUUGUCCAGGACCUCGAGCUUGUGCUUCACUACCUUGUUCCGAUGGCCUAUAGAAAACGCAAGUCACAUUUGAGACGCCACCGGUUUCGAAAAUCGCAAGCACUGCUUUGAAACACCAUUGACUCACGACAUCGUCAUGUUAAUGGUCAGGAACAUUUGAAUUAACCAAGUAAAUUUACUAACCUUCGCUGCCAGUGGUCUCCUCGACAAGCUCGGCACUCUUGAGGAAAGGGAAGAAGACUCUGGAGAUGAGGUUUAAGGCCCUAACGAUGGCCUCGAACGCCUGGGCUAGGAGGAUGGAGGACUUGAUCUCAGUCCUGAAGUAUUCCAUGAUUCUCUGUCCGAAAAAAAUCUGCUAAAAGCUGAAAGGGAAUGAUGAGAAUUGCGAGUACUGAGUAGGAGUGAAGUCUUGAUCUAAAAUUUCGGAGCGCAGUUCUAUAUAUUUAUAGAUAGGGUGCGAGAGUGAGAUGUAGAGGAGUCCGUGUGUAUCUAAUGACUCUUUCGGGACGUUUGGGUGGACAAGGGGAACUUUUUUAUGUUUUUUUCUAGUUGCUUUACGGGUUACUUUUAUCGGCACAGAUCAGCCGGGGUUUCUUUCCGGAUUGGGCGCUUUCAAGAAUUUUGGGUGGACUCGGGGUUUAAACGAGAGGUAGAAAAAGCCAAGGGAACAGGAGGCAGGUGGGACCCUUCAGCCCGUGCUUUUUCCUUUUUUCCAUUGAGAGGACGGAGACGAGGAAAGCAUAUCCGGCCCGCUCGACUUUUGGCAAUGACAGAAGCUCUCUCGUUGAUAAAGCUAGGCCGUGAGGUGAGUUGAGUCAUGCACAAGUACACCAAAUUGAAACUCUUCCGCACGUGGAGAUAGCUUCAGACAACUUAGAUGCCGUGAAUUGUGUCAUUUCCUUGGAACUUCUAGGUCCGUCAUCCAGGAUUGUGAUCUUCUAUUGACCCAACUAGAAGCAUAAAUUAAACUAAAAUAAGAACCCAAAGAAGCAAAUCGUGUUGCGGAUUGAGUAGUCAAAGACCCACCGAGUUAGAACCCUUCCAUCCAAUUGGGUUGUUUAUCCCCCUCAUUUCCAUUGGUAAAUUUAAGUCUUGAAUUUGGUACUAGUUAUAAUUCAUCUUUGAGUUAGUAAUCAAAAGUUAUUUUCGACCAAAAAAAAAAAAACCACCGAUGACGUACUAAUUCGAUGUUGUUGAUUUUGUGCGUACAAAGUCCAAAUCAACAUUAAUGACGUCAUAUAUGGCGUGCUAAAAGUUGUUCAUGAGUUGAAUUUUUGCAAUUACGUGCCCAAUGAAUUUUGACGCUCUUGAGUGGGAAAUCACUAAAUUGUUAACUUUUUCCAAAUGCCUGACGGGUGUCAUAGGAUUAGUUUGGCGAGUAGAGAUAAAAAGUUAGCACGCAAGUAAUUUAAAAGCGCAGUGUAAAUUCGAUUCUCCCAAUCAAUGAGCAUAAACGAGAACAUGGGGGCGAAAAAGGUUGUUACCAGCAUUGAAAAAGUGGACUUUUGAGAAGCUCCAAUCACUAAAAUGUUGCGUAUUCGGCAAGAUGCAAGUAAGUCUAUCCAUCGAGAGUUAGUUUUUAGAGAAAUGCAUAAACAGAUAUUAAAUCAAUAGAUAUGCUUAGAAAAAUGUCAUACAUAGCUUUUUUAGCUUUUUUAGCUUUUUUAGUAAGCAAGAGGUCUUGACUUUGAUUCUCAACGAGAUCCUUUUUCUUUUGACUUGUAAUAUUUCCUUUUUUCACAUUCAAUCUUCUUCCUAACAAUUUUUUUGAUAAAAAAAAAUUCAAUCGAGCCAAAAAAUGAAUUGCUUAAUACAUGAUAGAGCCAACAUAUAUACAUACUAUAUAUGUGUUUUUUCUCAGUACAAAUGGUUAUACGAGGACCCAAUUAGUAAGAGGGAGGUCUUGAAUUUGACUCUCAACAAGAGCAUUUGUCAUUCAAACUUUUUCAUAACAACUAUUUUACUAAAGAAAAAAAUCGAUUGAGCCAAAAAAAUUGUCACUUAAUACAUCAUAAAGCCAGCAUACACAUAUAAUUCAUUUUUCUCACUACAAAUGGGUAUACGAGCACCCAUUUAGUAAGCAGGAGGUUUUAAGUUCGACUUUCAAUGAGAGCAUUUAUCUUCUGACUUAUAAAUUUUCCUUUUUGUAAAUUCAAACUUCUUCAUAAUAAUUUUUUUAAGAUAAAAACCACCAAAAACCCCAAACUUUGCUCAAAGUGACAAAUUUAUCCCAACCUUUAUAUUUUGAUAUGAAAAAUCCCGAAUUUUGCCAACUGUGACACAUUUAUCCCAAACUUUUUUUUAUGACACAAAAAAUUCUGAACUUGUAUUUAUGUGACACAUUUACCCUAAAUUGUAAGGUAUUUUGGUCUUUUACUUUUAAAAUAUUUUUUUUACUUUUUUUUUUCUUCUUCUCUCUUCCCUCCACCAGCCAUGGCAGAGCCGAUGGAGGAAGCCAUAGUUAGGCGAGGGCUACCCUCACCGGCGUCAAGCGAGGGUCGCCCUCAGCUAGGCUGGCUAGGGCCGCCCGACGCCAGUGAGGGAGGUCCUCGACCGACCCAGUCGAGGGUGGCCCUCGCUUGAUGACGCCGAGUGCAGCCCUCGCCUGACUCCAACUUCCCUCCGCCAUGGCCAGCGAAAGGAAGAGAGAAGAAGAAGAAAAAAGAAAAAAAAAGAGAAUAAGACGAAAAUGCUAUUGGUGGGUUAAAUGUGUUACAGUUUGCAAAAUUUGGGGUUUUUAUGUCACAAAAGAAGGUUUAGGAUAAAUUUGUCACUUUAGGCAAAGUUAUGGUUUUUGGUGGUCUUUUCCCUUUCAAUCGAGCCAUAAAAAAAGUCACUUAAUACAACAUAGAGCCAACAUAUAUAAUAUAUUUUGUUCCUUUUCUUGGUAUAAAUGGGAUACCAGCACUCGUUUAGCAAGCCUAAGUCUUGAGUCCGACUCUCAAUGAGAGCACUUGUCUCGUGACUUAUAAUCCUUCUUUCUUCUACAUUCGAACUUUUCCGUAACAAAUUUCUUGACAAACAUUCAAACUUCUAUCUUCUUGAUGCCGUUAUAAUAAGGGAUACGGAACUCUAGUGUGAAUGGAACUCAUUGCUGUGAUGCUAAAGGGAAGGCGAUGCUGACGAAUCCUACUGGAAUAUGCGGGGGACAGAAAAUCUUAGAGCUGGCGGUUAGAUCUAGUUGAGGUUACCAAGGGUUGAUUAUUGCUUAUCGCCCCGGAACUGACUUACCUAGGUCAUGCUCAGCCCUCACCCUUAGAAAAAGGAACUCAAGAAAAAAAAUUCAGUCACUGCUCCAUAAUGAUUAAUGUCCAUCAUAGUUCAAGUAAGGAGAUAUAAGCAAACGUUCAAACAAUAAAUAAAUAGAUCAACAAAAUAAAUUGGAUACCAGACUUAUAUGAUUCAAUCGCAGUGACCUACCUCUAUAAGAAAAGUAAUAACAAAUUUUAUUGUAGAUCAAACAAUAUGACGGAAAUUAUAAUCACAGUCGAGUUACUUUAAUACUCUUAUUGUUUUCCAAUUUCUAAUUACAUUCAAUAAUUCAAGUAAUAUAUAACCUCACAAUUUCUAACUAAAUAAUCCUUUAAUCUCAAGAAGAAAUUAACAAAUCGCGAAUUAAACCCUAAUUUCGCUAUAUGUAAUUCAAGGAGAAUAUCCAAUGUCAAGCACGCCAACGGCACUACUUGCGGCUGAAAAACCCGUGAUAAAGUCACCUCUCCACACGAGAGAGAGAGAGAGAGAGAGAGAGAGAGAGAGAGAGAGAGAGAGAGAGAGAGAGAGAGAGAGAGAGAGAGAGAGAGAGAGAAUGUGUGCAUGUCUGUCUUUUUCCUUCGGCAUUUUUGGCGGCUUCUUUUGUGGCAGUCAUCUAAGGCCUCGCAUGGUAAUGUUUCUGUUCCUUUUCUGUUCCCGGGAACAGAAACAAAAAAAAAAAAGUGUUUCUGUUCCAGGGAACGGUUUUUGAACAAAAGAACGUGUUUGGUAACGUUUGUUCCGGGAAUAAAAAAUGAAUAGAAACACGUUUGGUAAAUUUUAUUCUUUUUUUGUUUCUUUUAAUUUUUUAAUAUUUUUAUUUUAUUUUCCAUUUUUUCCUUUCUUUUUUAUUUUUUUCUUCUUUCGGCCGGUCGCCGACCUCCGGCGACCAGCCGACGAGGCCGGCAGCCUCGCCCGGCCACGGCAAGGCUCGCCGGCCCCCGGCAAGGCCGAGCCUCGCCGUGGUUGGGCGUGGCUCGGCCUCGCCGGAUCUAGGCGAGCUCGAGCUCGCCCAGCCAUGGUGAGGCUCGGCCUCGCCGGAUCUAGGCGAGCCCGAGCUCGCCCAGCCAAGGCAAGGCUCGGCGUCGCCAGUGCGGGCGAGGCCGAGCCUCGCCGCCCUGCCGUCGGAGCCAAGCACCUGCGCCCCGAAGCCCGCAGCUCAACGCCGUCCUGAUCUCACCACACCAUUCGCGACGCCGUCCACCGGCAAGGCCCGUGUCGCCCCGUGUCGAUCCCGAAGCCUCUAGUACGGCGCUGCCGUCGCACCGUCCUCCGGAGCCCCUCGCCGGAACCCUAGCCGAAGAUCUCCCAUCGAGCGAGGCCGAGCCUCGCCUUGGCUGGGCGAGCUCGGCGUGGGCGAGGCUCGGCCUCGCCAGGGGCCAGCGACGCUCCGGCGAGGUCGUUGACCCUCGAGGGCGUCGCCAGCCCUUGACGGCCGGUCGUCGGCCAUGGCCGAGGCCGGCGACCGGCCAGAAGAAAAAAGAAGAAAAAAGAAGAAGAAAAGAAGAAGAAAAGAGAAGAGAGAGAAGAAGAGAAGCGUUUCUUUUUGGCUUUGAAGAAGUUUUUCUUUUCUCCAGAAACAACUUUUUUGUGUUUCUUUUUUUUUGUUCCAAUUUUGUUCUGGGAACAAAAAAACAAAAAAAGAACAUAAACGCAACCAAAUGCGUUUCUGUUCUUUUUUUGUUCCCGGGAACAAAAAAAGUACAAAAGUGUUCCAGAAACACUUUUUUGGAGCGUUUCCAUGUAGGGCCUAAGUGACCGGUGAAGAAAGACCGAUAAAAAGAAGAAGAAGAAGAAGAAGAAGAAUACUUUCUGAGAGAGAGAGAGAGAGAGAGAGAGCAAUCAAUAUUGUCAGUGCACUGUUCGGGGUACAAAGCAAUGAUUUCAUCAUUCUUGAUUAGGGUUUUGAAAAUAUGGCUUUUCAAUCCGUUUCAUACAUUCUCCGGUUCCCUUUUGGGAGUAGUCGUGCACUACUCCCCGCCCCCUUCUCUCUCUCAACCGUCGUCUAGUUGAACAAUUCGUAACAGUCCCGACUCGUGCUUUUGCCGUCUGUCCCUUCUGCCUGAGAAUCUUGAAACGGUGCCGAUGUGGACCUCUUCCUCAACGGCAUCGCCGGCCCUCAACGGCCAUGGCCGAGGCUAGCGACCGGCCAAAGAAAAAAGAUAGAAGAAAAUGGAAGAGAGAGAAAAAAGUGUUCAUAAAUUUUGUUCCAGAAACAAUAAACAACUUUUUUUUUUCUUGUUUCCGUUCCAGAUGUGUUUCUGGAAACAAAAAAAUAAUUUUGGAACAAAAACGCAAACAAACGCGUUUCUAUUUCAAAAAACAAAAAUUUGUGUUCCUGGGAAUAGAAACACAUUUUAACAAACAGGCCAUUAGUAACUGUCCAAAAUUUCAAUUCCCAAAAUAGAAUUGCGUUUAGUAAUAUGCUCAAAAUUUCUACUCAAAAUCAUUUUCUUUUAAUUUUUAAAUAAUUUUAUUACUUUUUUCCUUUUUUUUCUUCUUUUCUUUUUUCCUUUCUCUCUCAUGUUCUUCUUCUUCAAGUGGCUAGUCGCCGGACCAGCGACCGGCUAGACGAGGGCUGGCAAUCUCAUCGAAAUGUUAAUAGCACUUAGCGAGGCUCGCCUAGCCUCACCGGUGCCUAGCCAGGCCUCGACGAGGCUGGGCAAGCCUCGUCGGUGGCCAGGCGGGCCUCGCCGAUGGCCGAGUGGGCCUCACCAGGGCUGGGCAAGGCCCCCCUGCUGGUGGCUAGGCUUGCCUCCGGCGAACUCGCUGGACCUCGCCCUGGCUUGGCAAGCCUUUGACAAGCUCGCCAGACCGGUUGUCAGCAACCAGCAAUAGUGGGUGGCGGACGGCAACCGCAGCGAUGGAUGAAGAGGAAGGAAAGGGAAGAAGAAGAAGAGAAAAUAUGGACUUGAUUCUUGGAUUUGUUCUCAAGAACAAGAAUCAACUUUUUCUUUUAAUUCUUGAUUAUGCUCCAAAUCCACUUCCCUAAAAAAAAAAAAUCCCAAAAACAAAAAUUUUACCAAACACGAUUCCGUUCCAAAAUUACUCCUGGGAACAAAAGAAUAAAAUUUGACACCGUUUGGCUGGUUACCAAACAGGUCCUUAGCAAGCUAAAGUUUUGAGUCCAACUCUUAACGAGAGCAUUUGUCUAGUGACUUAUAAUCUUUCUUUCUUCUACAUUCAAAUUUUCGUAACAACUUUUUUGAUAAACAUUCAAACUUCUGUCUUCUUGAUGCUGUUAUAAUCAGGGAAACGGAACUUUAGUGGGAAUGGAACUCAUUGCGGUGAUGCUAGAGGGAAGUUGAUGCUGACGAAUCUCACUGGAACAUGCGGAGGACAGAAAAUCUUAGAGCUGGGGAAAAUGAAUGGGUUUGGGAUUAAAUCUGGCUAAGUUAUUGCCCCGAAACUGACUCACCCAGGCCAUGGUCAGCUCUAAAGGGAACUCUAGAAAAAGAAUAAUGACUAAUGUUCUUUAUUGUUCAAGCAAAGAGACAUUUUCUAUCGGCUAAACCUUAUGCUUCUCACAUUCAAUGCUUGUGUUCCAUCUGAAGUUAUUUUUUACCACAUAAUUGUCGAAUGAUGGUUUUAAUUAGUGAUGGGCCUAAGUUGGCCCGUCUGCCCAUGCUGGGCCCAAAAGGCCCGGCCCACGGGAAUAGGGCCCGUAGAAGGGGAAGGUAUAAAAGGGAGGAGAGAGAGAGAGAGAAGACAACGCUUGGCUGAACGUACGUACGUUCUCUCCCUCGCUCUCUCUCCAAAAGGACAACAAGAACAGUAAGGCAAACGGCACGUUCUUCUUCCCUUCAAGGCGCCAUCGGAUCGAACAGGACCAGAAUUUCUUCUCGAUCUUUAGCAUUGGUGUCUAAUCUGUGGCUAACAAGGUACGCUCGAAUCCGUGGUGUGCUUUAUGAUCGGUGAUACGUGUUUUCCCGGGCUUCGUCUUCCGCAUUGAUUUAGGGGUUUGAUUGAGUGUCGAAUCCGGUUUUCGGGGAUCAGUCAUUCCCAACAUUGGUAUCAGAGCCCUAGUUCACGUUUUUCCCGAUCAAUUUGAUGUUUUUGAUUGAUCUUUCGCGAAAGAACUUCGGCCGUACGGAUCGGGGCGAAAAAUCCCGACACCCGAGCGCUGUUCGGCCAUUUUUCUGAGUUUUCGUAAGUCGAAAUUGAAUUCUGAAAGCACUGAGUGAAAGAGGUCGUCGAGACGAGUCCGGCGACAUGUUGUGCGUCGCCGAACGACGCCGCACGCACACACAUGCGCGGCCACAAGCCUCUGCGCGUGGGCGCCACGCGCCCGAAGCGCUGGCAAUGGCCAACGCGUGCGCCACACGCGCCGGUGACGAACCGGCACGUGCGUGCCGGCGACCGGCGAAACGGCACACGCCGGUCCGCGGACCAACGCGUGCUGACGUCACGUGAUGACGUCACCGUGACGUCAUCCAACGGUCGGUAACCGCUCGGAUGACGUCAUCGCCGACGACGUUUCGCCGGGCGGUUACUGGCCGGCGACCCGACCCAACGACGACCCGACCCGAACCGCGACGCCCGGCACGCCCGCGGCACGUGCCGGGUGACGUUUGCGUGACGUCAUCCCGCGCACGCGUGCGGCACGUGCGGACGGUUCGCCCGAACCAGCCCGACCGGUCUGCCCGGUCCGUCCGGCGACCGUUGACCCGUUGACCGACCGUUGACCGUUGACUUUGACUGUUGACCGUUGAUGAAAAAAAAAAAAGGAAUUUGUUUCUUUUUCAUAUAUGCCUAUGUGGUUUAUAUGUAAUCCAUUAUUUAUUCUGCAUUUGUUGCAUGAAUUUUGGAAAAUUAUGUGUUUUCCCUUAUGUUAAUUAUGGAUUAUAAGUGAUCCAUUUUUUAAUUCUGCAUUUGUUGCAGGAAUUAUGAUGCGUCAUGCACGAAUACCUACAAUCCCGAGAACGGACGAGGGAAAUGCAAGACUUAAAAGGCUGAUGACAGAGUUGGCUGAUUAUCGGUGGCAUAACGGUGAUUUAGUAUCACAUGUGGUCAAGGUCAAUAAGAUGAUACAGGAAAUCAUCAAUAAUGGUUAUCUUAUGCCGGAUUUUUAGAAGGUGCCGGCUUUGUUGAACACUCUUCCACCUGAAUGGCAAGCAGUGUUAGAUCGGCUAUGGGAGGUCAACGUGGUCCCGGGUUAUAGGAGGCUGGUGGAAGCUUUUGUAAGAGAGUACUAUAAGAUUGAGUUUGCCAAAACUUCAACCCUUAGAUUGUGCGCUACGUGGCGCAGAGUGAAUGCGCCUUGGUGGCGACAUGAAUGCUCUCCAAAAGUUUUUCCAUGGUUGGCAAAUGUGCCUUCAGUUUUCUCAGAUGUUUUGACUAAUAGAUUAGAAUGGACAUUCCCUAAUUAUUUCUUAGAUUAAUUGUGGGAUUUUUUUUUAUGGAUGUAAAUAUCUCUUUCCAUGUUGAUAUUUUUCUCUGUAUAUAUUGCUUAGUGUAAUGUAUAGUUGUAUUAUGUGAAAGCACUAUUAUUCUAUUGGAUGUUAGAUAAUAUUUGCUUUCUGUUACUGCUGAUUGCUGUGGGUAGUUAGCUGUGGGUAGUUCAUAGAAGUUUUUGUAGCUUCAUAGAAUUGUUUUUGCAUAUGACAAUCAUAUUAAUGAUAGUUUUAAGUUAGGAUUUUUGGAGGAUGAUUGGAAACGUAGUGACCUUUUGAUUCUGAAACCUUACUUGAAAUUAUUCAUUAAUAUGAUGGGUCUAUGCAAAUAGGGAUGCAUAAAUGAUAGGCAUUAAUUAUUCGUGCACAUAUGUCUGAUGUGUUCAGAUUGAUGGAUUCAGCAACUAAGAACGUAAUUGCUGAUGUGAACGGCAACAAUUGUGAAAUAUUGAAUAUGAAGAUUCAAUAUGUGCUGGAAAAGCAAGAAGCACUAGAAGCUCUUGACCAUGUUAUGGAAGAUCUUGAGGAUGCUGUGCGCCACCUUGAGUUGGUAGAGGACCGCUUAACGGCAUGUGAGCUGAAAAUAAAUAUUUGCAAUGCUGGUUCUAGCUCAGAAAGGGCUUUGAGCUCUAAGCGCAAGCGUAUUGAUUCGUUCAAUAUGUGGGAAUGCAAAGGAUCAAGUCCUUAUUGCAAGAGAUAAAGAGUUAACCAAUACAAGAGAGGAAAACGUCCUCAAGUUAAGAAAAUGUCAAGGGUGAGGUGUUACAAUUGUGACAAGAAAGGUCACUAUGCUCGCGACUGUCGUGAGCCAAAGAAAGUAAACACCUCUUGUACAUUUGAAAACUUUACUUUUGUGUCAAAUUCUGUAUUAUUAGCUGAAUUCAAUCCUUUGUGAACUGUAGAUUCAGGAGCAACAGACGAUGUAGCGAAAGAUAAAGGAUCCUUCGUGGAAUUCCGACGAAUACCAACUGGAACUAAGUGGAUCUAUGUGGGAAACAGCUCCAGAGUUGAAGUUAAAGGGAUUGGCACCUGCCAACUGAACAUGUGUGGUGGACGCACCUUGUUCCUACAUGAUGUUCUAAAUGCUCUGGAGAUUUGUCGAAAUUUAAGUGUCUGUUUUGAUGUUGGUUAAGCUUGGUUUUGAUAUGAACUUCCAUAAAUAAAGUGUAGAUUUGUGUUUAGAUACAAACUACUAUGGUUGUGGUCACUUUCUAGAUGGUUUUAUUGUACUAAAUGUUGACUGUGGUGAUGUCAAUAUGUUAUUCCCUUGUUUCACGUCUUUUACUUCAUGUGAUAAUGAUGUGAAUGUGUGGCAUGCUAGACUUGGUCAUAUUGGCCAACAACAUAUGAAUAGACUUGCCAAAGAGGGCUUGUUGGGCAAUAUUGAAUAAGUCGAUUUGUCCAUAUGUAAGCAUUGCUUAGAAGGGAAAACGACAAGGAAACCAUUUGGAAAAGGUAAAAGAGCUGACAUUCCUCUGCAUUUAAUCCAUUAUGACGUUUGUGGUUCAAUGAAUGUGAGAGGAAUGCAUGGGACUGUUUACUUCAUCACUUUUAAUAGAUGAUUAUACUCGAUUCGGAUGUGUCUAUUUGAUUUCUCAUGAAUCUGAAGCAUAAGUUGUUUCAAAAGGUUUAUGAACUUGGUUGAAAAUCAAUUAGACAAGAAAAUAAAAGCAUCGAGAUCUGAUCGAGGUCGAGAAUAUUUAUCUGAAAAGUUCAGAAAAUUAUGUGAUGAAAAAGGAAUAGAAAGACAGUUGUCUAUUCCAUAUACUCCUCAACAAAAUGGUGUUGCGGAGAGAAGAAACAGAACCCUACUGGAAAUAGUUAGGUCCAUGAUGGCGCAUGCUAACUUAGAUAUCACUUUUUUGGAGUGAUGCGUUGUUAACUGCUGUCUAUAUACUUAACCGAGUGCCUUCCAAAUCAGUUAGUUCCACUCCAUAUGAGUUAUGGACAGGUAGAAAACCAGACUUAAGUUUUCUUAAGCCAUGGGGUUAUGCUGCCUAUACUCAUGAGUCCUCUCACAAGUUUGGGAAAUUGAGUCCCAGAUAAAAGAAGAGUAUUUUCAUGAGAUACUCCGAACACUCGAAAGGGUAUAUGUUCAUAGGUGAGCAGGAAAGUGGGAGUAUGACUAAAUUUGAAUCACAGGAUGUCACAUCCUUAGUGGAUGAAUUUCCUAAGAAGGGCGAAAUAGGGGAAGAUUAGUCCCUAUUUGAAACCUUGGAUCAAGAUAAUGAUAUUAAUGGAGUUCGUCCAAGUGGGAGUAAUAUGAGAAGUGAUGAAUUGAAUUCAACUCAUUCUCAAUUACAACCACAUGAUGAGAUGAUAUCGUCAUUAUUUAAUCCGAGUGGGAGCAUAAUGGGGAAUGAUGUGCUAAAGUGUACAAUCUCCCAUAUAGCGAACAAGUCGCCAAAGGAUUCCCCGUCAACGUUUUGACAUUGAAGGGGAAACUUCUAAUGAUUGCUCCACAAAAUGAGGAUGAGCCAAGAAAUAUUAAUGAGGCUCUGAAUUGCCCUAGUAAGAAAAAAUGGAUUUAUGCAAUGAAAGAGGAGAUGGAGUCAAUGAAGUCAAACCAAGUCUGGGAACUGGUUGAUCUUCCAAAAAGGGGACGCAAAGCUAUUGGGAACAAGUGGGUUCUCAAAAUAAAGCAAAAGGCUGAUGGCUCGAUAGAAAGCAUAAGGCUCGCCUUGUGGCGAAGGGGUAUAAUCAACAGAAAGGAAUUGAUUAUGAAGAUACAUUUUCUCCUGUAGAGGGAUUUACCUCGAUUCGCAUUAUUCUGGCAAUAGUGGCUAGUAUGGAUCUUGAGUUACAUCAAAUGGAUGUAAAGACUGCUUUCCUCAAUGGAGAAUUAGAGGAAUAAAUAAAUAUGGAACAACCUGUUGGUUUCAUAGUGAAAGACCAAGAAGAAAAGGUAUGUCGACUUUGGGGGUCGAUAUAUGGCCUUAAGCAGUCGUCAAGACAAUGAUAUAUACGUUUUCAUAAUGCCAUAAUAGCAUAUGAUCUUACAAUGAUAGAUGAGGAUCAUUGUAUAUAUAUCAAAAGAUCCAAGGAUCAAUUUGUGAUCAUAUCAUUAUAUGUUGAUGAUAUAUUAAUUGCCGGAAGUAAUAUGGAGUUUGUUCAUACUGUCAAAAGUUGGUUGUCUUCCAAUUUUGAGAUGAAUGAUAUGGGAUUGUAAACACAUAAACACUCCUAUUGCAAAAGGUGAAGGAUUGAGCCAUAGACUGUGUCCAAGGACUCCACAAGAGAAGGAACAAAUGAAACAUGUUCCUUAUGCUAGUGCUGUUGGGAGCUUGAUGUAUGCUAUGAUGUGUACAAGACCUGACAUAUGUUAUGUAGUUGGAAUGGUGAGUAGAUACCAAUCCAAUCCAGGUCAAGCACGUUGGAAAGCCGUUAAAAAAAUACUAAGGUAUCUAAAGGGGACUGCUGAUUAUACGCUGAGUUAUUAUGGAAAGGAUCUGCGACUCUAAGGCUAUUCUGAUGAUGAUUGGGGAGGAGAUUUAAAUAAAAGGAAAUCUACCUCUAGGUUUGUUCUCUUACCGAAUAAUGGCACCAUGUGUUGGAGCAGUAAGAAACAAAAGUGUAUAGCCUUGUCCAUGAUGGGAAUUGAGUUCGUGGCAUUAUCAGCAGCAGUAUAAGAAGAUGUUUGGCUUAAGAGAUUUUUUGGAUCAUUUAGGUGUUAUUGGAAGUGCUGCAGAUUAAUUGUUGGUUAAUUAUGAUAGCCAAGCAGCAAAAGUGUACACCAAAGAUCCAAAAUAUCAUGACAAUACCAAACAUAUAGAUACCAAGUAUAAUUUUGUCAUGGAUAUGAUUGCACGAAAAGAUGUGAACUUAUAGUACAUACUACGCAUAGAAUGGUAGCAGAUCCUAUGAUAAAGCCAAUACCUAGAGAUGUGUUUUGUGGCUAUAUGAAAUCUCUAGGAUUGCGUAGAGGCUGAUGUACUGAAUAUUGUAAUUUCCCUAAGUGUUCACAAUUUGAUGAAUUUGUGUUUUCAUCAUUAAUGCCUAUGAAUCUUUGUUUGAUCUUUAUGCAUCUUAAUGCUCAGUGCAUUACUUUAAGUUAAGAGAAGUAUGUCGGACAGAUAUAAGAUUAGCCCACUCACACGGGUAAUCGCCUCUAUUUACUGUGUGAUAAAUAGAGAUGAGACUGUUUUUAAGCUUAUUAUCUAGGUGAUAAUCGAGAGCUCAAGCUUAAAACACGUAUGUCACCUUAACUAAGUGUUAAGAUGGGGACAUAAUACUUACUAUGUCCGAAAGUAAAAUACCCCACAUAUUUUACUUUAUCUGUUUAAGAUGCCAAAUGUGAGUUCUGAUGAAUUUUGUAAAUGAGUAGAUACGUGAACUCAAGUUAGACAUUGGGUAUGUCUGAACUAUCAUCUGUACGGUAUUGAAAGGUGUAGACAUACGCUCCAUGGGAAAGGAGUUGAUACCGUAAUACGUAUUUCAUACUACGUAUGCAUGAGACGACUAAUAAGAGUGGCAAAAGUUUGAUCUCAACUUUUUUUUUAUGUCGUGUGAGACUCUUGAGGAAAAGAGUUCCUCAAUUUUUUAGUCCCCUCAUGACUCUUACUUAUUCUCAAGAUUUCUAUUUAGUGUUUGCUAUCUUAGGAUGUUGCCAAUGGUCAUGAGUUUCAUUCGAUCUAAUGGGGCAUUUCUAGAAAAGCAAGCUGAACUGAAAUUGAGAGUUUGAAGGAAAGAGGAAGAUCGAUUUUGGAGAAUCACAUUGUAGUUUUGUAUUCACCGGUUAACCAAUUAUGACUGUCUUUGGGAUAAUCAUAAUUGUGAAUACAAUAUAUAUAUAUAUAUAUAUAUAUAUAUAUAUAUAUCAUUGUUUAAAAGAGAUCAAGAGAGAUAUAAAUGUGAUCAAUCGAUCUAGGGAACUGCAUACUAAAUCUACUCGGAGUGUGAUGCCCAUUAUGAGCUGCUAUAUAUUCCUAACAGAUGUAUGGCAACGAGCUCUCAAAGUAUGCUAGUCGCACGGAUUAUUCACUGGUAUGAAUGUUGAAGAGAGGUAAAGAGAAUUCUGUUCGGCCCACCAUGUGCGAGUGGGAGAUGAUGGUUUUAAUUAGUGAUGGGCCUAAGUUGGCCCGUCCGCCCAUGCUGGGCCCAAAAGGCCCGGCCCACGGGAAUAGGGCCCGUGGAAGGGGAAGGUAUAAAAGGGAGGAGAGAGAGAGAGAGAAGACAACGCUUGGCUGAACGUACGUACGUUCUCUCCCUCGCUCGCUCUCCAAAAGGACAACAAGAACAGUAAGGCAAACGGCACGUUCUUCUUCCCUUUAAGGCGCCAUCGGAUCAAACAGGACCAGAAUUUCUUCUCGAUCUUCAGCAUUGGUGUCUAAUCUGUGGCUAACAAGAUACGCUUGAAUCCGUGGUGUGCUUUAUGAUCGGUGAUACGUGUUUUCCCGGGCUUCAUCUUCCGGAUUGAUUUAGGGGUUUGAUUGAGUGUCGAAUCCGGUUUUCGGGGAUCAGUCAUUCCCAACAGUUGACAACCUAAUUUGACCAAUAAACGCAGUACAUCUAUAUAGUAUCUGGAGAGCAGCUGUUGUUGCUAGCUAAGGAUUACAUCAAGUAUCUUUUUAGUGGAUGUUUGAGUGUUAGGUCAACCCGUGCGAUACCCCAGUGAGGAAGAUUUUACAACGAGCUAACAGAGAAGAAAGAGGUUGAUCAGUAUUGGUUAGUGUUGAAAAUUGAGAUCCAUUUUCUAAAACUAGCUAAUUUCUUCUAUUGUAAUCUAGAAGCUCCUAAGUAAAGGUUUUGGUAGUGGAAGUUGUGGUCUAACAAUGUCCAAGUUAAGAGAUGUUUGGAUGAAUGGCCGUGGACAGUUGUAAAGCAAAAAUAUCUCUGACAAAAGCAGGAAUCUUUCCUUGAAGAAUACGGUGGGUGGCUUUAUGAGUAAAGCAAGAACUAGUUUGUGUAAGGUGGUGGAAGCAUCAGAUAAACUCCAGCCACGUGAACAUCCCGUCCUACAAUUAUGUAACGCCACAUUUCUAUCAAAUAAAUAAACGAUAUUCUUGUCUCAUAAAUCUUUUUCUAUAUUCCUCAGAGUAUUCAUCCUUGUCCAUUCCCCUACAUCAACUAUACCAUAAACAUAUACAUUUACACAUACAAACAAAAAAAUAUCAUUGAUAUCAAAGUCAUUCUUCGGCACAAUCUCACAAUUUCCAACAGUUAGAGAAGGCGAUAAUUAAUAUCCCGACCUAGUGGGACGGUCCUGAGAAGUAGAGGCGCAGGGAGAGAAUAUAGACAAGAUUUGUCUUCCAGCUAUGAUAAUGACCUCUGAACAAUUCAUCUUCGUCUUCCCCAGUCAUUUUAGAUGGAACAGCGAUAUCAUUCCACGGUUCUAGUUUUGCAGUGAUCCGAAGCUUGAUCUUGGUAGACGAUGAGAAAGCUGUCUUGUGUAGUUGUUACACCAUCCGUCAUGGAAUUUUCGUGCAAAAUUUAACAAGAACAAGGUCAGAUGAAUGAAGGAUUGAAGUCUAUGUCAUUCUGUUUUGUUGCAGUAUGAAUGACUGAGUUCAAGUUGAUUCAAAGCGUUAGAGCAAUUGGGACUUGAUAGGCUGCUUCAUCGGGUGAGGACUUCUUCGUUCCAACUUUUUCUGUCCCUUUUGAUUCGUUUUCAUUUCUGCUAUUGAUUUCGUCAUUUUGAGCUUAGGUUGCUACCUAAUAGGCAGAAUUUUUGUAACAUUUGAUAUGAUAUGCAAAUACACAUUACUUGUGUAUAUCUCGAAAAUUCCCACAUUUAGACACUGCUUUAGGCUGGCUUCCAAAAAAAUGCCCUUCUAUUAAUCUUCCGAGCGUUAAAAACUACAAAUACAAACUAAAAAAGUCAGAUUGUGAGAGCAACUUCCGUUUGCUCUUUCUUUUGUUUUGCAUUGCAUAUUGGUCCUUCCCCUAUUUUUGCAUGCUGACAGCUAAUCAUAAACACCAAGUUGCUUCAAAGGUUAUGGUUGAAACAAGCAUAUACUGAAAUGUAGAGGCAAAAGAAAUUAUGUAGGUUCUCGAAACUCUGGUGGUUGACCGCAGGGACAUCACCCGAUCCCGGUAUGUUGAGCUUUUUGAUGGCAAUGAUUUGGCUGCUGGCCAGUUCAAUCCUGUAAACGCUCCCGAACCAGCCCUUCCGAUGCAGUACUUUUCACUGCAGUCAUUGGUAGCCUUGGCGAUGUCAUUGAAUGUGAACUUCCCUUCCCUUCCCCAUAUGAUCGACUUGGAUUGCUCUUGCUUCACAAGACUCUUGAUCUCUUCAUCGAAUUCCUUGUUUCGCCACCAAAGUGCCAGAAUCACAGCAAUUGAAAUCACCAGAAAUAGUAAGCAGCAGAUGCCCAGGGUCACACCAAAAAAAACCUUUUCCCUAUGGUCGGUCGAUUUACGCUCAUCCCACAAGGAGAUAAUCCGGUCGUGUUUCCACACAAACCUAGAUUCGCGAUUAAAGCACUUCCCUGUGCUUGUUGGGAGAGGCGACCACUACGAACCACACUAAUUGGCUUGUUGCACGAUAAGUCUGUUGAGCUUCAACUCCUCAUGUUGGUGAGAGGAGCUGGGAUCGUAACCGACAAUUUGUUAUGCAAAAGAUUGAGAUUUUCCAAUUCAGUGAACUUUGCUAAAUUGGAAGGAAUUGAUCCUGCUAGAGAAUCAUGGCUCAGGUUCUCCUCUGUAGCGUGAACAAGUUCCCCAGCUCUGGCGAUAUGACAUCCAACAUAUUGUUGUUGCUCAAGUUCAAGCUCAGUAAAUUCUUGCAAUUCGCUAGCUCUUCCGCUAUGCUACCGCUCAAUGCCUUCUCCCCGACAAAUCAAGAUAUUCUAGCUUCAAUAAGUUUCCUAACUAGGUGGGAAUAUCUCCAGCCAAAUGGUUGUAGCUCAAGUUCAGCCUAAUCAACGCCCCCAGACUUACCAAAUCAUCAGGAAUUUUCCUGGUCCAUUCAUUGCCAUAUGGAGUCAGAUCGUGCAAUUGAGACAAUUUAUUAAUCUCCGGCAAGAUGCGGCUGGGGAUUUUGUUACCAUCUAUCUGCAAAUUCGUGACAUUCGUGCACUCUCCCCAUUCUGCAGAGAGAUUCCCGACAAAUCGGUUGUUGCUGAGGACCUGAGGCUUAUAAAGUCCGGAUUCAGAUAAACUCCAAACGCACUCAUGACAUCUGCGGUGAACCGAUUGCUGUCCAGACGGACUCUCGUUAGCCCCGGACAAUUCCUAAGCAGUUGGGCAGCGGCUAGGUGAAGUUAUUCCCAUCGACCACGAGAUAUCAAAGAGCAAAGCCGCUGCAUAUAUCUGGCGGCAGCUCUCUGGUGAAGCUGUUGUUCGAAAAGUUAACAUUGCCCAGAGAAUGGCUGUACUUGCCAAAAUCACGGGGUAUGCCUCCCGAGAAAGUGUUCAUGAACAAAGAGAUGGACUGUAAGUGAUGCUACAUCAUGGCUUUUUCCUUCCCAGCCCUGAUCUCCUCUUCUUCAACUUGAAGUGCCUCCUUGGUGGUAUACUUGCUGGUCAUCUUGCAAACCGACCUUCAUCACUGACAGCCUCUCAAACUUGACCUCGUAAUCAAUCGACUCGAGUUUGUCCUCUAAUGUGUCACCUUCGAUUAUCGUCUACCUACACACGAAGUUCUCCUUGUCGAGCUCAUUGAUCCGGUGCUUCACAUUCUUGAAAUGACUAGCUGCAUUUGUGACCAAACAAGACUUACAUUAUGAAACUCCCGGCUUGACGAGUGUCUGUUGAGUGUUCGUACCUUCGGCGAUAUUAACUUGCUCGAUGCUCCCGGCUCCUCCGUUGCCUUGCACGAGCUCCACGCUCUUUAUGAACUGAGGCAGGAGCUUUGGGAUCAGGGAAUUCAACCCGACGAUCAAGGCCUUGAACAUGUGAGCUGGAGCAAUCGGGCACGUGAGCUCUUGUGUGAUGCUGGUUGCACCCAUGGCUAUUGGCAAUGAGAAAGAAAUAACCCCAGAGAAGUUCGUGCUUCUGAGUCCUGUCAAUGCCUCCUAUUUAUGGUUAGAAUUAUGCGAAUAGGUAGGCUUGGUUUGGCAAGAGUCACGUUUGAGGAAAAUAGAAGAGUCGAGGAUUCGCGGCCUAAAGAAAUAUAUAAUAAGAAUGUACUUUUCCUUAAUGAUUUUACUUAUUGCGGUUCAUGAAAAAUUGUGCCACCUUGAUAUGUUUCGAUGAUCGAUCCGGAUCGAGCGGGAUCGAUAGUCCAUAUUCGAAAUAUUAGGCCACAGUUUACCAUGAAUUCAUUUCACUCAUGUAUCCUCUCCAUGUAGCGCAGUUUACCAAAUGCCAUAAAAACCACUACACCAGAUUCCUGUCACAUCUUUCAUUCUCUUAUUCUCAGCAAAGACUGGAACAACAACAAUCACCAGCCCAACAUGCUUUAACUUCGAACACCAAGUGACUCAAACGCUUCUUGUCUUCUAUUUAGUUUUGCCCAACCGGACAAUAAAAGAUAGCGACGAGAUCGGCGCAACAGGCAUCAGCGUUUGCCACGACAGAAGCCUCUAUGGCCUUGACCAUCGCGUCCACCUUCUCUUUCCCGGCCUUGAUCUCCUCCUCGGUGAUAUUCACCUCGCCAAUGGUGAAGUACUUGCUCAUGCACUUCAACACCGAGCCUCCCUCGGGCGACGCGGUGAUCUUCACCUCGUAGCUGAUCUUCUCAAAGGCGGUGCCCAGCGCAUCACCCUCGAUGAUUGAGUAACAGUAGGUGAAGUUCUCCUUGUUCAAGGCCUAGACCUUGUGCUUUGCCGUCUUGUACCGACUGCCGAUCAGAGUAACAAAAAGUAACAUUCACAUUUAGAACUUGCCGGUUUCAACAUUGUGAGCACCGAUCUUGAUGGUGUAGAAUCGGCCAUUCAGGAAUUAGCCCCCAGCCACAAUCCAAUACUAUUAACUUAGACAUGGCCUGAUUUUGCCUUAUCGAAAUCAGGUCACAUGAUCACAUGUGUAAAUUUAAACAGUUAGAAACGUCUUAAUUAAUCAAGUCAUAUAUCUAUAUUUUUCAAUCAAGUCAUAUAUCUAUCAUUAAGGAAUUAGCCCCCAGCCACAAUCCAAUACUAUUGACUUAGACAUGGCCUGAUUUUGCCUGAUCGAAAUUGGGGCACAUGAUCACUUGUGUAAAUUUAAACAGUUAGAAACGUCUUAGUUACUAUCUAUCUUUUUUAAUGUCCAUUAUAGUGUUCCAUAAGGUUGAACCCGCCUUGAUUUGGAGCAAUCCUAAGUUCCUAAUAUGGAUGGACUAACCUUCGCAGAAAGUCAUCAACUUGAUGGUCCCGGGACCUCCAUCGCCCUUGAAGACUUCAAUGCUCUUGAUGUCUUGUGGGAGGACCUUGUUGAUGAGGUUAUCGGCGUCAAGGAGAGUGGCCUCAAACAUCUCGGCCGGAGGGAUUGGGGACGUAAGUGAUGACACCCAUGACUGGAUCCGAACAAAGGUGCAGAAACUGAGAAGAGGGUGAUGAUUAGGAAAGACUUAGUAGUGAUGAAUUUGGUCUCUAGGACUUGGGAGUGAAGGAAGGAGGCCGAAUUGAAGAAGACAUAUGUAGAGAGACUGAGUGUGAAGGGUUAUGAUUUCUGAAUAUUUUCUUCUUUCUCAGGUGGGUUUUGCAGAAAAUAAAUAAUUUAAAAAAUAUUUUCCUAAAAUUAAUCGUCAAAUUUGGAUAGUGUUUCCAAGCAAGAGUUAUUUGGUGAGUGUGCUGCAUAUUGUAAAUUGAUCUAAAUCCAUAUAGAACUCACAAGAAUUACAAGCCUAUAUCUCCUUAAUAUAAAUACGAUGAAAAAAUGCUACCUCAUUUCCGAAUUUUCGUCAAAAUUGUGCUAUAUAUACUAUGUUAAUCUAAAUUGCUAAAUUCAAUGGGCUCACGUGGGAUCCAUACAAAACUCACCAGAGUUAAAAGUUUUGAUUCCGCUUAAUAUGAAUACAGUGCACUUUCGUCAAAAUUGUGUUGUCUAUACUAAAUUGAUUUAAAUCACUAAAUCUGAUGGGUUCAUGUGAGACCCAUAUGGAACUUACUAGAAUUAAAAAUCCAAAUUCAGCUUAAUAUAAAUACAACCUAGCUCAUUUAUGAGUCUUCAUUAAAAGUGUGUUGUAUGUCCUACAUUGAUCUAAAUCGCUAAAUAUGAUGGGUUUGCGUGGGAUCCAUAUAGAACUUACUAGAAUUAAAAGUCCAAAUUCCCCUUGAUAUAAAUACGACACUACCUCAUCUCCAAGUCUUCGUCAAAAUUCUGCUAUAUGUACUAAGUCAAUCUAAAUCGCUAAAUUUGAUGGGUUCACGUGGGAUCCAUACGAAACUCACUGACAUUGAUUCCACUUAAAAUAAAUAUGAUGCUCUUUCAUUGAAAUUGCGUUGUAUGUACUAAAUUGAUUUAAAUCACUAAAUAAGAUGGGUUCAUGUGGGACUUAUAUGGAACUCACUGGAAUUAAAAGUCCAAAUUCCACUUAAUAUAAAUUUGACCCUAGCUUAUUUUCGAGUCUUCGUCAAAAGUGUAUUGUGGGUUCAAGUGAGAUCUAUAUGAAACUCAUUGGAAUUAAAACUCCAAAUUUCUCUUACUAUAAAUAUGAUGCUAUCUCAUUUCCGAGUUUUCAUCAAAAUUAUGUUGUAUAAGCUAAUAUACGGGUUUGUUUUAUUAUUAUGACUUUUGAGAUUCCCUUUCAUGGAUCAGUUUGAUAAAGAAUCGAAAUUUCCUUUUGACCCAAAAAAAAAAAAAGUUAAUCUAAAUCACUAAAUUUUAUGAGUUUACAUGAGACCCAUAUAAAACUCACUAAAAUUAAAAGUCUAGAAUCCACUAGAUAUAAAUACGAUGCUAGCUCAUUUCCAAAUCUCCAUCAAAUGCCUUUUUAUCAUCAUUUUGAAGCUUCUGAUCGCACCCCACUCUGUCACACGUGAAUUGGGAAUGAUUUUCGACGCCAAAGUCUUCGUUAAAUCUCAUAAAGAUUGAGCCAACGUGGAACAACAACUCAAUUGUAAGCAUCGGGGUUUUGCAAGAGAUGGGCUCCAAUGGCUUUCAACAUUCCCAUGGCCUUCUAUUUGCUAGCCUUGUUCUCGAACCUGUCCUUGGCGAAGUACUUGCUCGUGCUCUUGCACGUGCACCCUCUCUGUCUGGACUUGAUCUCGUUCGAGAUCUUCUCUAGCACGUCGCCCUCCACAAUGAUGUAAGCGUGCGGGAGCUUUCCUUGUCCAGCUUGUCGACUGGUGCUUCACCGAGUUGAACCGUGUAGCCGCGACACAGAAAACUGUAGUCAGCUCCCACGUUAGUCUUAUCUAAGAAUGUCAGGCAAAUAUGUUGACAUCACAUGUUGAUGUGUGAUCAAAAUGAGUGAAAUUAGAAGACGCGCAGGUACUCGCCUUCGCCGAAAACGAUGCGAUGGUGACGGGACCGCCGUCACCUUCAAGGGUGACAAAAUCCAGAUUGGCUUGUAGGAGGAGCUUGGGGAUGAGAUUUUUAUCAAGAUCAAAUGCCUUGAACAUUCGUGCAGGUGGGAUGGAAUGCGUCUUAGCCUAAGAUUUCCAAGUCCCAGGGCAAGAGAUGUGAGAUUAUGUUGAAAUGCCCUUUAAAUGAUUCUCAAUCUCCUCGUUUAGUAAUCUAAAUCAGCAUCACAAUGUUCUUAAAUAAUACAAUAAAAAAAGAGGACAAAAGGCAUGGAUCUCAAGCCCAAAUUAUACUUAUUAGCAUGCGAGAGACCUUUGAAUGCUGACACCCUUGAGGGUGGGAAUUCACUAAAUUAUAAUUUAAAUAUUCUAACGGCGCCAACGGCUCGGACAGGAAAGCUUGAGUACGUGCGGAUAAUUCUUGCGCAACGAAAUGCAUGGUAAGUCACGAAUCGAGACUCAUCCGCAUACACGCUAUUGCGACCAUGACCAUGAAUACCACUUCCUUGACCAGUUGGCCAGUCGGAGGAGGAAGAUGUGGGUUGAGCAUAUCCUAUAGUGGCACAUUUGAGUCUUUGAAUAAUGUCGACAUUUGUGUCAUUUGUAGGGAAGAGAGAAGAUUCCGGGAUGCUUCCUCAUCAUUCUCUAGCAUCGGUACUUUUACUGUUGACUCUGUUUCAUGAAAGAAGAAUGAAUCAAUGUUUUGAUCACAACCUCAAGUUGCCUACAAAUUCCAAAUUUUUGAGAUUCUGUUAAUACAUACCACUUUUCAAAAUCUGUACUUGCUCUUCCUAAAAGUCUUGUUAGAAGUAUUGGAUGAAUCCAAAUUCAAUAUGUCAAUUGAAGGUAUUUGAUCAACCCGAGACCAUAGGUACAGGGGGAAUGUACUGAUUAGAUUUGAUCAUGUAGCUUACCAGGAACCAUGUAGCCAUAAGAUCCAGCCACUGGGAUCCAAUUCGACGAAUCCGAAUUCAAGAGCCUCACUGUCCCAAAAACCAAAAGCCAAGGCUCGAAGUCCGACUCGAGCAAGAUGUUGUUCAACAUCAUGUUCCGAUGGACAAUAGGCAGUGAGCAAUUGUGAUGCAAGUAGGCGAUCACGGGAGCCACGCAUUGAACAAUCUUCACUCUCUUAACACAAGUCCAAUUCAACUGCUCCGCUUCCUCCAUGCAAGACCUUUGCCAAAGUUCACAAAAGAUUGGAUGAUGUCCCUGCGGUUAACCACCACUUUUUUUUACCAUGACGAUGUGGCCGCUGGCCUAUUCGGCCUUGUAAACGCUUCUGAAUCCACGUUUUCCGAUGCAGUACUCUCCAUUGAAGCCGUUGGUGGCCUUGGCAAUAUCGUUGAAUGCAAACUUCAUUCCCCUUUCCCAUAUGAUUUCACGUACUUCAUAAGAUUUCUUAUCUCUUCAUCGAGAUGCUUGUUUCACCGCCAAAGCACCAAAAUCAGAGCAAUAAGAGUCACGAGAAGUAGUAAGCAGCAAACGCAACAAUCACAUUAAUCAGAACCUUUCUCCGAUGGUCAGUCGAUUUACUGCUCGACCCACAUGGAGACAUUCCGUCGCGUUUCCUCACAAGCCCGGAUUUGCAAUAAAAGUACUUCCUAGUUAUUGUUGGAAGAGGCGACCACCAAGAACUGCGCCUGUCAACUUGUUGUACAAGAAGCCCAUGAAGCUUAAACUGCUCAUGCUGGUGAGAGUAGCUGGGAUCGUACCCAACAAAUCGUUAUGCAAAACGUUGAGAUUUUUCAAUUUAGUGAGCUUUGCUAAAUUGGAAGGAAUUGAUCCUACUAGUGAAUUGUGGCUCAGGUCUAGUGGUUCUGUAGCGUGAACGAGUUCCCCAGCUCUGGCGACAUGACACCCAACAGAUUGUUGUUGCUCAAGUUCAGGCUCAGUAAAUUCUCGCAAUUUGCUAAUGCUUUUGGUACGAUCCAUAGAGAAGGGAUGUACUUGCCGUAUUGUGGUUUAUGAAAGAUUGUGCCACAUUGAUAACUUUAGAUGUUAAUCCAAAUUCGAAAUAUCAGGCCAAAUUUUGGUAUUUUAUUGGCCAUUUGGCAUUUCAUUUGUAACUCAUGAAUUCUCUCCUCGUAAAAAAAUUACUAAAUUAGAGAAUUUCAUUCUACAAGCCUUGUAUAAACAUGUAGCAUAGUUUAUCAAAUUCCACAAAACCACUGCACCAGAUUCCUAUCACACCUUUUAUUCUCUUAUUCUCAGCAAAGACAAGAACAACAAUACUCACCAGCCCAACAUGCUUAGCUCCAAACAGAGUGACUCAAACUCUUCUUGUCUCCUUUUCAGUAUAGCACAACCACACAUAUUUAACGCAUUACGUAAACAAUACAAGAUAGCGAAAAGAUAGGCUCAGUAGGCAUCAGGGUUUGCCAAGAGAUAAGCCUCGAUGCCCUCGUACAUCGCGGACACCUUCUCUUUCCAGGUGUUGAUCUCCUCCGCGGUGAAGUAACUGUCCGUGCACUUCAACAUCGAGCCUCCCAAAGGCAACGCGUUGAUCUUCACCUCAUGGGUGAUCUUCUCGAAGGUGGUGCCCAGCAUUUCGCUCUCGAUGAUUGAGUAGCGGUAGGUGAAGUUCUCCUUGUCCAGGGCCUCGACCUUGUGCUUCGCUGUCUUGAACGGAUUGCCUAUCAAUGUAACAAAAAGUCACACUCACAUUUAGAACUCGCAGGUUUCAAUAUCACGAGCACCAAUCUUCAUGGUGUCCAUCAGGCCAUUUAGGAAUUAACCCAAUUGUUCCGACCGCAAUCCAAUACAAUUGACUUAGACAUAGCCUGACUUUGCCUGAUCAAAAUUGAGUCACAUAAUCACUUGUGUAAAGUUAAACGGUUAGAAACAUCUUAAGUAAUCGAGUCAUAUUUCUAUCUUUUUCCAUAUUCAUUUUAGUGUUCCAUAAGGUUGAACCUACCUUGAUUCAAAGCAAUCCUAAGUUCCUAAUACGGAUGGACUAACCUUCGGCAAAAGUCAUCAACUUGAUGGUCCCGGGACCUCCAUCGCCCUCGAGGACUUCAACGCUCUUGACGGCUUGUGGGAGGACCUUGGGGAGGAGGUUAUCGGCAUCGAGGAUAGCGGCCUUGAACAUCCUGGCCUGGGGAAUGGGGGAUGGGAUAUCGAAGUGAAAAGUGAUGACACCCAUGACCGGAUCUUACUAGAGUUGCUGAAACUGAGAAGGGGGUGAUGAUCUGGAAAGACUUGAGUAGUAGUGACGAAGUUGGUCUCUGGGACUUGGGAGUGAAGAGAAGAGGCUGAAUUGAAGUUGACAUAUAUAGAGAGAGGGAGAUUGAGUGUGAAGGGUUCUGAUCACUGCAUAUUUUUUUCUUACUAAGAUGCAUUAUAUUUUGCGGAAAAUAAAUAAUUUAGAAAAUAUUUUCCUAAAAAUAAUCACUAAAUUUAGAUAGUGUUCUGAGCAUAAGUUAUUUGGUGAGUGUGCUGCAUGUUCUAAAAUGAUCUAAAUUGCUAAUUUAAUGGGCUCACUAGAAUUAAAAGUCUAGAUUCCCCUUAAUAUAAAUACGACACUACCUCAUUUUCAAGUCUUCAUCAAAAUUGUGUUGUAUAUAAAUAUGACCCUAGCUCAUCUCCGAGUCUUUAUCAAAUGUGUGUUGUAUGUCCUAAAUUGAUCUAAAUCUCUAAAUCUAACAGGUUCACGUGGGAUAAAUGUGGAACUCACUAAUUAAAAGUCUAGAUUCUCCUUGAUCUAAAUACAAUGCUAUGUCAUUUCGAAGUUUUCGUCAAAAUUGUGUUGUAUAUACUAAGUUAAUCUAAAUCGCUAAAUUUGAUGGGUUCAUGUGGGAUCCAUAGGAAACUCACUGAAUUAAAAGUUUAGGUCAACUUAAUACAAAUACAGUUUUCUUUCAUCAAAGUUAUGCCGUAUGUACUAAAUUAACCCAAAUUGCUAAAUCUGAUGGGUUCAUGUGGGACCUAUAUAAAACUCACUCGAAUUAAAAGUCAAGAUUCUCCUUGAUAUAAAUACGAUGCUAUGUCAUUUCAAAGUUUUCGUCAAAAUUGUGUUGUAUAUACUAAGUUAAUCUAAAUUGCUAAAUUUGAUGGGUUCAUGUGGGAUCCAUAGGAAACUCACUAAAUUAAAAGUUCAGGUCAACUUAAUAUAAAUACGGUUUUCUUUCAUCAAAAUUAUGCCGUAUGUACUAAAUUAACCCAAAUUGCUAAAUAUGAUGGGUUCAUGUGGGACCUAUAUGAAACUCACUCGAAUUAAAAGUCAAGAUUCUCCUUGAUAUAAAUACGAUACUAUGUCAUUUCUAAGUUUUCGUCAAAAUUGUGUUGUAUAUAAAUAUGACCCAAGCUCAUUUCCGAGUCUUUAUCAAACGUGUGUUGUAUGUCCUAAAUUGGUCUAAAUCACUAAAUCUAAUAGGUUCACGUGGGAUCCAUGUGGAACUCACUCAAAUUAAAAGUCUAGAUUCUCCUUGAUAUAAAUACGAUGCUAUGUCAUUUCUAAGUUUUUGUCAAAAUUGUUUUGUAUAUAAAUAUGACCCUAGCUCAUCUCCUAGUCUUUAUCGAACGUGUGUUGUAUGUCCUAAAUUGAUCUAAAUCGCUAAAUCUAACAGGUUCACGUGGGAUCCAUGUGGAACUCACUUGAAUUAAAAGUCUAGAUUCUCCUUGAUAUAAAUACAAUGCUAUGUCAUUUCUAAGUUUUCGUCAAAAUUGUAUUUUGUAUAUAAUAAGUUAAUCUAAAUCGCUAAAUUUGAUGGGUUCAUGUGGGAUCCAUAGGAAACUUACUAAAGUUAAAAGUUCAAAUCAGCUUAAUAUAAAUAUAGUGCUCUUUCAUCAAAUUACGUCGUAUGUACUAAAUAACCCAAAUCGCUAAAUCUGAUGGGUUCAUGUGGGACCUAUAUAAAACUCGCUGGAAUUAAAAGUCUAGAUUCUACUAAAUAAAAAUUAGGCCCUAACUCAUUUCCGAGUCUUUGUCAAAAGUGUGUUGUAUGUCCUAAAUUGAUCUAAAUUGCCAAAUCUGAUGAGUUCACAUAGGAUCCAUAUUGAAUUCACUAGAAUUAAAAGUCCAAAUUCCACUUAAUAUAAAUAUGACGCUAGCUCAUUUCUGUUUCUUCAUCAAAAUUGUGGUAUAUGUACUAAGUUAAUCUAUAUCGCUAUAUUUGAUAGGUUCAUGUGGAACCCAUAUGAACCUCACUAAAAUAAAACGUCCAAAAUCGAUUAAAUAUAUACACUACUUUAACUCAUUUCUAAGUCUCCAUCAGGCGCCUUUUUCUCAUCUCUUUGAAGCUUCCGAUCUCGUGCCAUUCCGUCACAUGUGAAUCGCGAAUGAUUUUCCACGCCAAAGUCUUUGUUAAAUCUCAAGACUUAAAAAUACGAAUGUGAAGUAACAACUGCGUGUCAAAUGCAGAAAAUUCAUAUGUGAAAAAGUUGACCGUCCCUUCUUGAGUCAACUGUUCUCUUCCUCGAUAUGCUUUUCUGAUCUGGCCUCACAGAUAGAUGGGCAAAGCGGCGCAUUCAUAUCUAUAAUCUCGCGGCAGUUUCAACUCUGUUAAAAGAAUGCCGAGAUCUUUACAAGAUGUUUGACAAGUGUCUUUGAUGACAGCAUGCAGCAUAUCUACCGCUUCAAAACAUAGUUACGGUUCAGUCUCGAUUGUUAUUUUUCUUGAAAGAGACACGAAUGAAGACAUAAAUUAUCGUGGGAGAUAGAAAGAUCCAGCCAACAUGUAACGACAACUCAAUCGUAAGCAUCAGUGUUUUUGCAAGAGAUGGGCUUCUAUGGCUUUCAACAUUCCCAUGGCCUUCUCUUUGCUGGCCUUGUUCUCGACCCGGUCCACGGCGAAGUACUUGCUCAUGCUCUUGGCCAUACACCCUCUCUGUCUGGACCCGCCUCAAACUUGAUCUCGUUCGGGAUCUUCUCUAGCGCGUUGCCCUGGACGAUGGCGUACGCAUGCGCGAGCUUUCCUUGUCCAGCUUCUCGACUGGUGCUCCACCGAGUUGAACUGUCUAGCUGCGAGACACAGACAACUGCAGUCAGCUCCCACGUUAGCCUCAACAAAGAAUGUCGGCAAAUGUCCUCUUUGACAUCACAUGUUAAUGCGACGCAAUCAAAAUAAAUUAAAAUAGAAGACAGCGCAAGCACUGGCCUUCGCCAAGGAUGGCGCCGGGACCCCCAUCACCUUCAGGGAUGACAAAAUCCUUAAAGGCUUGUGGGAGGAGCUUGGGGAUGAGAUCAUCGUCAGGAAGAACGGCCUUCUUGCAGGUGGGAUGGAAUCGUCUUCACCUAAGAGUUCCAAGUCCCACGGCAAGAGAUCUGUGAUAUUAUGUUGAAAAUGCCCUCUAAAUGAUUCUCAAUCGCCUCGUUUAGUAAUCUAACUCAACAUCACAUUGGUCUAAAUCAUAUAAUAAAGAAAGAGGACAAACGGCAUGGAUCUCAAGCCCAAAUGAUACUUGUUAGCAUGCGAGAGAUCUUUGAAUGCUGACAACCUUGAGGGAGUCACUAAAUUAUUAUUAAAAUAUUAUAAUAGAACCCAAUGGCUUAGACAAGCAAGCUUGAGUGCAUGUGGAUAAUUCUUGCUUGAUGAAAUGCAUGGUAGGUCGCGAAUCGAGACUCGUCCCCAUGCACAUCCACUCCCUCGGCUAGUUGGCCGGUCGGAGGAGGAAGCCGUGGGUCGAGCACAUCCUUCAAUAGCACAUUUUAGUCUUUCAAUAAUGUCGACGUUUGUGUCAUUUGUAGGGAAGAAAGAACAUUCAAUGGAUGCUUCCCAUCAUUCUCUAGUGUCACUACUUUUACUGCUGACUGUGUUUCUUGAAAGAAGAACUAGCCAGGGUUUUGCUCACAACGUCAAGUUGUCCACAAAUUCCAAAUUUCUGUGAUACUUUAAAACAAACCACUUUUCAUAAUCUAUACUUACUCUUCCUAAAAGUAUUGUUAGAUUUAUUGAAUGAAUCCAAAUUCGAUUUGUCCAUUAACCGCGGAGUUACUACUAAUUUUAUUUUUCAAGAAGAAGAAUGAAUCAAAGUCAUGAUCAUAAUGUCAAGUUGUACCCAAAUUCCAAAUUUGAACGACACUCUUAACACAAACUACUUUUCAAAACCGGUACUUGCAAGAAUCCUAAAAGUCCCGUUAGAAUUAUUUAAAUGCAAAUUAUCGAUCUGAGACCAUUUGUACCUGCGAAAUGUUCGAUUAGAUUCCAUCAUCUAACUUACCAGCAACCAUGUAGCCAUAAGAUCCAGCCUCAAAUAAGGCCGGAAACUCGCAUGAACCGGAAAGCAGCAGCCCAGUCCGGCGAGCCCGAAACAGGGCAUGGGCAAAAAAAAGCGCGGUCGGCCGAGAGUCCCUACCCAGCUCGCGGCGUCGGACGGCGGACGAGCUCGAUAGAUCGGGCUAUGCCCGUCCGCCUCGCUCGUCUCCUAGCCGGGAUCCUCGGGAAGCCGACCCCGAAUCGGGAAAAACCAAGACCGCCCGAAGGGGUACCUACCAUGGCCUCGAAGUGGACAAGGAGCGGCGGCGGAUCAUCAGUUUUGGUUCGGAAGUGGAGCCCAACAGCAGCUCUCUCAGUCGCGUCCUCGGAUCCGAAUCCCUCUCGCCUCGUACUUGACCCCCUCCGAUUUCUCCCUCCUCCCCCCGACCUCUGGCCUUCGAUUUAUAGGCUGAGAAGGCCGGUCGGCGGAGGCGCUUCGGCCGCCGGUCCUUCGCGCGCCGACCGGCCCCCCUUGGCUGAACCAGCAUCACAUCACCCGUCGCCUCCAGCGCCGCCUGCUCUGCUUUGCGCCUGCUCUGCUCUGCUCUGCUUCUACUUCUGAUUCCGUCCUCGCUGGCGUGAGGAAGAAGCGGGAAGGAGGAAGGAGGAAGGAGGGGCCGGGCCGGGGUGAGAAGCACAAGCAGAGUGGGCCCUGGGCCCACUCGGGGAACAAAGGAGAAAAGAGGGGGGCUAAGGCGAAGGCCCAGCCGCCGUGGGCCCUUUUUUUAUAAAUAAUAUUAAAUAGGGCUAAAUAAGAGAAAAUAAAAUGCAAAUGAUAUUUAUGCUUAUAUGAUGUGAAAAUCGUUUUUAUUAGUGUCAAAUUGAUUCCAAAUUUUUUAUAUAAUUUUAAUUAUAGAUAUUUAGUCAAAAUUUAAGUAUCAAUAAAUAUAAAUCUCAAACUGCAAGAGUAAAAAUAAAAAAAGAAAAGAAUUAAAGAAGAGACAAGUGCGGUUGCACCUUUAUCCCAUCAUGUGACUGAAAUUGUUUAAGAAAGUAAAAAAAAUUGGGAUAAGUGCAUUAGAAAUCUUAAAAAUUAUCAUGAAAAUGCAAUUGAGUCAUAAAACUUUCAAAAAGUGCAAUUAAGUCCUAAAAAUUGGUACGAAAGUUCAAUCAAAUCCUAAAACUUUCAAAAGAUUCAAUAAAAUCUAAAAACUUGUUUCGAAAGUACAACCGAAUCCUAAAACUUUCAAAAAUGCAAUCAAUUGAAGGACUUAGAUUGAACCACUUUAAUAAGUUUUAGGACCUGAUUGUAUUUUUUGAAAUUUUUAGGACUUAAUUGCAUUUUAUAACAAGUUUUAUGACUUAAUUACCUUUUUUAAAAGUUUUAGAACUUAAUUACAUUUUCAUGACAAAUUUUAGGACUUCAAAUGUACUUAUCCCUAAAAAAUUCAAUGAACAUCACAUGCUCUAGCUUUAAUUGAAUUAUUGGGGGAGGGGGGUUAUUUUUUCCCUAUAAAAAGAACUCGCCACACGACGAUAAUUGGGGGUUUUAAUUUUUUUGGAGGACCUCGAAGGGAUUUUAUUUUCUCUCCCAGUUUCUAGGUGAAGAAAUUCAAGAAAAAGAGAGAAAAAUUCCCCUUCGUUGAAGGGAAAGUCAACCAAAGGGUUUUUCCCUUGUGGUUUUUUCCUUUUGCUGAAAGUACAAGGGCAGUAGAAUUGAGAAAAUAUUGGGUACCUUAAAAAUGCCAUGUAAUUUGUGCUCUGAACCAUUUAAAGUGUGACAUAUGUUUGUGUGUCAAUCCAUGUCGUCCCACUUCUCGAUUUCAAACCAACGCACGGGAGGUUCUCUCUCUGCUCUCUCAAGCAUAAGCCCUGGCCCACCUCUUUGCAUGCUCUAACGCUCUCUUUCCUUUGCUCUCCUUUGCAGAUCAUCUCUCUCCUCUUUCUCCUCUCUGUCUCUCUCCUCAUUCUCUGUUCCGUUGCGAGGAGAACAAAAUUGUGGAGGGUUAAAGGAAAACAUAAAAGUUGAGCCCCUCCGCCUCCACUAGUUGCUUCCAUCGCCUCCCUCUCACGACAUUUGCUCUGCUCUGCUCUGCUCUCUCUCCCCUCCAUGAAGUCGUGCCUCUCUUCCAGCGAAAUGUGACGCCGAUGGUCCUCCACCUCCACCUCCACCGGUUGCCUCCAUCGCCCUUGACUCCGACGCCGAUGCCCCUCCGCCUCCCUCUCACAACCUCUACUCCACUCUCUCCCUCUUUCCUCUACGGAGCGCCCUUAUUGGCCAACCCUGAUGCCGACGAACCCCUGCUCACGUUUUGGCCUCCCUCUCAGCGAGUGAAGGUCGCUUGCUCUUUCUGUCUUUCCUCUGUGAAGCACCCCCCAUUCCUGAACGUGGACGCCGCUGACACCGAUGCCGUCGCCUUCCUAAGCCCCACCGAUAGCCACCCCACUGGCGAUUCCCGUACGUCCAAAGGUUCUUUUUUCUUUUCUUUUCUUUUUGGAUUCUACUUGGUAGAAUUCGGUAACAUGUUUAAGUUUAUAGAUACAUUUGCAUUAGGUACUGCUUUAUCUUACUUGUUGCUGACUUGCUGUGUUAUUCAGAUAGUGAAGAUUGGAAGAAAGUGAAACGGUGGUAUCUUUUGAGAUUGUUUGCAUAUAGUCCUCCUAAGGGAUUAGAGGCUUCUGAGCCUAAAUUGGUCACUCCAUGCUUUUAUUUUCUCCCAAAAUCACAUGUCUGUUGGAGAAGUUGAUCCUUGCGUGCUUCUGAAUAGUCAUUUGCGUUGCAAUUCCAAAGGUGUAACUCAGUUGUGAAGGAUAAGAUCAAAAUAUCUCUCUAAGAUCUACCUUCUUGGUCCACUGAUCUAUUAGAAAUAGGUAGUUUACUUAGGCAAAUUCAUUGCAGCUUGGGCUGUUUAAACCAACAAGUACCUCUUAUUUUGUUCAUGUGCCAACGAGAGAUAUGGUGGGACAUCCUCACAAGCAUGGAGCCAGAAGCUUAUCUCUCUGUUUGCUUUGCGAGAGAGCCAUUGAAAAUUGCAGGUUUCUUGUGUUUAGCUGAAUUUGACAUACAGAGACUAACCAAAUUUGUGAAGAUGACUAAUUUCACGUUGUUGUUUUUUUAAGCAUAAACAAAGGUUUGAUUUGAUGUUUAUGGUUUUAUCCUAAUUCCACUUAUUUAGAAUCUCUUGGAUAUUGGACAGGGUUAGACUUUCUUGCUUUAUCUCGUCAUAGUAGAUGCCAUGCACUGGAUUAUAUUAUUUAGCAUGCGCCGUUUCUCUGUAAUUAGAGCUGCCUUUUGUUCAUGCUAAACUUUUGAACAACUGCUUUGCCUUACCUAUAUGAACUACAGAUCCUGAUAGACCUAAGAAUGACAAGGGAACCAUUCUUACGGACACAAUCCAGGUGCUGAAGGAUUUAAACACGGAAGUUAACAAAUUGAAAGCUGAAUGUGCAGCUCUUACUGAAGAAUCUCGUGAGGUGAUCACUUAGUUGGCAUUUGCUUAGCUCUUCUCACCGCAUCGGCUUGCUCGCGAAGGAAAAUGUUAUGAAAGGAAAAUGCAAAUCAUGCUCUUGGGCUGUCUCUAUUCUUUUAAGCUUUUAAAGCAUUUGUCUUCGUAGUUUGUCCUCUUCAAACAAGUUCUUAACAUCUACAUCUACAUAAACAGAGUAUCCUAGAAGCAUCCAUUUCAUGAUCAGCAUUCCAUGCUAAAUGCAAAUCAAGUGGUGCAAUUCUCAGCAACCCAACAUCAGGGGAACCAACUAUAACAAGUAAAUUCUCUAGGCUAUGCCACAAAUGAGCACGCGACUUCACCUGUGUCCACAAUUAUUGGUAUCAACGGAGCCGCCGCGCAGACCGACCUCGCAGUCACUGCCAUUUCCGGCGGCCUGAAGACAUUCAGAAGAAACGGCUCAAAGAUUCGAACUUUAGCAUUCGAAACUCACAUACCCACUUCACAUGCAAAAGCGGGGAAUCGCAACCGGGCAUCAGGACGACGCCCUGAUCCUCUAUCAGCCGGUGCACGCGCGUCUGCCGCGUCGUCAUCCUGACCGUCGGGGAAGAAUGAGAAGUGAGAUGGGGCAUGUUUGUUGCCGAGCGCAGCUUGAGGACAAAUCAGUGAGAAAAGUGUCGGAAGAACAUUGAAGUUGUUGACAAAGGUGGAGUGUGAAGAGUUGUUGUCUCGUGGGACAGAAUACCCAUGAGAGAGAGAGAGAGAGAGAGAGAGAGAGAGAGAGAGAGAGAAGAGAAUCAAGACCCGUGAAGCACAGACAAAAAGUAAUAGAGCUUGUACACAAAUCAAUAAUGUAAAUGAAAAUCAUGAGGGAUGGAUGAUAGCAAGGGGAAAAAGCCUAUGAUGUAAUGCUUAAUGCUUGAUCAUAUAGCACAUGGUGAUGCUAACACGUUGUCAAUUUGUUUUUUGGAUUGCAUAUAUGGCAUUCGGAACGCUCAAAGGCAAAGAAUGCAAAAUCAUUUAAUUCAAGUGCAUCAGGUUCCGUAUAAAAAGGCACCUGACGUUGUAUCUAAAGUUUUUUUAGGAGGAAGACAUAAUUCCAACAAGAAAAUAAUUAUCGCAUUUGCAUGAAGCGUGUCUAAUCAUUCAGCCAAUUAUCAUACCAUCAUGAUUGAGGAUUCACAAGAUUCUUUGCUGUAUUUAGAACUUCGCCGCAUUUGUAAUCUCGUGCAAUUAAUAAAGGAGAGCAUUCUUCUUCCAACAACCAUGACAUAAUUGAUUGGAACAUAUGCCUGAAACUUGAACAAUGAGGGCACAUUCAUUACUUUUUUAAGGGUUUAGCUCCAGCAGCCAUGACAUAAUUGAUUGGAGCUCAGAUUUUGCAUCCAAACUAUCUUGCGACUUUUGACCUGCCAUGAGGCAUAAGCCAGGUUGUACUCCUGCAUGAGUCACUCGCAUCGUGUAGUAGUGAUGCCCUGGUGGUUAUUAGAUAAAAAGAGUCUCCAGAGAUGCUGUCGUCAAGAGGUAACGAAUCAGUGUACCGAUGGAGAUGCGAGCUAGCAUACGCUUUUGGGUGUUCCCAUCAUCAUUGACCGGAGCAAAAAAAGGCGAAUUCCUACAUUCGCUAUUCUAUUGGCCAUGAUUCAACGCGAUGAUGAAUGGCUCUUUAAACCAAGAAGCGUCACCCUAAAUAAUAUGAUCAAUUUAUCUUCGUUAAUGGCUGCUCAGCAUACAUCUCUAAAUCCUUCACAGAAAAAGCAGGUGCAUUGCUCAUCUCUGAGAGAGACUGAAAAAUGUUUACACUUGAUUCAUUUGCGAUGCCAAAAAAAUUGGGAAAAGAGAAGGCCUUACAAGUAAAAAAGCAUUGCCCAUUCUGUAAUAGAACAAACCCUUCAUGAAUGCUGUCACCAGCGACCUCCUCGAUCAGCACGGCAUCCGAUAUCUCUCUCACAUCAUCCUCCGCAAGAUGGGGUUCACUUCACGUGAGACGAAAUCGGCUUCUCCUUUCUUCACCGCCUUGUCAGCAGCUUCCAUUAUUAUGUGUCCCAAGCUCGCUCCGAGAGAGAAAGAGAGAGAGAGAGAGAGAGAGGGAAAGGGUCAGGAAAGGGGGAGGAAGUUAUGAAGGUAUGGAGGAAGGCAGGAGGGGAGGGGAGAUGGGCAAAGAUGGUGGAGAGUGUGGCCUGCCCAGAUACGCGCAGAAAGAAAGAGAGAGAUGGUCAGCUGCAACCAAAACGGCAAAAAAAGACCACGAUCUAUUAACCCCUUGCGGAACAUAAACAAAUCAGCGAGUAGGAAAACGGGGUCGCAAUCCCCGGAGAAAGAUCUCAUUCAAGACAGACCGACGGGCAAGAAAAAGGGGUCGCGGUCCUCGAAGGGAGAUCUCCACCAGGUCAAAUCGCACCUCGUGCUUCUGUUCGGGUCGCCAUCGCGUCCCUUGAUGGCCAAGGUCUGUUGCUGCUGGUUCUGCUUACUCUGAGCGAGCUUCUCGCUUGGGUCGUUGCUAAUGAGGAAGGAAGACGAAGGAAGGAAUCCCCGGAGGGAGAUCUCCGCCAGGCCGAAUUGCACCCGGUGCUUCCGCUUAGGGUCACCAUCGCGUUCCUUGAUGGCCGGGGCCCGUUGCUGCUGAAUCUGAGCAAGCUUCUUGCUUGGGUCGUCGCCGAUGAGGGAGGAAGACGAAGGAAAGAACGUGAGGGGAGAGAGAGAGCCCUUGAAAAUUGAAAAGAGGAAAGAGGUUUUUGUUGAGCGGGAGUGCGAAGGAAAGAACGUGAGGAGAGAGAGCGCCCUUGAAAAUUGAAAAAAGGAGAGGUUUUUCUUGAGCAGGAGUGCGCUUUUACUGUUCUGUCUUUUCUCCGUGCGUUCCCCAGAGGAGAGAGAGGGGAAGAAGGCUAUGGGUCCCAUGUGGACACGUGUUGCGCUCCCACCAUCUUCUUGUUUGCCUAGAGCGUAAGACGAACGCAAUAUUAUUCUCUCACCUCUCACGUCUCCAAAAAGGAGAGGAAGCAGAGGCAGCCAGCCCCGAGCGUCGACGCCGUUGUUUCUGCUCCGCCCCCCAGCCGCGACGCUUCCGCCUGCCGGUCUCCGCUGCACCGGUUGCCACAGUCGCUCCUCCAGCAACCCGCAGGCCACCCUCACGCCGUUCACCGCGCCGGCUACCACCGCUCGUCUCCCCGCGAAGCCACCGUUCCCUUGCCGAUCGCUGUUGUUGACCCGCGAUACCCCUGCUCGACUCCAUACGUCGCUCUGCCGGCCAACGCUGCUCCGCGCCCCCGAAGUCGCGACGCCGCCUCUGCCGGCCCCGCCUCUGUCCAGAUCUUCCGUGCCGGAACGCGACCCCGAGUCAUCGCGCGUCCGCGCGUCGCCACUGCUGCAAUCCGACACCAGAAGCCGCCUCUCCCGCGCCUGAGCGACCUGCAGCACCCAACGUCCCCCUCUCCUCUGCUGCUCGUGCCGCGUAACCAACAGGGUUACCCCUCGCCCGCGAGCUCGCACCGCCGCCCCGCCGUGCCGAUCCGCGACGAUCUGACGCCUCCGCGUUGCUGCUUCUGGCCACGUCUCCGCCAGCCACUGCCGUGCACCAUCGCCGACCUGCAGCUUCUACCCGAGCCCUCUGCCGCCAGCCUCCGCCUUCGAUCGACGCAGUUGCAGCCCAACGCCAGAAGCAGCAGCUCCCUGCUCCGUCGUACCUCAGUCACUGUUCUGCCUCGCCGUUCCCGUUCCACCCCAGCCGCGACGCAGCCUCUGCCGGACCGACGCCUGCUGCCCUGCCUCCUGCACCAGCGCCGACGCCCGAGCUCUAUCGCCGGGACUGCCGUCGCACCUCCCCGCCGCCGGUCUCCUCGCACACCGUGCCAGCGCUAGCCCGCCGAGCCGGUCCGCCUGCACGCCGGCUGCCGCCCUUCGCCGGAGCUCCGACCGCCGGCAGCUCCACCGCCCUUGGCCGCGCACCACCACAGCUGCCGAGCCUUGUUUGGAAAAAAAAGAAAAAAUCAAAUUAGGUAGGUUUAUUUUAUUUUAUUAGGUUGAUUUAUUUUAUCUUAUUUUAUUUUUUGAAAUAUUUCUCCAUGCAUAAUUAAAAUUCCCGGCAUACCACCUAAUUCGUAUAAAGUUUUAGAUGGGAUAAUUGAUUGAUAUCUUGAUGUUUAAGGUUUAAGAUCAAUUUAUUAAUUUUAUUAGCAAAAUAAUCAGGUUUAAUUAGAUAUCGUUUUUAAAUUCGAAUGAUGGAUAAUAUCUUUGAUGCCAUGGAUGAUUCGUUGUUUAUUUUUUUUAAUUGCUUUGUUUAUUGCAAAAAAAUACAAAAAAAAAAAUUUGUAUUUUGCAUAUCAUGUGGAUUAGAAUUGUUUUCUUAGAUAGAAUUGCAUGGUAGAAUAGUUAGAUUCUUUUCUAGUUAUAUUAAAAUGCUUGUAGUAUCUAGGUUAGAUAAUAUUUUUUGGAUUAAAUUACAUGACGAGAUAAUUUUCUAAGUUAAGAUAGGAUUCAAAUUGGUCUAUUCUUAACUUAAAAUAGAUAAUAUCUCACUUUAGUUAGAUUUUAUAUUUUAGUACUUUUAAUUACGAAUUUUUAUUUAAAAAAAUGCCAAAAAAAAAUCAUACGCAUAUCAUAUAGAAUUAGGUUCAUGAAAUGCACAUCAUUUAGUGUUUGUUGCUAGGUUCAUUUAAUUAGAAAUUAACCAUCAUUAGAAUUAAAUCAUUUGGUUAAUUUAGAUUGCACAUUUAAUUAUUGCAUUUUUUUAAUUUCGAAUUCAUGAGAAAAAUCCAAAAAAAUUGUCUUUGAAUAAAUUAAUUUCAUUUUCUAGGAUAGAUUGCAUGCUCAUUAAGCAAACACAAAAUAUUUCACGUCAUAUAGUUUAGGUCAUGUUUCCAUGUUAUAUCAUUUAAUGUUAGAUUAGUGGCAUGUAUUGCAUAAAUAAUUCUCAUUAAAUAAGUAAGAACAAAAAAAAAUUAAUUGCGUGUUAAUUAGAAAUCAUAUGUAGAACUGUCGAUGUGAAUUCUAAUCUAACCUUGCAAAUGCUUUUGAUGCCAUGAGAUAAGUCCUGAAAUUUAUUCAUUGCUUUAUCUGGGUAUUAAAUUAAUGGUUUGCACACUCGCAUGAUCAUUGAGAUAAAUUAAAAUCAAUUCAAGCUACUUGCCAAAUAUUUUUUCAAAAUAAAAGAAAAAUGUACCGAAAUUGCAUUAAAGAAAUCUAACGUAAUCAAGUCUCCGAACUCAUAAUCUCUAGUUUACAGAAGUAAAGUAAAUCUCCUAUUACUUUACUUGGAAUUCUAAUUGACUCAUCGAAAAUAGAUUAGUGACAACUCCUAAUUAAAAUUUGCAUAUUAAGAACUUGAACUUAAGUAGCGAAUUAGUAUGGGCUAGGGAGAGCCCGAGCUAUGUUUAGGCUUAGUAAUCUAUUAGCCAAAUCCUAGGUAGUGCAUCUGAAAUUUUGGUCGCGACAAAUGUCGUCAAUCAACUAUGAGAUGCCGAUGUCAAUGGAGAAGUUACUGAUAUUAAUGGUUGUCAAUGCCGAUAUUCCAGAAUUGAUACCGAUGAUUUUGUUUGGUGAAUUGAUACCGUUGACUGUUCGAUGCUCGAGUUAAUUAGAUUCUUUAUUGUAGCAUUGUUUUUGAGAAGUCUGUUCGUAUUUUUAUUUCAUGACUGUUCAUGUUUCUAAGUGUAAUCAAUGUUUUGUAAGUUCUUAGGAUUUUAUCACCUCAGAACAUUAGCUAUAUUUAUUAGUCAUUAGUUUAAGAGUUAUGUGUGAAGCAUAUAAAAGUGGAGGCCUGUAAUUGUUUUCAAUAAGGUGAAGAAAAGGUGAAAUAAACAAGAAGGAUAUAUGUCUCCUUCUCUUCUCUGUGUUGUGUUAGUGGGUGUUUCAGCUUUAAAUUAUCCCAUCAAGAUGUAGUCUGUAUUUGUCUUUUACAAAAACUCGAAAUUUUCUAGUUUUGAUGCCAUAUGAAAUUAUGAAGGAGCACUAUUAGCUAUUAUAGAAGUUUAGAUAAUUAGAUGGAUGCAUUAUUCAAGACUUAAUUGAUAUAACGUCUCUUUCACGACCUAUGUUCCUUUUCAACAGCUAGAUUACUUGCACAGCUUGGGAUCAAUGGAAGGAGAGCUAUCUAUAGAAGUGGAGGAUGGUGGAAUGAACAACUUGAUCGAAAUCUGGAGAGGUCGACGGGAGAUAAUGAAGAAUGCAUUGGCGGCUUCCGCGGGGGGACAAGAUCCGGCAAAAGCUUACGAAUAUGCUCGAAAACUGGCGCGUGUCAUCGAAGGCGGCAAGGUUGACGAGUUCCUUUCCAAGAUCAAUGUAAAUGAUCCAUUGUUGCGGGACAUCGAUUGGUCUGCCGUUUUAAAUUCCCGAUCUGAAGGCAACGAAUCACUGCUCCACAUGGCAGCAGCAAUCGAGAACGACGACAUCCUAAGGCUUCUGGUUGAUUAUGUUGGUGACCACCUCAUAACCGCCCAAGAUGAUCGGGGAAAUACCCCACUCCACUGGGUCGCUCGGUAUGGGGGAUCUACUGGAGCUGCAGAGAUGUUGAUUCACCGGGCAAGAGGCCUCCCCAACGUCGAGGACAAGAACCUCCUAUUGAGGAUGAAGAACAAAUGGGGAAACACCGCUUUGCACAUAGCCGUGCACGAAGGUCACGCCAACUUGGUGCGCUAUUUGUUGAGCGAAGAUUUGGAGCCCGUGUACUGGAAGAACGCGAAUGAGAAAUCUCCCCUGUACCUAGCCCUCGAGACUUACGACUCCGCUGUACAUGAGGCUUUAUUUUCACACUCGUUGGAACCAUCAAGGAUAGAAGGCUUGCCGCCCAUUCAUGGUGCCAUUAUACGUUCACGACACGGUACGUACCUAAAUCUAUUUACGUGGAAAUAUAUUUAUCUAUUUCUGGACUGACUCAUCCCAAAUCUGUGCAAUAACUUUUUGCUCUUACAAAAACCCCUUACCGGUUUUUACUUAAAAUUCCCUACCCUGCUUGUUAAAGUGGUUGGAUACCCAUCGGUUUAGCCGCAUUAUAAACGAAUUAUUCACAUUAGAGCAUAAUAGAUCGGCUUAAAUAUUACAAAUACAACCAUUUCACUAGAAACUCAUGUGUUGUCGAUCUUUGAUUAGAAAAGCUAUAAAGUGCAAAUAUUUAAGAUUGAUGACCAUGAAAAUCUGGAAUCUAACAAUGACGCUGUGUGCCAUGAACCAAAAUGAACAAAUGAAAGUUUAGGGCAUGAAUUAUAAACUGGUAGCAAACCUGUAGGCUGCGCAGGCGUGAUUUUUUCAUUGGAAAAAAAGGAGGUGAAGAUUCCAUCACUCUCAGCAAAUUGAUGGAACAUCGUAAACCAUUAAUUUGUUUGUGACAAACAAUCAAUAGGUUUUUAAGAAAUUAAGAAAAGUGGAUCUAAAUAAAGAAAUAUAUUUUUUAUUUUUUAUUUUUAAAUUAAUACAGUUAUCAUAAUCUUUGCAGAAAAAGCUGAUACGGUAGUGUAGCCUAUAUUACCUUGACCAUUAAAAAUAUUGAGAUAAAAUUCAUCAGACACAUGAUAAUCAAUUAUGUGAAAUUUUUUGGCUGCUAAUGCCACGUAUCCCAAGUUUACUACUUGAAGUGCAGCUAACGUUCAUUGAUCAUCAGAUUGGUAGAUGGCAUUUAGGUGUUACAGUCAUAUCGAAUAGAGAGAAUUGUCCAAAAAGUUAUAAAUGUGUCAAUUGUGUCAAUUUAACCUCUAUUUUAGUCCUAAACUUUUUAAGGAUUUACCAACUUAGUCCCUUCUAAACAAUUUCUAUUGGAAAUCGCUAACAUGGCGGUCUAGUCAAAGCUAGCCAUCCUACGUGAUGUUGAUCGCUUAUGUGGCUUUUUUACAAAAUAUUUUUUAAUUUUUUGCAUUUUUUCCUUUUCUUUUUUUUUAAUCCUUUUUUCCCUCUACCAGCCUCAGGCGAGGGCUACCCUCUAACCCUUGCAUAGAGCAACCCUUGCCCUUGCUCGACCUCCAUUAGGUGUCAACUAUGGAUGGUUAGAGAAGAGAAAAAGGAAAAAAAAAAAGAAAUUAGAAAAAGAAAAGGAUAAAGGUGGGCCCGGCGGAUCCUAGGUCACCAAAAAAAUAAAAGACAAAGGAAAUGAAAGGAAAAAGGAAAAAAAUUGCAAAAAUUAUCCGCAUUAGCAUUGGCUAUGCCAUGUAGGAUAUUCAGUACUACUAGACCACUAUGCCUAUGAUUUUCAACAAAAUUGGCUAGAAUGACUAAAAUGACAUAUCGUUAAAAUGUUUAUGAUUGAAUUGGCAAGUUAUUAAAAUUGUUAUGACUAAAUUGACACAACUGAAAGAUUUAAGACUAAAUUAAUCAUUAUACAAUAUAUUCAAAACUUUUUGGACAAUUUUCCCUAUCAAGUAUAAUUACAACCCUAGAUGCAGUAACUUUAUUUUUAUCCUGUCCCAAUUUAUUAAUCCGAGCACAUGUUAUUAUUUACAUUGCACGACGUAACAUGUUUGAGGCUCUCUUUUUGAACUGAACAUGCAAAACAAUUUCAAAUAGACAUAAAGUGAAAAUGCGUAACAAUGUAUUGUGUGAUGCAAAUAUUAAAUUAGCAUACCCAAUAAACGUAUGUGUCUAAACUUACGUUGCACUCAUUGAAUAGAUUAUAGAAGUCGACCUGCACACAUAACGUUCAUAAUCCAUUUAUAAAUGGCUUAACUUAUUUGUGAUAACACAAUUAAACCUAAUGCUACCAUAUUUAACCACGUUCCAUGUAGUGAACAUGCAUGUAGAAGGGCUGUUUCAUAGUUUGUCAGCUCAUAAUUCUAAUAAGCACUUUAGAAACUUUACAAAAGAUCCCAUUGAAAUUGGAUUUACUAUAUAUUUCUUAUUCUUACUGUCCAAUAUAUAAAAAUCCUUUUAUGAAGUACUACUGAUUGAAAUCUCGUAAUAAUAGUUCAGUUUGUUCUUCAUUGAAUGUAAAAGUAGAUGACAUUGUGGAAUGAAUCGAGCGUUGACAUGGGCUUUUGUAGAUAGGUACUUUAAUUAGGUUAUCAUGAUAGGCACUUUUUUUAAGGUUCAUAUCAAUUAAAUAAGGUAAGGUUAUUUCUUUAAAUCUAGUAAUAUUCUUUCACUUGGGAAAAUUAUCCAAAAAGUCCUAAGUCUAUUGCACUUUUGCCAAUUCAAUCACAAAUCAUUCAAUUUUGUCAAUUCAAUACUAAACAUUUUCACUUUUUGCCGAUUGAGUGUAUCCGGCUAAUUUUGACUAGAAUUUAUUGACAGGGAUAAUUUUUAAUAAUAAUUUAAUUCCUUUUGAAAUUUUUUGUACUUUUUUUCUUUUAUCUUUCUUUCUUCCCCCCUUUCUUCUUCCUUUCAUCGGUGGCUAGCUACCAACCACCGGUGAUGGCUAGCUACCGGCCAUGGCUGGGUGAGUUGACCUUGCUCGCCGUAAGUGAUGCCUAGCCAGGCAAGGCCAGGCCCUAGCAAGGGUUGGCCUCACCUAGGUUAGGCAAGACAGCCUCCUAGGUUAGGCAAGACCAACCCUUGCCCAAACUAGGCGAGAUCGCCUAGGCGAGGGUGAGCCCCCUUGUUCGGCCACAUCUUACCCGAGGCAUGUGAGGCUAGCUGGCUCGGCCAUAGUCGGUGGCUGGCACAAAAGGAAGAAGAAAGGAAAAAAGAAAAUGAAAAAAUAUUUUUAAAAAUUGUUUACAUUAGUGCCGACCAUCUUACAAGAAACCGCUAGUGUCCACGUCAGCGAAUUCCUAUCAAAAUUGGUUGGAUUGACUCAAUUAAUAAGAAGUAAACAUGUUUACGACUGAAUUGGCAUAAGUGCAAUAGAUUUAGAAUUUUUUGGACAAUUUUCACUCUUUCACUAAUGUAUCUAGAAUGUAACCGGUUACCCAUAUUGAAAUUUGUGGCCUGAAUUGCUUCGUCAAUUUCAAGAAUGACGGCAUCUGUCAUGCGAAUAGAAUAAAGGUGAAAUUCUUAAUUCAUGUUAUAUAUUAAUGUAAAAUAUAGGGGGCUCGACGACAAUUAGAAAAUUCCUAAUUAUCGUUGUUAGAUGACUCAUGAAAUUUGUAUAUGUACUUAACAAUAUUAUUAGAGUAUAUUUUAUAGGAAGUAUUAUAGAAAUGUAAGAACUUUCAAUAAUUGCUCAUUUGCAGUUUUUGAAACUCAUUAGAACUAAUUUCAAUAAAACUAAUGCCUCUUUUGUUGAACAAAAGUCAUGGUAUAAGAGGCAAACAUAAAUCCUAAUUUGAAGCAAAAUAAAAGGAAAGUGGAAGAAAAACACUCUUUGUGAGGAAAAUAAUCAAUCCCUUACAAAUUAGAGCCCUAUAAAUCACUUUUAGAGACAAUUCUUAAAGAAAAAAUCAUUAUUUAUUUAUGUAGAUGUUACAACGGUCUAGAUUAAUUUGCAAAGUUCACUGAACUUUUAUUAGUAUUAUGGAUGUAAUUUUUCUGGUGGUAAAAUGAGACUCCUUUUGUUUUGUGUUGUGUCAUCACAGCUUAAAUAUGUGGUCGUUAUAGCUAGGAUAUAUAUGACUCCAUGCAAUGCACAUAUAAGAUAGAACAUAUAAUGUGAUUUUUUGAGUAAAAAUAUUUUCCCAGAAUCACUAAAAUUUCACAAAAUAUAUUUGGUCCAUUCACAAGAUAUAAUGGGAUUGAGUAGCACAAUCCCCAAGGAUGAGGUUAUCUCUAAAGCACUCUCGCCUGUCUUUGAAGUCCAAUGGCCACCCACAAUCCUCAAACACCGUUGGAAUAUUCUCAAACAAUUGAAACACCUCUCUCGCAUUAUUGAACCUCUUUACUAGCACCUCUGAAUUUUCAUAGUUGGGGCCAAAAUAAAUUUUCUUUUGGUGGAGCCUUUCCUUUCUGUAAUUUGUGAUUUAUAAGCUCUACUAUCUUAGAAAUAGAUUCUGGUCACAAAUUACUUAGAUUUUACUCACAAGUUUUGGUAAAUACAUAAUCUCUUAAUUGAGCUGAAUAAGUGCCAUAUACCUUUACGAAGAAGAUGACGUUCAAUCUAGAGAGGGUGGAACAACUUUAAGGGGGAUUUCGAUACGGUGCUGUGGAGGCUAUUGCAAUGUUCUCGACAAUUAAAUAAGUUUGCUUGAUACUUGCUAGAAUUCGACGGACAUAAUAUGAAAAGAUCAUUUUCCUUUUCUUGAUCUUGCCUUAGCCUGCAUUACGCCUGCCGACUGUAUAAAUAAUUCAUGGCGUGGAAAUGCCAUAUAAAUUGCUAUGUCAUUUAGUAAGAUUUUUACAGUGAAAUCUUAAGCACCUGUCGAUGUCAUUAACUAGUUUUGGUAUUGCAAUCUAAUCUGUUAUUGUCGACUAUCAAUACUAGUAGUGAUUAAGGCACGUCAAAGAUGUCCUUACUCCAAAAUGGUUUUAAAUAUAUUGAGACCAACCAAGCUCCAACCAUCCUAAUUUGGAGCUCCUGAUCCCAGAUUUAUUCGACCUGAUGCUCAAGAAAAACAUGGAGCUAUUUGCAAUGACCGACUCCAACGGGGGCAAUGUAUUCCACUUAGCAGCUCACCUGAAUCACGCCUGGGUAUUCGAAUUCUUACGACCAGAAACUGAAUAUUUGACCCGAGAACCGGACAUGAAUGGAGAUCUCCCCAUUCAUAUUGCAAGCAAGAUGGGUUAUGUUGAACAUAUUGAGAAGCUAAGGGAAGUAUCACUUUUGCCAAAUGGGCAAGGGAAAAACAUUCUUCAUAUUGCCGCAAAAUAUGGUAGAGUCUCCGUAGUGAGAUAUAUACUCAGCCAUCCAAUUCUAGGGAAGAAUCCAAUUCUAGGGAAGAUGUUAAAUGCAGCAGAUGAUGAUGGAAAUACAGCUUUGCACUUGGCUGCGAUGCAUUCACAGCCCGCUGCUUUGAUUGAUCUUUUGCGGACUGACGGAAUUCUACCAAGCAUUUUCAACAAUGAAUGCUUGCUUGCUGUUGACAUUGCUCGACGACGACACCAGGCAGAGGGGUAUAACAUUCGGCAUGUAGGUAACAUGAACAGUCACUAUUUUAUUUAUUAACUUACUGGAGAUUACGUAGACUAAUGCAUUAGUUAAGGCUGAUCUUGUAUUCAAAUCAUUAUGUCUCCUAGCCAACUAGAUAGUAGAAGUAUUGAUCAAAUUUCUAGAAUAGCCGAGACUCCUCUCGGAUAAAUGUUCUACAAGUCCCUAAUUUAGUCUUGAUAGGAGGUAAUUAAAAUUUGUGAUCAUGAAUUUCUCUGCAGUUAGAAACAAGUAACGUGUCUUUCAUAACACGGAGAUAACAAUUUAUAUAUAUCGUUUAAUUGAGCCUCUGAAUACAGUCAUGAAUAAAAAGGCAGGGUUUGCCAAGGUUGCAUUCUGUUUUUCAUAAAAGGCCAGGGGUCAAUGUGACAAAUUUGACCGCUCCAUAUGUAGCACAAUCUCAUAACAUUAUCAUUUUGUCGACCUAUGAAAUGAUCGCCCACAUAAAUUCCAUUCAUGCCUCUUUUUUCAUCUAAAAUGAACUUGGUAGUUUUGUGCUAAUUCUUCAAAAAGAGCAGAAACUGCAUCUUUAGAAGCAAACGUUUCCAGAGUUCAUUCCCGUUAUCAAUAUGGAAUAAUUUUGUUCUUAUUUUCCUUUUUACAUGCUUCCGAUCUCAGCAAUUGGCAUACCUGGCGUUGGCUUGCUCGCUCGCGGGAAAAGGUCCACUUGGAAACCAAGAGUUACUCCUACUUAGAGCGAAAGCUCGAGAUGAAGAGUUAUCAGUAGUCCGCUCGCGCAAAAGCAUGCCGAGCAGGGACAUCGUCAAGGAUUACAUCAAUUCCCGCAUGGUGGUGGCAACGCUUGUGGCCACAGUGAGUUUUGCAGCUGGUUUUGCAGUUCCUGGAGGAUUUAACGGCUCGGACACAGCCUCCAAAGAUGAGCGGGGCAUGGCUACGAUGCUGGACAAUCGAAUGUUCCAGGCUUUCGCGAUUUGCAACACCAUCGCGAUGUUCUGCUCAAUGACUGUGGUCGUCAACCUCAUCUGGGCGCAGACAGUUGAUGUCGACGUUUUAGUCGCUGCAUUCGAGCGCACAACGCUACCACUACAAAUUGCACUCCCGGCGAUGUCCACCGCUUUCUUAACUGGUGUCACCUUGACCGCUGGCAAACUCCCAUGGCUUGCUAACACCAUAUUUUAUUUGGGACUCGUUUUCCUCCUCAUUAUCUCAUUUGCUAAAUUGUUAGGGGGGCCUAUCUUCUUAGAAAUCUUCGGUCAUCCUCUCCGUCGACUAACAUUCUGGCUUAUUCUCGCUUACAUUUAUUUGGGGAGAGUUGAGACGUACAUUUAUGAUGACGAUGACGCCAAAGAUAACAGAAGGGAGAAGAAGACCUUCGCUAGUCCGCCUGUGGAUGUUGCCGGUGAAUCGAGGACCGAUGACUCGGCGAAAGCAAAAUGUGAGGAUGCGUUACAUCCUCCAAGUCGCUGAUUUGAAUUGAUCAUUCCAUAUUAUCUGUAAUAUGUAGUAAUAAUAUAUGUUUUCCUUGGUGAGUGGGACUCACUAUACGGUUGCUUUCCUUUAUGUCAGAUCAAACGUGAUUGUUAAUGAAUGUAAGCUAAACCAUGUGUUUCUCUAAUAACUUAACUUAUUAGAAUUGUUGGAUAUAAUUCCAUCAAAUUUCAUAUGUUAUUAAAGCAGAGGUUCUAAGUUCAAACAUUUUCAGGUCCUAUUUGCUUCAUCUAUUAUAUGUUUUCAUGUUUCAUUCUUAGAUCAAGUCAAGCUUACGAGUGAAGAUGAGUAUAAAAGUAUUUGUAUUAAAGUAUUUGAAUUAAACAUCCCAUUUGUCUAAUAAUUUAAAUUUUUAGAACGAGUAAUUGUAGUUCCCCGAAAUUUCAAACCGAUACACACUUCAUGUAAAUUAAAUGGAUGAAUGGCUCAUUUCAUCCGUUUCAUCGCCCUGGAAUCAAAUUGUUAACUUUGAACAUGUGGAAGCUCGUGGGUUUAUGAAAUCACUCGUCUAGAGUAGCCAUGUCCGAUUUACUUUGAACUAGUCCAAUUUGCGGCAAUCUCGAGUCACGAAAUCCUAAGCACUCACUUACCUGUCUAGUAAGGGUGUGCAAAAUAUCCGAAAACCGCUCGGACUGCUCGGAACCAAACCGAAAUCGCCAAGUACCGGUGGUUCUUGAGGGAACCGGUCCAGUUCCUGGUUCCAAUUUAUGGGAACCGGUGGGUACCAGUCCAGUUCUUGGUUCCAUUGGCGGAUCCGCCCGCCCACCCACCCGGACCAGAUCGGAACCUUUUUAAUAUUUAAAAAAAAAAUUACUAAAAGAAACCCUAGAUCUCAUCUCACUCCCUUCAUCUUCGGCUCCUAAUCCUAUUGUCAUUUCGCUGCGUUUACUUCUCUCGCUGUUCGCAUCUCCACGUACUUAAAUUUGAUUUUUCUUUCUUUGGCUUGCUUUGAUGUCACGUAGUCCUUCUAUGUUGAAAAUCAAAAUUGUUUCGCGUCAAGAUCAGUUCCAUGGAUCCACUCGGGAAUCGGACCGCUCCGGUCAGGUUCCUGGAUGGAUCCAUGCAACAAACGAGUGGAUCCUGGUAUCAAUUUUUGGGAACCGGUUCUUAGCGAGUGGUUCCCAGUUCUAGAUCAGGAACCGCCCACCCAAACCAUGCACACCCCUACUGUCUGGUGUGCAAAGAAAAUAAUUCUCAAAUUCUCAUCGCCUACUCUCUGAGUCGAGAGUUGGGUGAAGAAAACCGGAACAAAAUAAUUCUCUUCACUACUCACAAAAAAAUAGAAUCAAACACCGAACUCAUUUCCAAUGACACCCCUUUCAUUUCCCCACUUCUCCCUCCUAGGCGCACAAUUUCUGUGCAUGCAAAUGAGUUUUGGUGUUUGAUUCGUGGCGGGGUAUAAUCUAGUGAGCAGCGGGCAGAAGUCAAGUCAAGGGACGAGAUAAAAAGGAGUUGCAAUACGCAACCCAAGGAGAAUUGUGGAAAAGUCUGGAUAUGUGAUUUUCCUCCUCCGAUCUCUGAUUUUUAUUUCAAAGCUAGUUGGUAUUGACACGUAGAAUAUAACUCUAAAGUGAUUCUGGACCUAUCUAUUCAACAGUGAAUGUAGAUAAUUACAAAAAAUAAAAAGGAUCCCCUUGUACGAAUGUCUAUUGAGUUAUAAACUAUUAAAAUUAGCCGAUUUAAUUUUAAACAUCUUGACGAUUUGUUAAUAUAGUCAUUUCAAUCAACUUUGACCGAAAAUCGUUGACGUAGACGCUAGCCAUCCUAUGGCACAUGACUAGUAUUGAGGUGGACAAUUUUUGUAAUUUAAAAAAAAAAAUUCUCAAUUUUUUUUUUUUUUUUCAUGUUUUCAUUUUCUUCAUUUUCUUUUCUUAUAUUUUCCUUUUUUCUUUUUCUUAUUCCCCUAUGCAGCCAUUGGCCGGUCCAUGGCUUCAAUGAUUGAUAGUAAGGGCCCAGAUGCCCUCGCCAACUGGCAAGGGCUGAUGGAUUUGCUAGGGCCACGUACUAAUGGAGGGAUAAAGGAAGGAAAAAAAAAGUUUUGAAAAAAUUGUAAAAAUUAUUCACAUUAGCAUCGGCACCUAGAUCUGGGCGAGGCCAAUCUCGUCAUGGCUUGGCCUAGAUCUGGGUGAAGCCGCCUCGCACACAGUCCUUAGGCCUCGCUCAUGGCCGACGAGACUUGUCAAAGAAGCAAAAGAAUAAAGAAGAGAAAAAAAUAAAAGGAAAAAUAAAAAUAUAUAUAUAUCAAAAAAAUUAUUAAAAAUUGCCACGUUAGCGUUGACCAAAUGGCCAGUGUCCACAUCAGCGCUAGCCAAUCAAAAUUGAUCGAAUAGAUUGAAUUGACAUAAUCACGAAAAGUUUAGAACUAAAUUGGCACAAUUAUAAUGGAUUUAUAACUUUUUUUUGGUAAUUCUACCAAUUUAUUUGUUAUCUCCAUCUUUAGAUUGCGACAUGUGUCCAUCCAAUUUUAGUCCUCACUGCACCUCAUCUAAAUACCAUCAAACCUUAGCAGCGAGGAUGGUACUUGGAGAUCUAUGCAAAUAUUUAUAUAUAAAAAUUACAUUGAGAUAGUAGAGUGUGCUCACCAUCAUCAUAUCAUCAUCCAUCAAGUCGAUUCCACAUAAUGAUCUAUUUGUCACUUUCAACAUCCUGGGACCGACCCAAAAAAACAUCCUAGGGAUUAAAUGUUUCAAUUAAUUACGGUAGGAUAGAAGUAUUUUUCAUCAAGAACGGACAUUCAAGAAGUCUUGCUAGAUUGAUAGAUUGAUGUUGCAAAUGGUUCUCUUCUCAAGUAGCAUGAAAAAUUAUGCUACUCAAAUGUAGAGCCUCCUUUUUUCUAUUUUUUCAGCAGAUCUUCCAAAUCAAAUUACAGGGUUACAACUUUGAAAACUCACAGUACAAGUACAAAAAAUACCAAAUCAAUCAUCUAUUGACUUCUCGAUGCUCAUUAAAUCUGAUUCACAAAAUAGGUUGGGACCCAUUUUGCUAGCCCUACUAAAAUCUAAACAUUUUAUUAAAUUAAGGAUUUAUACAGCAUCCUAGUUCACAAAGAUGUGUUGCUGUUGACAAAUCGACAUUGAUUGAUUUUCAUGAACUCGUCGUCAUAUUGUCGACAUUCCCAUUAUAUACGAGCAAAGAGCGAACUUUGAUUUUUGAGCAUCAAGAGAUAAGACAGACUUAAAUAGAAUGCCAAAUAGCCCAAGUGUCACGUCCAAACCCCAAACACUUUUUUUUUUAACCCCAAACACAUUCAACUAUUGUUUUUUUUUUUUUUUUCCUUAUAACUUUCUUCAAAUAAUAUAAGAAUGUACUUUAUGGUUAAUGAUCAUAUAUAUCGCGGUUUAUGAAAGACUGUGCCACAUCGAUAGUUUUAGAUGUUAGUCCAAAUUCGAAAUACCAGGCUGAUGUUCGAGAUUUUAUUGGCCAUUCGGCAUUUCAUUUAUUACUCAUGAAGUCUAUCAUUGCAUGAAAUUUACUGAAAAUUAGAGAAUCUCACAAUACCAACAAAACAUCAAGUUUAUUCAACUUUUUUACCCUUGAUACACUCCACAUGUAGCCCAAUUUACAAAAUUCCACAAAAACCACUGCUUAGCAAAGACGAACAACAGCACCCAUCGGCCCAACAUGCUUUGCUCCAAGCAUAGAGUGACUCGAACUCGUCUUGUCUCCUUUUCAGUUUACCACAACCAGACAUAUUUAAUACAGUACCGUGAACAAGACAAGAUAGCGAUGAGAUCGGCUCAAUAGGCAUCAGGGUUUGCCAAGAGAUAAGCCUCGAUGGCCUUGAACAUCGCGGACGCCUUCUCUUUCCCAGCCUUGAUCUUCUCCUCAGUUAUGUCCGCCUCGCCAAUGGUGAAGUACUUGCUCGUGCUCUUGCACACCGAGCCUCCCUCGGCCGAUGUGGUGAUCUUCACCCCGUAGCUGAUCUUCUCGAAGGUGGUGCCCAGUGCGUCGCCCUCGAUGAUCGAGUAGCUGUAGGUGAAGUUCUCCUUGUCCAGGGCCUCGACCUUGUGCUUCAUUGUCUUGUACUGACUGCCUAUCAAGGUAACAAAAAGUAAUAUUCACGUUUGGAACUCGCUGGUUUCAACAUCACGGGCAAUGAUCUUGAUGGUGUCAAUUGGGCCAUUUAGGAUGUUCCAACUGCAAUCUGAUACGAUUGACUUAGACAUGGCCUGAUUUCCCUCGAUUGGAGUCAAGUCACGUGAUCACUUGUGUAAAGUUAUUCCCAUUGACCGCGAGAUAUCCAAGAGCAAAGUCGCUGCAUAUAUCUUGCAGCAUUUCUCCGAUGAAGCUGUUGUUCGAAAAGGUAACGAUCCCCAGAGAAGGGCUGUACUUGCCGAAAUCACGUGUUAUGCCUCCCGAGAAAUUGUUCUUGAACAAUGAGAUGGACCAUAAGUUAGCAAGGCGAGAGAUGGUCUCACAAGAAAAUAUUGUGUACACAAGCGAUGCUACGUCAUGGCUUUUCCUUCCCAGCCUAGAUCUGCUCUUCUUCAACCUGAAGUGCCUUCUUGCUGUUGUCCUUGCUCGUCAUCCUGCAGACUGACCCUCCGUCGCUGGUGGCCUCAAACUUGACCUCGUAAUCGAUCGACUGGAGCUUGUCACCCAGCGUGUCGCCCUCGAUCAUCAUGUUCCUACACAUGAAGUUCUACUUGUCGAGCUCAUCGAUCUGGUGCUCACAUGAAGUUCUACUCGUUGAGCUCAUCGAUCUGGUGCUUCACAUACUUGAAAUGACUAGCUGCAAUUACAUUAUGAAACUCCCUGCUCGAUGAGUGUUGAGUGUCCAUGCCUUCGGUGAAAUUUAACUUGCUCAAUGCUCCCGGCUCCACCGUCGCCUUGCACCAGCUCCACGCUCUUUAUGAACUGAGGCAGGAGCUUCGGGAUCAGGGUAUUUGACUCGACAAUCAAGGCCUUAAGAAUGCGAGCCAGAGCAAUCGGGCAUGUGAGCUCUUGUGUGAAGCUGGUUGCACCCAUGGCUAUUGGCAAUGAGAAAGAAAUAACCCCAGAGAAGAGUGCUUCUGAGUCCUGUCAAUGCCUCCUAAUUACGGUUGGAAUUAUGUCAAUAGGUAGGGUUGGUUUGGCAAGAGUCACGCUCGAGGAAAAAAGGAGAGUCAAGGAUUUGCAGCCUAAAGGAAUGGAAAAGAGGAAUAAAGGUGGUCUCUUUUGUUCUUUUGGUCAUGAAAAUGAUUUCGGUCCCUUUCGGAUUCAUGUUGAAAUGUCAAAGUUUAUGUUCCAAAAGAUGAACAUUCUAGUGCUCACAUGGGCGGCCAUCCCUUUGAAAUGAUUGUUGUGGAGUUCGAUCUAACAAUUUGCCGAUUAAAUAUUAUAACGAAAAUGUCCUUGUUUGAAGAAAAGUGUAUUAAUCAAAUUCUGUCUCAUUUAAUAUGUAGCAAACGAGAAUACUUUAUUAGUUGGUGAUAUCACGUUAACUUGUCGCGCAAUAUAAACAUCACAUAAUAUAUUUCUUCAUUUGUAAUGCCCUAAUGUCACGGUGGAUCUAAUUCAAAUGUAUGAAGUAAGGCCUUUUGAAAUCAUUUUCGUAACUUAGGGUUGAUUCAAACUUCACUAGCACCGACAGUUUGACUCAGUCAAAAUUGGGUCGGCAAUCGGGGUGUCCCAAGAUCAGCUCGUCGUCUAAGUUUUGGGGGAGGUGGAGGCUGCGGCUUUUCCGUUAUAUUUUGCUUCUCUUUCUCUUUUUUAUCAUUAUCAGUGUUGAAGCAUUUGAUCUCUAAUCCAAUGUCCCCAUCAAAGAUGUCCCCAUCAAAGAGGUAAGAUAGGAUUAGCUUAAAUAGAAUUUCAAAUAGCCCAAGCGUUACAAUAAGAUAAGUCCAAAACCUGAACACUUUAACUUUAUUUUUCGAUAGCGUUCUUGACAUAUAAUAAGAAUGUGCUUUUCUUUAAUGAUCAUAUGCAUAACAAUCUCUGAAAGAUUCUACCACAUCCAUAGUUUUAAGUGUUAAUCCAAAUUCAAAACAUAAGUUUGGAUUUAUUCAUUUGUUACUCAUGAAUUCUAUUCUUUUAUGAAAUUUAUUGAAAAUUAGAGAAUCUCAUGAUACCAACAAAAUAUCAAGCUUAUUCAACUUUUAUUCCCUUGAUACGCUAUUUAUGUAGCACAAUUUACAAAAUUCCACAAAAACCACUUCACCAGAUUCCUGCCACACCUUUCAUUCUCUUAUUCUCAGCAAAUACAAGAACAGCUACGCUCACCAGCCCCCACAAACUUUACUCCAAACACAAGAGUGACCCAAACUCUUCUUCUCUCCUUGUGAAUUUAGCACAACCAGACAUAUUUCACACAGUACAGUGAACAAUCCAAGAUAGCGAUGAGAUCUACUCAACAGGCAUCAGGGUUUGCCAAGAGAUGAGCCUCGAUGGCCUUGAACAUCUCGGACGCCUUCUCUUUCCCGGCCUUGAUCUUCUCCUCAGUGAUCUCCACCUCGCCGAUGGUGAAGUACUUGCUCGUGUUCUUGCACACCGAGCCUCCCUCGGGCGAUGCGGUGAUCUUCACCUCGUUGCUGAUCUUCUCGAAGCUGGUGCCCAGCAUGUCGCCCUCGAUGAUCGAGUAGCAGUAGGUGAAGUUCUCCUUAUCCAGGGCCUCGACUUUUUGCUUCAUUGUCUUGUACUGACUGCCUAUCAAAGUAAGAAAAAAUAAUAUUCACGUUUAGAACUCGCCAGUUUCAACAUCACGAGCAACGAUCUCGAUGGUGUCGAUCGGGCCUUUUAGGUUGUUCCAACUGCAAUCUGAUACGAUUGACUUAGUAGACAUGGCCUGAUUUCCCUCGAUUGGAGUCAAGUCACGUGAUCACUUGUGUAAAUCAAUGGUUAGAAACAUCUUUAAUUGAUCAAGUUACAUAUCUAUCCUUUUUAAUGUUCAUUAUGAUGUUCCAUAAGGUUGAAACAGCCUUGAUCCAGAGCGAUCCUAACACGGACGGACUAACCUUCGCCGAAAGUGAUCAACUUGACGGUCCCGGGACCUCCGUCGCCCUCGAGGACUUCGACGCUCUUGAUAGCUUGCGGGAGCACCUUCAGGAUGAGGUUAUCGGCGUCGAGGACAGCGGCCUUGAACAUCUUGGCCGGAGGGAUUGGGGUCGUGAUCUCGCAGUCGUAACUGACGACACCCAUGAUUUGGAUCCGAAUGGAGUUGCCGAAAUAGAGAAGAGAGUGAUCAGGAAAGGCUGACUAGCAGUGAUGAAGUUGGUCUCUAGGACUUGGGAGUGAGGAGAAGAGGAUGAACCGAA